RNAcentral lists this long non-coding RNA (121827 nucleotides) under Hordeum vulgare. RNAcentral describes it as "long non-coding RNA (HVUL_LNC013563)". The record is from RNAcentral. Lineage: Eukaryota; Viridiplantae; Streptophyta; Magnoliopsida; Poales; Poaceae.
CCUGUGACAUCCGCCGCAGAUGAGGUAUGCGGAAGAUGUUUUAUUCAGGAACGGCAUCACUCUCUUCAUUCGAGACAGCUUGAUCUGAAGACACAGGUGCGUGAACCGCGUCCCUCCCUUCAUUAGAGCCAGCUUGAUCUGAAGAUGCAGGUGCGUGAACCGCGUCACUCCCUUCAUUAGAGACAGCUUGAUCUGAAGAUGCAGGUGCGUGAACCGCGUCACUCCCUUCAUUAGAGACAGCUUGAUCCCAAGAUACAGGUGUGUUCCCUACAUCUACACUUGUAGCAGCAGCCUUAGGAACAUUUCCCCCCUCUUCUUGGCUACCAGCAUCAACAUCCAUGCUACAAUUGGUAUUGUCCUGGUCAUCUAAUUUGGAUGAAUCAACCUUGUCAAUGGCGCCCUCGUUCAUGGUAACGCUGUCCCCACUAUGAGCAUUAGAAGUAGUCUGUCCAACUGAAGCCCCAUCGUUAUCCACUUGAGUGUCAGGCAAUGGAGGAAUAGGACCUACAAGGUCUCCAUCUACAUCUGCAUUGUCCAUGUCCAUCUGAUCCCCCUUGAUUUCUUUGCUUCCUGCAGCUUCUUCAUCAGUAACCAUAUUCGUCUGUCCUGAUUCCUCUUCAAUGUCAUGAUUCUUCCUCUCAUUUUCUUCCUCAGCAGCACGAUUUUGAGCUGCAGCUUCCUCCUCCUUAGCACGGGUUUCUGCCUCUAUUGCCGCUUCCUUAGCACGGUUUUCUGCCUCUAUUGCCUCCUCCUUAGCACGGUUUUCUGCCUCUAUUGCCUCUUCCUUAGCACGGUUUUCUGCCUCUAUUGUCUCUGCCUGUAGCCUAAGUAGCCUCUUGUGCUCCUCAAGUUGUUCAUGGAUGCUCUGGUAUCCAGACAGCAGAUCACCAUAGCGGCUCUGGAGAGUCCGUUCUAAUGCUUUCUGUUUAUUCACUUCAUCAGACAAAUUUUUCACACGAUAGGCAGCAGCCAUCUGUUCUUGUUUCUGCAACUCUUGGAAGCAUUCAAGUUCUGUGGCUGCAGUGUUCAUCUGCUUGAAGGUGUCCUGGAUCUGUGACCCCAAUUUUGCAGCCCGAGCCUAACAAAUCAAAUAACAAGUGGAACAAACCAUCAGCACUGCAAAUCGACAUGGAAAACCUAGAAACAAAAUGAAAACAAUAUCAUACAAUAUUGUUUCAGUAGAACUAAUCCAGUAUGUAUCAAAUGAAAAGCAAUAGAACUAAUCCAGUAUGUAUCAAAUGAAAAGCAAAAUAAGAAGUGAUCACUAAACUGUUGCAUUUCUUUGCAAAUUAUGCAAGUUUGGUUUGGGGCAACUGGAUAAUCUUUCAAAUUAUGGGUUAGCUUACACAUGGUGCAUUUUUAAAUGACACCAAACAUCAAUGGGGCAGAGAUGUUAGAGAGGUGCCCUUGGUGCCCUUACACAGACUAGAGAGAAACAUUUAGCAUAGCUAGACUGUAUAAAAUGCUGUCUGGAAAAAAGUUAAAACUAAUAUAGGCAUACCACAAAGAUGAUGCAUCAUCCUCAACUAACCUGGUAUCCUUGUGUCAGCAGUUUGAUCUUCUGCUCAAGCCGAGAAGCUUUCUUUGCCUCAUCAUCCAUUCUCUUCUUUACCAUUUCAAACUCAUGUUGCAAAGCAGAAAUUUUAUCAGCAUUUCCAGCAACACUAGCAAGACCAUAGCUGUUGUUAGUAGGGAAAAACAUAAGGUCCUCCUGGCAUGCAUCAUGUGACUUUACAAAAUCCUCAAAAGAUUCAUUUUCAUGGCCCAUGGCCACACGAAGAUACUGAAUCUCCUCCUCAACCAUAGAACUUGCCUGUCAACAAAUAAAUAUGUGAUUUUAAAAACUUCUUCAUCAUUACGAUUAGACUAAAGCGGGCAAACAGGACUGGCACAAAGAACUAUAAAAAACCGUAAAUAAGAUUUAGCAAGAAAUCAAAUCCAUAUACGGUUAAAGAAAACCACCCACUCACAAGUCAUAACACACAGCCUUCUAUUGAAAGGCAAAAAUCUCCAUUCACAGAUGGUAUGCUAGACAACAACCCACUUAGUCAGGCUAAACAAAAAGGACAGAUGGCUAUAAGUGAUUACUAAAUUGAAGAAGUGUUUCAGUAAUUCAAUAUAUGUGUAUCUGAGUUCUUAUGCAGAAAGAAUACACAUCUCAAACUUUGUCAAUACUAUUGUGAAGAAAUACUGCACAGUUCUCUACAUGGUGUGUGCCCAUGUGCAUAACAUAACAAUUCUAACUAACACAUUACUUGUAGAUGGUAACAUCCUUUACACUCCGGAGGGACAUAUUUUCAAACUGGAGAAUCCAUAUAUUUUUAUCUUGAUUGAAUUCUUGAUAUUUCAGACUUCCAACCACGGUUUUCAAAUUCUUUUCAACUUUCAAUCCCCGAGAGAGGUUGUUUUUCAAGCAAUCUUGUGCACUCAUUGUCUAUCCAUGACAAUGUCACAUCUAAGUGAUGCAUGCUUAACCUGAUUAGUGGCCUCUUGGAUUUUUGAGCAUUCAUUCAUUUUCCAGAAACACGAGUAUCCUAAAAAAUGGGGUAAGCACUGCAUAAAACCUAGCACAAUUCUUCAAUGAAUCCUACAGCAAAACAGUUAUCUUGUGAGUGAUGUGCUGUAUACAGCUCCCACUAUACAAAAUAAACAUGCUUUCCUUCCCUUGCCAUCUCCAGGAUAGCACUCAAUGCCAAUGGAUUAGCUAUAAAAGUAAUUGGCUAUCAGAAGUAAGAUCAUAAAGGUUGGUACAGGAAUAGUUUAGACCUGCUGCUCACAUACAGGCGCUAUAUUCCAUAUUACUGUGUUACUCACUUGUGUAUAUACAAUUAUGAAACCACAGCAAGUAAUUAUUGAUGUGCCUAAUACUACAUGAAAUCGGAAUAUAUGUUAUCAUGUAAAUUGAAUAUACAGUUCAACAUCAAAUACCAAUAAUAAAAAAGGAACAGAAAAGAAGUAUACCUCUUUUAGUUCAUGCUCAUCAAAACCUUCGAUUUCAGGGACGAAAGCUGCCCCAUUUGCCUGACGCUUGCUGCCUUUCUUUUUCUCUCUUUGAGUUUGUUCAUCAAGAGGAUAUUUAGCAUUAUCAUGCUCAAGGAGCCUAAGGAGUUCCUCAUUUAUUAGCUCGUCAGCUUGUUCAAGUGAUGUAGGAGGCACAAAGGUACUUCUGGUUUCACCACCUUUAAUCAGAGAUUGCCGGAGAAUCUCCACUGAAGCAGCAGGUGGCCUAGGCAAACUCCUCUGCAACACUUUGGACCUCUUUCUGAGCAAUGCCUCCUGCCUUGCUUGUUCCUCAGCCCUUUCUCGUGCUAACCUGUCUGACAUAUCCUCUUCAAUUCUCUCUUCUGCUUCUUCCUUCUCCUCUGUGAUAGGUGGCAUAACUAUCUGGUACUCAUUCUUAGGCUGUGGAAUAGAAGCAAAACCAGACCGCAAACCUCUUCUCAGCUCGGCUUGCCUACGAAGCUCAAGCUGAGCGCUGUCUUGCAUUUCCACCUCUUCAUUUAUGUGAAGCUCAUCCCUGAAAGGGGUUCCUUUUGGAGUUAACCCAAAGGCAUUUCCAUCUCUGGAUGGUGUCAAACCAAUCCUUGGGGUAACACCAGGGCCAGGGCUAGCCAGAGGCGUCGCCAUGGGAUUUGGAGUCUGUAUCUCUUUCUUACGUGGUGUAACGCCUGAGAAAUCUGAUGGGUGAAGCUCUGGGUUAUCGCCUCCUAAAAGAGGUGUUUGUGAUUCCCUUAAACGUGCAAGAUUCUCUGCCUCCAUCAUAAUAGCGUCACCUUUCCCACCUGGCGUUCGUUGCGGCGUUCGCAAUGGUGUCAUACCAAGCCUUGGAGUCUGGGAAUAAUUUGCAAGCAGUGUCCUAGUGGCAGUACUUCCUUCACCAAGCUCCUCGGCUAGAGCAGGAUCACCGGCAUUGCCCAUCUUUGCAAUCUCCUCCAAUUCAUGGUCGGAAAUUUGGGGUGGUGGAAGCAUUAGUUUGGACCUUCUUGUGACAGCUUCUGGGUCAUUGAGUUUAUUUGCUUGCAUUAUUGCGGCAGGGGCAUCCUGCCUCUGCAGAAUCUUGUUCUUGGCAAUGUCUUGCUUUCUUAAUUGAGCCUCUACAUCCACUCUUCUCCUCCCUUCAAGCUCCUCAAUGGUAGUUGGAAACUGCACAUGCUCAAGUGGCCUGUCCUCGCCCACUGUAUCAUAAAAACCUGGAGGGGGUCUCUUUUCAAAAGGGAUCUCGGCAUUAUAGUCAAUUCCCUUUCUCUUUCUUUUUUUGUGCCGGUUGUCAAUACCAGCUGCCUUCAGUUCUCUCCUUUUUUGCAGUGAUGCAAGCCGCCUCGCCUCUUCAAGCUGUUUCUCUCUUGCCUUCCGUUUUGCCUUUUUACCCCUGGUGUUAGCUAAGCGAGCCCUUGCCUCAGAAAGCAUUUCCUUUUCAUCUUCGUCCAUGUCAACAGGAUCUGGACGUGCAGGUUUUGACUCAGGGUUUGGAUCUAUCUCCCCAGGUCGCAACUUUCUUGGGUCAUCGUUAGGCUCAUAAUUCUCAUCCUUUGCACAGGCAGCAUCAAGCAAUUUUUCAUAACGCUCGAGGCACUGGGAUGGUGUUCGACCCACAAUAGGUGCAAUAGUCCUCCAUUGAGUAGGCAUGAGCUUAGCAAGAUGAAGCAGCUUCUCAUCCUCUUCCCUUGUCCACUCAGUCUGGGGUUAAUGGGCACUGGUUAGUUAAGUAACGUAAAUGACAGAACCUCUAUAUUAUUCGACAGACAACUGAAAACUGAAAAUGGGGCAGACCUAUGUCAUAAUAGAGCAGAUAUAACCAAUUAAAAGAAACAUUAAGCAUCAUAUGACAGGUAAAGAUUGACGGUUAUUUUGAACAAGUUAAUUUGAUUAGAAUGUGAAUCACACAGACUGAAAAUAUAGUUUAGUCAAGUUAGCUUGGUUUUUAUUAGACACUUAAGUUUUAGAGUUAGAUGACAACGCUAAUGAAGCAUUAAGAAUCAAAUUUAGAGUUCUCAACAAAGAUUUAUUAACAUCUUUCCUAUAACUUUAACAAGCUAGGUCCAUAUUUCAACGAUAUCACAGAGAAUGUGUUAAGAGCAUAACAUCAUGCAAGCCAUAAUAGUCAUGACCAAAAAAUAAGUAUACGAUGGCAACACAGAUAUGACAUAUUGUGUUCAUUAUAUUACCCUCGCUAACAAGAAUAUUACAAUGCACAAAGACAAUUAGUCAGUUCCAUUGGUAGAAGUUGACCAUCCAAUAACGUAUGUACAAUCAGUGCAUAGGAUUCUAGCAUGGUAUAGUAUGAAGAGAGAAUAACAUAACCUCAAAACCAAUAUGUGUGUUGAAAUAUGAGCACUUCAAAAACAUGUGGAGCAAUUUACAACAAAAAAUGUAAACUAGAUAAUGUAAACCAAAUGGCAAUUCGUCAAAACUGUACACAGUGUAGCAUUUUCAAAACACCACAUGAUAACCACGGAUCCUCUAGUUUGUACUCACUCCGCGUCACAAUUACAGAUCCUCUAUAUAAUCCUUUCAUAGCAGCAUCUAGUUGCAGUUCACUCGCUAACAAAGUACUAGCCAUCUAAAAAAAUCUNNNNNNNNNNNNNNNNNNNNNNNNNNNNNNNNNNNNNNNNNNNNNNNNNNNNNNNNNNNNNNNNNNNNNNNNNNNNNNNNNNNNNNNNNNNNNNNNNNNNNNNNNNNNNNNNNNNNNNNNNNNNNNNNNNNNNNNNNNNNNNNNNNNNNNNNNNNNNNNNNNNNNNNNNNNNNNNNNNNNNNNNNNNNNNNNNNNNNNNNNNNNNNNNNNNNNNNNNNNNNNNNNNNNNNNNNNNNNNNNNNNNNNNNNNNNNNNNNNNNNNNNNNNNNNNNNNNNNNNNNNNNNNNNNNNNNNNNNNNNNNNNNNNNNNNNNNNNNNNNNNNNNNNNNNNNNNNNNNNNNNNNNNNNNNNNNNNNNNNNNNNNNNNNNNNNNNNNNNNNNNNNNNNNNNNNNNNNNNNNNNNNNNNNNNNNNNNNNNNNNNNNNNNNNNNNNNNNNNNNNNNNNNNNNNNNNNNNNNNNNNNNNNNNNNNNNNNNNNNNNNNNNNNNNNNNNNNNGAGACCGGGGCGACGGGGUGGUGCGGCGAGGAGGGGAUUGGAGGAGCGGGGCCGCGGGGGAGGGCGGGAAAGUGGGCGACGGGGAGGGCCAAGCCGGCGGCGGAGGGCAGUGGCGGCGCUCCUCUCACGGGACGGAUUGGUUCGGGCUCGGGAGGCGGGACUUGUCCUGGUGAGGUAAACCCGAUGACGUGGCAUGUAACGCUCAGUCAAAACCAGUCAACCGCUGGAAAGAGUUUCUCUAGAGCAACCCUACCACACCCCGCAUCCCGUCGACCCGAAAAACACGUUUGCAGGUCGUGCUAAACUGCUUAUGCGGGCUGGCCUGGGCUGUCACAUAUGCAGAUCCCACAAACGGAUCCGUAAAAAAUAUAUUUGUGGAAUAUUCUUUUUUACGGGUCGACUUUGAAGGGUCCGUUCUUUGCACCGCUGCUUCCCGUAUCAUUAGACCGUAAAUAUCAAAUACAACAUAAUUCAACGGCCGAAAACAAACUGAAUUAUUCCAAUCAAACACAAUACAAUAAUCAUCCGCAUUACAAAUAAUUAUUCAAAACUUGUCAUGAAUACAAAUACAAAUGAAUACAAAAAUAAGUCGUUGUCUAGCCCUUUGCCAAUAGUGUUCAAUGAGAUACUUCUGAAGUUGAAAGUGGGUGUCUGGGUUUUCAAUCUCCUUGUAUGUCUGAAGAAAAGCUCUAAUGCGGUUUGGGUCUCUAGCUGGUUUGACACGGCUACCCACAUUGUCGUAAAAGAAUUCUAAGUUCAAUCCUCUCUCAUCUUCAAGAAUCAUAUUGUGCGGGAUAACACAGCGUGUCAUGAUGUUCUUCAAGGUUCUCUUAUCCCAAAAACGAGCAGGACCAUGCACAAUGGCAAACCUAGAUUGCAAAACACCGAAUGCUCUUUCAAUGUCUUUGCGGGCUGCCUCUUGCACCUUUGCAAAUUCAUAUUUUUUUUGUUUUGGGUUCUUUGAUGCUCUUGACAAAUGUGCACCAAGGAGGGUAUAUACCAUCUGCAAGAUAGUACCCCUUUGUGUAUUCAUGUCCAUUAAUAGCGUAGUUGCAAGCAGGAGCAUCAUCACUAGCAAGCCUAGCAAACAAAUGCGACCGUUACAACACAUUGAUAUCAUUGAGAGUGCCCGGCAUACCAAAAAAGCAAUGUCAAAUCCAUAAAUCCUCGGAUGCUACGGCCUCUAGCACAAUUAUUGCAUCACGAGACUUGUCACAAUAUAUUCCUUGCCAAGCCUUGGGGCAAUUUUUCAAAUUCCAAUGCAUACAAUCAAUGCUAUCUAGCAUUCCAGGCCAACCUCUCCUCUCAUUAGAUGCCAUCAAUUUCUUUGUGUCAUCUUCAUUGGAUGCCCGAAGAUACUCAGGACCGAAGAGACGGAUGAUCACUUUUGCAAAUCUACGCACAUACUCAAUUGUGGUAUCUUCACCAAUGCGAAUGUACACAUCGGCAUAGUUAACCGGAACGCCAUAUGCAAUCACCCGCAUAGCUGCGGAGAUUUUUUGAUAUGCACUAAAUCCCUUUAAGCCUGCGACAUUCCUUCUUUGAGUAAAAUACCGGCAAUUUUCCUCGCAAGCUUGAACAAUUUUCACAAAGAGGGAUCAGCGCAUUCGGUACCUUCUCCGGAAGAGGUGUGGAGGAUAUGUAGGAUUCUCCGCGAAAUAGUCUUGCAUCAACAUCUCGUUCCCAAGAUGGCGAUUCCGAGGAAUGCACAAACGCUCGACAGUCGAUCCUCGCCUCUUCUUAUGGUUCUCGUCUUCAUUCUCCUUCACGGCAAGCGUCAUGACUAAUGUUUGCUGACGAAAGGUCGCAAGCAUGGUCUCAACAUCCGAGCCGUCCGAAUCGGACGAAUCGGAUAGCAGGAACUUCUCACAUGGGGUCAACUCCAUCUUCUCGGGUAGUUGGCGGGAGGAUAGUAGGAACCACAAAAAAGGUACUAACCGGCGGCGGCGAUGAGGCGGUGGUCGAUCCCGGGCGGCGACGGCUAGAGGGGGCUCUUCUCGCCGGAUCCGGAGGGGCGGUGCAGCGGCUCGCCUGCAGAUAUGGCCGGAAUCGCCACCAGCAGGCGGGAGGAAGCAAGGGCGGGGCGGCGGCGGCGGAAGGGAGGGGAAAAUAGCGCGGGCUGAAAUGUCCCUCCCGCCAACUGCCUCUCUGUUAUGCAGGGCACCGCAGCCGUGAGGGGGAAACCCGCGUUUUCCCAGGUUGGGGUCGGGAAUUUGCCGCGCCCCCUGAAAAUUUUUGCGAGCCGGGGCGGGAUGCGGGGUCUGAUCGGGCAGGCUUUUCCACCCCGACCCGCAUUUUGGCGGUUAUUUUGCGGGUCGAGGGCGGAUGCGGGGUCUGCUAGAGUUGCUCUUAGAACCGAAAUCUCAUCGAGUGAAUGUUUUACGGAAAUACUAACUGACGAACGUUUCCUCUGUGGAAGGUAGAUGGCAAGCGAAUGCAUUUUCAUGACCGUUUUGGUUACGGCGCGAGAUUAAACGAUGACAGUUUUAGAAAAAAUGCCUUCUUUGAAAGAAAAAAGAAAACAAUUAAAAACAACCAACUGAUUCUCUCUCCCUUAAACCGUCGCCUCCGUACGCCAUGUGCCCUCAUGGAUUCAUCCACCGCUCACUCUCGUCCCACCUUAUCUCUUCCCCUCCACUCGUUUCUCCCUUUCCCUUUUCAUUGUUCUCUUAUUCGUCAGCUGUUAGAUGAGACACUGGAGGGAAAUCAGGAGGACUGUCGACGGAGUUGAGGAAUCGAGUGCAGGAUCGUCGUGCAGUCGCAGUCCCGAUAUCCCACACGUGUUGCUGCCCUAACAAUUGAAAAUCGGGGAUCAUCUGCCAUUGUUGUAGGAGAGGAGAGCCGCACAACGCUGACCACCCUGUUGUCGUGAGUUGCAGGGCAGCCAUCGCUGCUGAUAAGGGCUCGUCGUAUCGCCGCUCGAGGGUGUGGCGCUGCCGCAAAAGGAGAUGUCGCAGCACCCGUGAAGUUGCAAAGUGGCAACGGUCCGCUUGAGGAUGAGGCGUUGCAGCUCUCGUCGUGCUACAAUGGAGUACUCACCGGCGGCAUGCAAUGCUGGUCGGUGUUGCCGAAGCUGCAGUGCAACGGUCACAAUGCUGCAAUGGAGCGCUCGCGUGAGUAGUCGGUGCUGCGGCGAGGCUGUUGCGUUGCAACAGUUGCGACUCUACAGGGAGAAACGGGUGCUUCGAUGCAGCUUUGUCGGUGGUUGUUUGUGCUGCGGCGCAACGUUGUCGGAGCUCCGAUGGGCGCUCAUGAUGAUGCAUGGACGAUGUUGGUGCUUCGAUGCAGCGCUCAUCGACGACUAUCGUGCUGCAAUGCAAUGCUCAUCGGUGGCUGUUGGAAGGUAAGACAGGGGUGUGGCAGGUGAACCUACUGAUGAGCAUUAGUGAUGGAUAUGACCCCUACCACGAAGCAGAGGCUGGGAGGCAGGCGACGACCAGAGGAGAAAUAAGCAGGACAUGUUGACACGGUUUUGCAUUGACCGAUCCAGCUGCUACGCGGGACGGCUCCAACGGCUUUCGACCCGACUGAUUUUCUCUAGAAAUGAGCCGGAUGAUCCCUAGCAGUGGCCAUGUAUUCCUAUAAAGAUAUUGUCAUGACAUUCUUUUUUUCGGAAUGAAAAGGAGUUUAUUCUAAUAUUAUAGGGUUACAAUCACGAGUCAAAUGCUCCUCACAAAACAGAGGACUCAUGUUCAACCAUACCGCAGGGCAACACUCGAUACGGCUAUAAUGUGUGAGAAGAUGUGCUACCCUAUUUUGCUCUCUACCAAUUUUACAAGGAACAAACUCACUAACAACUAUGUGAUUUUUAAUGUUAGCAUCCAACUGACUAAAGAUUGAUCUCGAAAGACUGACGCCUGAGAGUACUGUCAAGGCAUUCGUAGAGUCGUGUUGGACGAUUACCGGCUUGUUUGAAUGCUCAAUGGUCAAUGCCAUACCUUGCAUGAUUGCGUGAAUUUCUGCAUCAAGUGCGUCAUUGCAAUGAAAGAUAUACUUGUAUGCAUCAAAGUUCGCGGAAUCAUCCUCAUUUCACAGAACCAUUCCAGCACAUGCACGCCCAUCAUGACUCGAAAAUGAGCCUCAAACAGAAAAGGCACACCAUCCAGCUGUUGGAAAUAUGCCCUAGAGGCAAUGAUAAAAUAGUUAUUAUUAUAUUUCCUGUUUCAAGAUAAUCGUUUAUUAUCCAUGCUAUAAUUGUAUUGAAUGAAAGCAUAAAUGCAUGUGUGGAUAUAUAGACAAAACAAAGUCCCUAGUAAGCCUCCAGUUGACUAGCCAGUUGAUCAAGGAUGGUUAAGGUUUUCUGACCAUAUGCAAGUGUUGUCACUUGAUGACUGGAUCACAUCAUUAGGAGAAUGAUGUGAUGGACAAGACCCAAACUAUAAACGUAGCAUGUGAUCGUGUCAUUUUGUUUCUAUUUUUUCUGCGUGUCAAGUAUUCAUUCCUAUGACCAUGAGAUCAUGUAACUCACUGACACCGAAGGAAUACCUUGUGUGUAUCAAACGUCGCAAUGUUACUAGGUGACUAUAAAGAUGCUCUACACGUAUCUCCGAAGGUGUCCAUUGAGUUAGCGUGGAUCAAGACUGGGAUUUGUCACUCCGUGUGACGGAGAGGUAUCUCGGGGCCCACUCGGUAAUACAACAUCACAUAUAAGCCUUGCAAGCAAUGUGACUAAAGUGUUAGUCACGGGAUCUUGUAUUAUGGAACGAGUAAAGAGACUUGCCGAUAACGAGAUUGAAAUAGGUAUAGGGAUACCGAUGAUCAAAUCUCGGGCAAGUAACACACCGAAGGGCAAAGGGAAUGGUAUACGGGAUUAUAUGAAUCCUUGGCACAAAGGUUCAACCGAUAAGAUCUUCGUAGAAUAUGUAGGAUCAAAUAUGGACAUCCAGGUCCCGCUAUUGGAUAUUGACCGGGGAGUGUCUCAGGUCAUGUCUGCAUAGUUCUCGAACCCGCAGGGUCUGCACACUUAAGGUUCAGUGACGUUUCGGUAUAGUUGAGUUAUAGGUGUUGGUGACCGAAGGUUGUUCGGAGUCCCGGAUGAGAUCACGGACAUCACGAGGAUUUCUGGAAUGGUCCGGAAACGAAGAUUGAUAUAUAGGAUUGUUUCAUUUGGCCUCCGGAAAGAUUUCAGGCAUUACCGGCAGUGUACCGGGAGUGACGAAUGGGUUCCGGGUUUUUACCGGGAGGGAGCCACCCACCCGGGAGAGAACCCAACAUCACAUGGGUGGCGCACCAGCCUUUGGUGGGCUGGUGAGGCCAGCCCAAUGGGUCUAUGUCGGCUAGAAGAAAAAUCAAAGGAGAAAAAGAAAAAAAAUGAGGUGGGAAGGAAGGAGGGGACUCCUCCUUCCCCAAACUGAAUUGGAGUUGGAGUCCCCUCCUCCUCCACUCGACCGACGCCCUAGGGGCUCUCUUGAGCCCCAAGGCUAGUCCCCCCCUCCUGUAUAUAUUAGAGGUUUAGGAUUUUUGGUGACACAACUUUAGCCAUGUGCAACUGUAAACCUCUACUUCGUAGUUCUUCCUCUAGAUCGGUUUUCUAUGGAGCUCGGGCGGAGCCUUGCAGGAAUAGAUCAUCACCAUUACCGGGGCGCCAUCACACUGUCGUGGAACUCAUCUACUUCACCGUCUCUCUUGCUGGACCAAGAAGGCGGAGAUCGUCAUCGAGCUGUACGUGUGCUGAACGCGGAGGUGCCGUCCGUAAGGCGCUAGAUUAGAACGGAUCGUGGGACGACGGUGAUUUGAAUCACGAAGCUGUUCCACUACAUCAACCGCGUUUCUUAACGCUUCCCACUUAGCGAUCUACAAGGGUAUGUGGAUCCGAUCUCCCUCUCGUAGAUGAACAUCACCAUGAUCGGUCUUCGUGGGCGUAGGAAUUUUUUUGUUUCCCAUGCAACGUUCCCCAACAGUGGCAUCAUGAGCUAGGUUCAUGCGUAGAUGUAAUCUCGAGUAGAACACAAAAGUUUUUGUGGGCGUUGAUGUUCGAUUUGCUGCCCUCCUUAGUAUUUUCUCGAUUCGGUGGUAUUGUUGGAUUGAAGCGGCCCGGACCAACAUUACUCGUACGCUUACGAGAGACCGGUCCCAUCGACUAACAUGCAAAUUGUUGCAUAAAGAUGACUGGCGGGUGUCUGUUUCUUCAACUUUAGUUGAAUUGGAUUUGACCGAGGCGGUCCUUGGAGAAAGGUUAAAUAGCAAUUUGCUCAUCUCCGUUGUGGUUUUGCGUAAGUAAGAUGCGAUCAUACUAGAUACCCAUAUCAGCCACGUAAACACAUGCAACAACAAAUUAGAGGACGUCUAACUUGUUUUUGCAGGGUAUGCAUGUGAUGUGAUGUGGCCAAAGACAUGAUGUAAUAUAUUGGAUGUAUGAGAUGAUCAUGUUGUGAUAGUUAAAUAUCGACUUGCACGUCGAUGCUACGGCAACCGGCAAGAGCCAUAGGUUUGUCUCUAAACUAACGUUUGUGUUCGCAGAUGCGUUUACUAUAUUGCUAGGUUGUAGCUUUAGUAGUAAUAGCAUAGUUAGCACGACAACCUCGAUGGCGGCACAAUGAUGGAGAUCAUGGUGUGGCGCCCGUGACGAUGAAGAUCAUGCUGGUGUUUGGUGAUGGAGAUCAAGAAACACAAGAUCAUGGCCAUAUCAUGUCACUUAUGAAUUGCAUGUGAUGUUAAUCCUUUUAUGCACCUUAUCUUGCUUAGAACGACGAUAGAAUUAUAAGGUGAUCCCUCACUAAAUUUCAAGAUAAAAUUAUGUUAUACCCGACUGUGCACCGUUGCGGCAGUUCGUCGUUUCGAGACACCGCGUGAUGAUCAGGCGUGAUAGACUCAAUAUUCACAUACAACGGGUGCAAAACAGUUGCACACGCGGAACACUCGGGUUAAACUUGACGAGCCUAGCAUGUGCAGACAUGGUCUCGGAACACAUGCGACCGAAAGGUCGAGCAUGAAUCAUAUACUCCAUCCGUUCCUAAAUAUAAGUCUUUUAAGAUAUUUCACUAGUAGUUUACAUACGGAGCAAAAUGAGUGAAUCUACACUCUAAAUUAUGUCUAUAUACAUCUGUAUGUAGUCCACUAAUAAAACUUCUUUAAAGACUUAUAUUUAGGAACGAAGGGAGUAGUUAAUAUGAUUAAUAUAGAGAUGUUUACCACUGAAACUACACUCAACUCACGUGAUGAUCGGACUUGAGUUAGUGAAUUUGGAUCAUGCCACACUCAAGUAACUAGAGGGAUGUCUAUUUGAGUGGGAGUUUAUUAGUAAUUUGAUUAGCUAAACUCUAAUUGUCUUCAACAUAGUCAAGUCCAUUUUGAAAUAUUUUAUGUUGUAGAUCAAUGGCUCACGGAGUAGCAACCGUGAAUUUCAAUACGUUCCUAGAGAAAGCUAAGCUGAAAGAUGAUGGUAGCAACUUUGUAGACUGGGCUCGUAAUCUAAGGCUCAUCCUACAAGCUGGGAAAAAGAAUUAUAUCCUUGAUGCAGCGCUAGGAGAUGAACCACCCGCUACGUCUGAUCAAGAUGUUUUGAAUGCUUGGCAAGCACGUAAGGAGGACUACCCAGUAGUUCAAUGUGUAGUCUUGUAUGGCUUAGAACCGGGACUCCAACGAUGCUUUGAACGUCAUGGAGCAUAUGAGAUGUUCCAGGAGUUAACGUUUAUCUUUUAGAAGAAUGCCCGGAUCGAGAGGUAUGAGACCUCCGAUAAAUUCUGAUCUUGCAAAAUGGAGGAGAAUUUGUCUGUCAGUGAACAUGUGCUCAAAAUGUCUGGGUACUCAAAUCGUCUAGCUGAGCUGGGAGUUGAACUUCCGCAAGAGGCUAUCACUGACAGAAUUCUUCAAUCACUGCCACCUAGCUACAAGAGCUUUGUGUUGAACUAUAACAUGCAAGGGAUGAACAAGUCACCCGCGAGUUAUUCGCGAUGCUGAAAGUCGCAGAGUCAGAACUCCGGAAAGAACAUCAAGUGUUGAUGGUCAAUAAGACCACUGGUUUCAAGAGAAACAGCAAAGACAAGAAGGGUAACUCUAAGAAGAGCGGCAAAAUUGUUGCCACUCCGACGAAGAAACCUAAGGCUGGACCUAAGCCGGAAACUGAGUGUUAUUAUUGCAAGGGGAUGGGUCACUCGAAGCGCAACUGACCAAGUAUUUUUUUGAUAAGAAGGCGGCCAACGCCAAACCAGGUAUAUGUGAUAUACAUGUUAUUGAUGUGUAUCUAACCAACUCUCAUAGUAGUGCCUCGGUAUUUGAUACCGGUUAUGUUGCUCAUAUUUGCAACUCGCCCAUGGGUGGCGCACCAGCCCUUGGUGGGCUAGUGAGGCCAGCCCAAUGGGGCUAUGUCGGCUAGAAGAAAAAUCAAAGGAGAAAAAAAGGAAGGUGGGAAGGAAGGAGGGGACUCCUCCUUCCCUAAACCGAAUUGGAGUUGGAGUCCCCUCCUCCUCCACUCGCCCGACGCCCUAGAGGCUCUCUUGAGCCCCAAGGCUAGCCCCUCCCCUCCUCCUAUAUAUACUAGAGGUUUUAGGGUUUUUGUGACACAACUUUAGCCACGUGCAACCCUAAACCUAUACUUCGUAGUUCUUCCUCUAGAUCGGUUUUCUGUGGAGCUCGGGCGGAGCCCUGCAGGAAUAGAUCAUCACCAUCACCGGCGCGCCGUCACUCUGACGGAGAACUCAUCUACUUCCCCGUCUCUUUUGCUGGAUCAAGAAGGCGGAGAUCGUCAUCGAGUUAAACGCGGAGGUGCCUUCCGUUCGACGCUACAUCGGAACGGAUCGUGGGACGACAGUGAUUUGAAUCACGAAGUUGUGCACUACAUCAAUCGCGUUUCUUAACGCUUCACGCUUAGCGAUCUACAAGGGUAUGUGGACCGAUCUCCCUCUCAUAGAUGAACAUCAUCAUGAUAGGUCUUCGUGUGCGUAAUUUUUUUUGUUUCCCAUGCAACGUUCCCCAACACCAGCAGGUGGAUGAGGCCAUGGUACAAUAAGUAGCACACGUUUGUUGUGUACACAGCUUGGCCUUCCUCCAUCGUUGGCAUUUUUCCUUCUAUGAUUUCUUCCGUAUUGAACUUAGUUGCCAAGUUAAGCGACUUAUAAUAGAUGUUCAAAUAGUCAACUAUAACUUGAAUCGGGGUCUCACACUUCCCAUGUGUAAAAUCAUUCUGAAGUUGCCAAAUUCGUCAAAUGGUCAUGAUCACCAUGUCCUUGGUUUGUACCGAACAUUUAUACAAGAGUUGCAAGGGCCAAUCCUUCCCUCAUACUAUCCCUUACAACGAACAUUCACCAGCUAUCCAUUGUUGUGCAAGAAACUUAACUAAUACAUGGGGAGGUGUUCUUCGUCGAGGCAUUAUCGCUUCCCUACAACAUGCAAUUCAUGAAUAAGUCUCCACCAAAAACAAAGAGUUGAUGCUUUUUCCGCCCCAAUCACUUUGGCUCCUCAGUGUAAUGCUCGUCCUUUCAAAGUGUUGGAACACCGGGAAUGCAAAGGCAUUUCGUCAGCUUGAUAUCCAUUCAGACACAUUACUUCGACUUACGAUUUCAUAUUUGGACCUUUGGUCUCAUAGACUUUGUAAACAUGAGUUGAAAAUGCCUGAACUUCCAUGCCUCCGGUUCAUGUCGAAUAAGGAAAAAAAACAUUAUCCUACACGAAGGCAGCGAUUUUUCUUCACCCAUGAUUAAAAAGAAACAAUUCUCAUAUAUUUCUCCCGGAGCACUCUCCAACAUGAAAUUUCUCGCUUCGUCACCUUAAGUGUUUCUCUGGCCAGGAAUAAUUACACCUUUUAGGGCAUGAAUCCAACCACUAGUCCGGUUCGGUCCUAUUCCCUCAGUUCAUAAAUAUUUGUCUUUCUAGAGAUUCCACUACGGACUACAAAAGGAUGCAUAUAGACAUAAUUUAGAGUGUAAGUUCACUCAUUUUGCUCCGUAUGUAGUCCGUAGUUGAAUCUCUAAAAAGACAAAUAUUUAAGAACGGAGGGAGUACUUUCUAGGAAAAAAUCUGGUGCACCGACAAGCCAAAAAUCUACACCCUAUAUGAUGAUUUACACCAAUUCAUCUUUGACAUGGCUAGUAUAAAACCGCCCACAUAGCACUGCUGCUGAAACAAGAUCAAGCUCGCAUCAUAUACGUGUGUCGACCUAUAUCGUUCUGCCCUAUAAAAGCUUCAGCCAAACAGUGAUAAAUAGACUCAAACCUACAAUACCUUUCAUAUGUAUAGGGGCCGACAAAUGAGUAUCCUUUGAUGUUUGCAACUCCUGUGUCAGCGAUGAAGGAAACACCGAACGUUUAUUUUUUCCCAGCCCAGGAGAAUCGGUUUCCAGCAACAGCCCUGUCAAUUCUGUAUAGAUACCAAAGUUGGGUAGAGUUUUAUCAGAGACUUGCAAUGGAUAUCUUCUGAGCACCGAGAAGAUAUCUCCAUUUUGGCUGCUGACUAGCUCACAUUUUGACACUACGGUUAUCCUAUACUCAGUGUGUUCAUUGCAUCACUCGUAAGGACAGAAAACAUAUCCAUGGUGUUUUAAACUGGAAACCGCACGUUCUUCAAUCUUUUCAGUGUAGACAACGUGUGUUUCAGCCGCUCUGAACUGCAACCUGCGUUUCAGUGCGUUCUCGGCGUUUUUCUUGUUGUUGCUGUUCUAAUCACCUUCGAUUUCGUGCCGCCGAUCAUGGUAGUACCGGAAUUCAUACAUGUAGUAUUUGAGCAUGUCUAACAAUAUGUGAUUCUCUGAAGAACUCCACGCAUCAAAGGUACUGCGCUAAACUGAGUGACAAUAAUUAUGCACCACAGCACACAGUAUUUCUCAUUUCUUCAUCCAACAACUGAAUGAUAUCACAUAUUCUAUCUGACGGAUCAAGUUCCUGCCCGCCUGAUACAAACACCUUAGCAGCACCUUUCAGUUGGAUCCAGCUACAGCCAGGAGACUUCUUGACACCAUGCUCUGCCAUGGCUCUUCUCACCCCCUCCGCUUCCUUCCACUGCCCAGUGGCGCACAACAUGUUGGACAACAUCACAUACCCAGUGUCUCUCACAGGCUCCAUCGACACCAUGCCGCUCCCCACCUUCCUUCCGAUUCUUGUGUCCAGUUGCACCGAUGAGUAGGCACUAAGCAGAGACUCACGCAUAUCGCUGCUGUGCAUCUGAACCGUUUCAGAGUAUUGCUCCAGCACCUCAAUGGCUUUUGCGAUGUUCCCAGAUCUAGCAUACAUGUCGAGAACGCAAGCUAAAUGCUCCGGUGUUGGCUUCAGUCCAUGGACAGACACCAUCGACUCAAAGAAGGCUCUCCCUUGCUCCAGGAGGCCAGAAUGGCUGCAGGCUGUGAGCAAGCCUGUGAAUGUGACUUCGUCGGGGCAAACAUCCUGGGACAACAUCCUUUCAUACACUGCAAAUGCUUGCUUUGCCCAUCCAUUUAUUGCAAACCCGAACAACAUGGUGUUCCAUGACACUGUGUCCUUCUGAAGAACGGCAUGGAACACAUUGCUUGCCCCCUCGACGUCUCCGCACUUUGCAUACAUGUCCAUCAAACUGUUGGCCACGUACAAGUAGCAUGCAUAACCCGUUUGGAAUGCACAGCCAUGAAUCAUCCUUCCACUGGCCAUAGAUGCCGCAGCAGCGCAAGCAUGAAGCACAGCACCAAAGGUGAAGUCGUCAGGAUGGAUAUGCCCGUGUUCCAACAUCUUACUAAAUAGUGCAAGGGCCUCAUCCGCACAGCCAUUCCUCGCAAAACCUCCAAUCAUCGAAGUCCAGGAGAUGUCAUUGGUCUCAGGAGCACUUUGAAACAGAGCAGCAGCUUGUUCAAUGUGGCCAAGCCUUGUGUGUGCGUCGAUCAGUGAAUUCCAUGACACAACGGUUCUACUCUCCAUAGACUCGAAGAUCUUGACAGCACAAUCCAGCAAGCUGAACUUACUGUAGAAGGAAAUAAGCGAGUUAUUGACCUCAGGGAUGGCACUCCAGCCACUCUGAACCACAAUCUUGUGGACUGCAGCGCCGGUGGAUGGGCAGGGCAGCUCCGUGCAAGCAUCGAUCAGAAUGCAGAGCGUCGCAUCGUCGCAGGAAAGCCCCGACACCCGCAUCUCGUUGAACAGAAGCAGACACUGCUUGGCAUUGCCACAGCGGGAAUACCCCGUGAGCAGCGUGUUCCAGGCAACACUGCUAACGCUUCCAGCGGGCAUUUCGUCGAACAGCUCGCGCGCGAGCGCCAUGCGGCCCGAUGCGACGUAGCCGUGGAGGAGCGAGCACCAGGAGAGCGCGUUGCGGUCGCGCAUCUCCCGGAAGGCGCGCGCGGCGUCGUCGGCGCGGGCGCACCUGGCGUACAUGGCGACGAGCGCGUUGCCGACGGGGAGCGGCGCGCGCAGGCCGAGCCGGAGGAGGCGGGCGUGGAGCUGCGCGCCGGCGCCGGGCGAGCGGAGGGCGGCCGCCGCGGAGAGCGCGGCGGUGAGGGAGAAGGCGUCCGGACCGCGCAUGGCGGCGAAGAGGGCGAGNNNNNNNNNNNNNNNNNNNNNNNNNNNNNNNNNNNNNNNNNNNNNNNNNNNNNNNNNNNNNNNNNNNNNNNNNNNNNNNNNNNNNNNNNNNNNNNNNNNNACGCGGUUGAUGUAGUGGAACGUCCUCACGUCUCUCGAUCCGCCCCGCGAACAAUCCCGCGAUCAGUCCCACGAUCUAGUACCGAACGGACGGCCCCUCCGCGUUCAGCACACGUACAGCUCGACGAUGCUCUCGGCCUUCUUGAUCCAGCAAGAGAGACGGAGAGGUAGAAGAGUUCUCCGGCAGCGUGACGGCGCUCCGGAGGUUGGUGAUGACCUUGUCUCAGCAGGGCUCCGCCCGAGCUCCGCAGAAACACGAUCUAGAGGAAAAACUAUGGAGGUAUGUGGUCGGGCAGCCGUGAGAAAGUCGUCUCAAAUCUGCCCUAAAAGCCCCAUAUAUAUAGGAGGAGGGAGGGGGACCUUGCCUUGGGGUCCAAGGGAACCCCAAGGGGUCGGCCGAGCCAGGGGGGAGGACUCUCCCCCCCCCCCAAACCGAGUCCUACUUGGUUUGGUGGGAGGGAGUCCUUCCCCCUUCCCACUUCUUCCUCUUUUUUUUUCUUCCUUUGAUUUUUCUUCCUUGGCGCAUAGGAUUUGGUGGGCUGUCCCACCAGCCCACUAAGGGCUGGUGUGACCCCCACAAAUACCUAUGGGCUUCCCCGGAGUGGGUUGCCCCCCUCCGGUGAACUCCCGGAACCCAUUCGUCAUUCCCGGUACAUUCCCGGCAACUCCGAAAACCUUCCGGUAAUCAAAUGAGGUCAUCCUAUAUAUCAAUCUUCGUUUCCGGACCAUUCCGGAAACCCUCGUGACGUCCGUGAUCUCAUCCGGGUCUCCGAACAACAUUCCGUAACCAACCAUAUAACUCAAAUACGCAUAAAACAACGUCGAACCUUNNNNNNNNNNNNNNNNNNNNNNNNNNNNNNNNNNNNNNNNNNNNNNNNNNNNNNNNNNNNNNNNNNNNNNNNNNNNNNNNNNNNNNNNNNNNNNNNNNNNAAUAAUAACUAUACAUUUAUUAUUGCCUCUAGGGCAUAAUUCCAACAUAGAUGUCAUGCAAGUUUUUUUCCCUAAGCACGUAUGACUACAUACGGAAUACAUGCCUACAUUAGAUUGACGAAUGGGAGCUAGUUACUUCUCUCUCCGUGUUAUAACUGUUACAUGAUGAAUCACAUCUGACAUAAUCAUCCAUCACCGAUCCGAUGCCUACGAGUCUUUUACUACUGGUCCUUGCUACGUUACUCUGUUGCUACUGCUGUCACUGCUGCUACUGUUACUCCGUCACUACUGCUGUCACUGCUGCUACUGUUACUUUGUUGCUACUGAUUACAGUUGCUACUGCUGCUAUCAUACUACCUUGCUACUGAUACUUUGCUGCAGUUACUAAAUCUUUCAGGUGUGGUUGAAUUGACAACUCAACUGCUAAUACUUGAGAAUAUUCUUUCGCUUCCCCUUGAGCCGAAUCAAUAAAUUUGGGUUGAAUACUCUACCCUCGAAAACUGUUGCGAUCUCCUAUACUUGUGGGUUAUCAAGACCUUUUUCUGGCACUUUGCUGGGGAAGCACAUCUAUAUUCUCUGAGUCACUUGGGAUUUACGUCUGCUGGUCACUAUGAAGAAUCCGAUAGAUCCAAGAACUAAAGCCUUGCCCUCAACUACGAGGACAGGUAAAAAACUGCCAUCUAGCUCUGCACUUGAUUCACCUUCAGUUAUGAGUAAGUUUGCGACACCGCCCCCUGCUAGAAAUCUUGAUAUGUCGCAUGUGCUUGAUUUUGCUAGUUCUGCUGCCCAUGAUGCUUAUGAUGAUGCUAUGCUUGAUACUGCUUUGCCACUAGGUGCAUUCCUUGAUGUACAAAUUGCUAGAGUUGCUGCUAGAUGUGAUGAUACUUCUGAAACUGCUGAUACUAUUGAAGUAGAACCUGCUAUUUUGCCUGCUAGAACUAGCUCUUCUAGAAAUGAAUUGCCUGAUAUGUCUGAGCGUUAUGUUAUGGAGGGAGAGAUAGCUGAGGACUUUCUUGCGUGUAAGGAUAGCUAUGAUGUUGAUAAAUUACUGCUCAAGUGGAAAGAAAAAUGUAUGAACGCUAGGAUGAAAUAUGACCCGAAGUUUGCUACUUCGCCUAUCUUUGUUACCGAUAAGGAUUAUGAAUUCUCUGUCGACCCUGAGUUAAUCACUCUGGUCGAAUCUGAACCUUUUCACGGUUAUGAGUCUGAAACGGUUGUAGCCCAUCUUACCAAACUGCACAAUAUAGCCACCCUAUUCACGAGUGAGGAAAAGAUCCAUCACUACUAUAUCCUCAAGUUGUUUCCUUUCUCGCUAAAGGAUGAUGCUAAGACUUGGUUCACUUAUCUUUCUCCUGGUUGUGUGCGUAGCCCCCAGGAUAUGGUCUACUACUUCUUUGAAAAAUAUUUCCCUGCCCAUAAGAAGCAAGCUGCCUUGCAGGAAAUAUACAACUUUGCUCAAGCUGAAGAAGAGAGUCUCCCACAAGCUUGGGGGAGGCUCGUCCAACUACUGAAUGCUUUGCCUGAUCACCCUCUUGAUAAGAAUGAAAUAUUUGAUAUCUUCUAUAAUGGACUUACCGAUGCUUCCAGAGACCACCUAGAUACUUGUGUUGGUUGUGUUUUUAGGGAACGAACCGUAGAACAAGCUGAGAUCCUAUUGAAUAACAUCUUGUGCAAUGAGAAUGCUUGGACUAUUCCCGAACCACCUCCUAAGCCAACUCCGAAGAAAAGAGGUAUUCUAUUCCCCAGUCCUGAAGAUAUGCAAGAAGCUAAGAAAUCUAUGCGAGAGAAAGGCAUUAAAUCUGAAGAUGUCAAAAAUCUACCACCUAUCGAAGAGAUCCAUGGUCUUGAUAACCCGAUACAGGUAGUAGAAGUAAAUUCUCUGCGUAGGUUUGAUGAGAGUGAUAUUCCUUUUGAUAAACCUGCUAGCCUAUGCCUAGAUGAAUUUGAUAACUUUGUUGCCAAACAACAGAGUUUCAAUGAUUAUGUUAGCACACAAUUGGAACAAAAUGCUCGUAUGCUUAGUCAUUUAAGUGCUUGUGUGGACAAAAAUGUCAAUGAUCUUAAGCUCUUGAGUAAACAUGCCUCUAUGGUUACUACUCAGGUAGAACAAGUACUUAAGGCUCAUAAUGACUUGCUCAAUGAGUUGAAUGACAAUUAUGUUAGAGUCGUUACUAGAGGCGGUAGAAUGACUCAAGAACCUUUGUAUCCUGAGGGUCAUCCUAAGAGAACUGAAAAGAUUCUCAAGGAGUUAGCAUUGAUGCACCUAGUCAUCCUAGGAAGAAGAAGAAGGAUGAUAGGAACCUGCACGCUAGCAACCCUGUUGCUGCUACACCUGAGAGUCCAAACGAUGUCUCUGUCUCUGAUGCUGAAACAUAAUCUGGUGAUGAACAUGAGCCUAAUGAUAAUAUCGAUAGUGAUGUUCAUGAAGAUGCCCAACAUAGCAAUGAUAAGGAUGUGGAGAUUGAACCUGUUGAUCUUGAUAACCCAGAGCCUAAGAAUAGAAGAUACAAUAAGAAUGACUUUGCUGCUAGGAAGCAUGGUAAAGAAAGGGAACCAUGGGUUCAUAAACCUAUGCCCUUUCCUCCCAAACCAUCCAAGAAAAAGGAUGACGAGGAUUUUGAGCAAUUUUUUGAAAUGAUUAGACAUGUCUUUCUCCUAAUGCGUUUGACAGAUAUGCUCAAGAUGUCUCUGUAUGCUAAGUACAUGAAGGAUAUUGUGACUAAUAUGAGGAGGAUACCUGAGGUUGAGAUUUCCAUCAUGCUCGCUAAUUAUACCUUCAAGGGUGGAACUCCUAAGAAACUAGGUGAUCCCGGUGUGCCCACUAUACCUUGCUCCAUUAAAGGAAACUACGUUAGAACUGCUUUAUGCGACCUUGGGGCCAGUGUUAGUGUUAUGCCUCUCUCUCUUUAUCGUAGACUUGAACUAGAUAAGUUGACAGCCACUGAAAUCUCUCUGCAAAUGGCCGAUAAAUCAAAUGCUUUCCCUAUCGGCAUUUGCGAGGAUGUGCCUGUUGUGGUUGCCAACGUCACUAUCUUAACAGACUUUGUUAUCUUGGAUAUUCCCGCGGACAUGCCAUGGCGGUCAUCCUCGGAAGACCCUUUUUAAACACUGCAGGGGCUGUUAUAGAUUGCAACAAAGGCAAUGUCACUUUCCAUGUCAACGGUAAUGAGCAUACGGUGCACUUUUCGAAGAAACAAUAUCGAGUACAUUGCAUCAGUGCUAUCGAAAAAACUUCAUCGAUUCUUAUUGGGAGCUUUGAAUGCCCUAUUCCUCAUGUUAAGAUGAAGUAUGAUUUGCUUGUUGGGGAGAUACACAUCCCCAUUGAGGUGACCUAGUGACUAUUUGAAAAUUCUCCGGUCUCUUUUUCGAUUCGGAAAAGUUUAUCAAGGAGACUUGAUCAACCUCAUUGACAGAUUUCUUUCGAUGGACCAUGAGAUGGAUGAAUCGAGGAGUCACAAACCUCUAUUCCAAGCUUUCACCUUCGGUUGCUUAGAAUAAAAAUGACAGGUUUAGUUUAGUUUUCCCUGUUUUCUGUUUUAGCGUCCGGUAGAAAAGUACCCCGAAAAUAAAAGUUCUCCAAACGUCCUGAAAAUCAAGUAUGAUUUUUUCUGGAUUUUUUGAAAAAUACUGAGACGAAUAGCUAGUCUGGGGUUGCACCAGUGGGCCACAAGCCCUGGAGGCGCAGGAACCCCCUGGCCGCGCCUACCUGGCUUGUGGGUCCCACGUGCACCCCCUCCACUCAUUCUAGCUCCCAUCUGGUUCUCCUAACUCUAGAAAAAAAUCGUCUUGCAGCUCAAACCCGUGUUCUUGCUCCUCUUGCUGGGAUUUUCGAUCUCCUUGCUCAAAGCACCAUUCUCCGAACUAUUUUGGGAAAUUACUCCUUGGUAAGUGACUCCUCCAUUGUCCAAUUAGUUUUUGCUCUAGUGCCUUGCACUUCGCGUAUUUUUGCUGCCUUGGUGACCAUGUUAUUGAGCUUUGCAUGCUAAUUUUAGCUGGUCCCAAGUGGUUUUGAUGCGUAAUAUGGCCUCUAGGCACUUGUGGGAGUAGUUGCUACGAGUUUCGUUGAGCCUUGUUCACUUUUCCUUAGAAUCACUAAAAUUUCAGAAAUUUUCAGAGAUAGAAAAAGGAAAAGAUGAGGAGGUUCUUAAGAGGCUCUUCAAGCCGUGACCCCAAGGAUGAUGGAAGUGAGAAGAAGCCCAAGUAUCUGGUCCCUCGAGUCGCAGAAGUUCAAGCGUGCGAGUGGCCAAGCGGUGUGUUCUUACGCGCCGCCAGACUUUAUGAGGAAUUUUACUACUUGGUGGAGAACGCGGGCCUUACCGCCUUCGUUGAAGAUAAGUGUCCGCAAUACCUCCUCCUCACUAAUAUCUUCGUACAAAUCUUUAACUUCUAUCCGAGGAAGAAUCCUCCUAUGGUUGAGUUCAAACUUUAUGAUAUCCCCCAGCGCAUGUCACUCCAGGAUUUUUGCAAUGUCUGCAAAUUACCUUACAUUGGGGAUAUUCAUGAACCUCGUCCACGGGACUUGGAGGCUUUCAUCGGUACAAUUGUUGUAGGAGAGGAGAGAGGAGUGUCUUGCGCUAGAGCUAUUAGCAUUCAUUUUCCCGUGCUACGGUACUUCUCAUUAUUCGUGGGAAAAUGUUUGAUUGGUCGUGGGAAAGCUGGGUCACUUAGUUCCCCAGAUCUUGCGGUCUUGGGCGAAGCCCUUUAUAAUGAUAAAACUUAUAGCUUGGGCGCUAUAGUAGCUCAACGGUUGAACACGAACCAUUCUAAAGGCAUUGUCUAUGGAGGUAUCUAUGCUAGUCGUCUUGCUAGACACUUUAAGAUACCUAUUAGACUGGAGGAGGAAGAAGAGAUUCUUCUUCCCGAGAGAUAUCUAGAUUACGAUAGCAUGGUUCGCCAUGACUUUCUUGAUAGAGAUAUAAAUAGAAGGAUGAUCUAUAACCUGGUAUUUAGUCAGGGUACUCGUGAGACUAUUACUUUGCCUGCUCCUUAUUUGUUCAAUCUUCAUGCAUGUAGGUACAUUAUUAUGCCCUUGGACAUCUACGCAUAUUGGGGCUUGGCCCAACCACAGGUGCCCGUGCCCGAGCCACCAGUCGAGUACCAGACGCCGGUUUAUCAGUGGGAGCCAGAGGAGCUCACACAGCAUUGGCAUCCUCAGUCCACUCUGGAGUAUCCCGGAGCUAGUUAUUUCCCUCCUUGGGAGUAGCCCAACUUAGGCCAAAAGCCUAAGCUUGUGGGAGUACGUGUUUCUCACCGACUUUACAUUCUUGCUUAUGCUUUCACUUUGUUCGUCGGUGUUCACACUUUGCCAUUGUAUCAUCCAUGCUAGUUUAUUUCUUUUUCUCAUUUUCUUUUCGUGUGUCUGUCUAGUUUGAGAAAACCCAAAAAGAUUUUCUUUUUCUUCUCUUGCUUGUUGGGAGCUUUCCCGUGUAAAUAGUUUUCUUUUUCAUUGGGUCAAGGUAGAAGACCAUGGUUACAAUGUUUAAUGGCUCUCGCAUGCAUAUAUGUUUAUCUGUUAAAGAGCCAUAUUACUUUGUCUUCUCCUUUGUGUUUGCAUGCAGAUUCCAGCUUAGUCCAAUGCACAAGCACUCUUAUUAUUGUUCACAUCGUUCGGUCGUGAAAGUGAAAGGCAAUAAUGACGAUAUAUGAUGAAGUGACUGAGCCUGGAAAAGCUGGUAUGAACUCGAUCUAUUUUGUUUUUAUAAAUAUGACUAGCUCAUCGUGCCUGAUUCAGCUUUGUUGUGAGAGAAAGAUGUUUGCAACUUAGAGAUCAUAGUUGCUUAUGCCAUGCUUAUUUAGCUAGGAGCUUAUAAUGGUUUGUCUUGGAUGCCCACAUGAACUUUGAGAUGACUAUGAUGUAGUAUGAUAGGAUGGUAUCCUCCUUUGAAUGAUUCAAGUGGCUUGACUUGGCGCAUGUUCACGCAUGUAGUUGAAACAAAAUCACCAUAGCCUCUACGAUGUUCAUGUUCAUGGUGAUUUAUGUCCUACUCAUGCUUGCACUCAAUGUUAGUUAAUCUCGUUGCAUUUUGAUGACCGUUGUCGCUCUCUAGUUGGUCGCUUCCCAGUCUUUUGCUAGCCCUCACUUGUACUAAGCGGGAAUACUGCUUGUGCAUCCACUUCCAUAAACCCAAAGUUGUUCCAUAUGAGUCCACCAUACCUACCUAUAUGCGGUACCUACCUGCCGUUCCAAGUAAAUUUGCAUGUGCCAUUCUCUAAACCUUCAAGAAAUAAUAUGUUUUGCUUGCCCGAACCGCUCAUGUGGUGACAGGGGGCUAUCAAUAUCUUCCGUGCUAGGCGUGUUAUCCUCGAUAUGUGUUUAUUCACUAUCAUUCACGAGAAAGGGGCCGGUAAUUAGAAUGCCUAGUUCCAUGCUCAAAUCGAAAAGAUAAUUGCAAACAAAACUCUCCCUAGAUUGAUGUUGGUAUGGACGGCACCCAAGGAUUCGGCUAGUCGUGGAGUGUGAUUGAUCGGUGGUGGGGGAGUCAAAACUUUACUUUUCUGUUUGGGAACCGCCUAUAGCAUGUGUAGCGUGGAAGAUGAUGAGAACUCUUAGUCAUUGCGUUGACAAUGAAAGCAUGCCACCCAAAAUUAUUAUCUCUGUUUUCAAAGCUUGAGCUCUCGCACCUCUGCAAAUCAACGCUUCCCUCUGCGAAGGGCCUGUCUAUUUAUGUUCCUGUUGAGUCAUCCUCCUCUUAUAAAAGCACCAAUUAGAGAGCACCUCUCUCAUUUUUUAUGCUUUGCUUUUAACUGUGUUGAGUAUGACUCUGACUGGAUGUUCUUUGCCAUGAAUUACAAUGUUUAGUCAGCCCUUGGUCUUUGAAGGUGCUCUGCAUUUAUGUUUUGCGGUCUCAGAAAGAGCUAGCGAGAUACCAUCUGUUCGUACUGCUUCAUGAUUGUUUUGAUUGAAGUGUUGACGUUUGAGACUUAUUAUUAUUUGCUCGCUAGUUGAUUAUGUCGUUGAUAUGAGUUUAUCGUGAGACCUUGAUGUCAUUUGCUUAUGUGGUUUGUUUGUGAUCUUGCUGAAAUUCUGGUUAUGAGUUAGACAUAGUUGCAACCACAAGAUCAAACCGAGUUCGUCAAAUUUUUUCUUUUGUCCCUUUCAGUUUGUCAACUGAAUUGCUUGAGGACAAGUAAGGCUUUAAGCUUGGGGGAGUUGAUACGUCUCCGUUGUAUCUACUUUUCUGAACUCUUCUGCCCUUGUUUUGGACUCUAAUUUGCGUGAUUUGAAUGGAACUAACCCGGACUAACGUUGUUUUCAGCAGAAUUGCCAUGGUGUUGUUUUUGCGCAGAAAUAAAAGUUCUCGGAAUGACCUGAAAAUUUACGGAGAAUUUUUCUGGGAUUUAUGAAAAAUACUGGCGCAAGAAUUAGCGGAGGGAGUGGAGCCGUGAGCCCAUAAGCUCACCAGGCUCGGGCCCCCCUGGCCACGCAUGGCAGGCUUGUGGGGCCCACAAAGCUCCACCGCCUCUCAAUCCAGCUCUAUAUAGUCCGUUUCGUCCGGAAAAAAAUCAAGGAGAAGAGUUCAUCGCAUUUUACGAUACGGAGGCGCCGCCACCUCCUGUUCUUCAUCUGGAGGGCAGAUCUGGAGUCCGUUCUGGGCUCCGGAGAGGGGAGAUCGUCGCCAUCGUCAUCACCAACCUUCCUUCAUCGCCAAUUCCAUGAUGUUCUUCACCGUUCGUGAGUAAUCUUAUCGUAGGCUUGGUGUACGGUGAUGGGUUGGAUGAGAUCUAUCAUGUAAUCGAGUUAGUUUUGACGGGGAUCGAUCCUUAGUAUCCACUAUGUUCUGAGAUUGAUGUUGCUACUACUUUGCCAUGCUUAAUGCUUGUCACUAGGGCCCGGGUGCCAUGAUUUCAGAUCUGAACCUAUUAUGUUGUUGCCAAUAUAUAUGUGUUUUAGAUCCUAUCUUGCAAGUUGUAGUCACCUACUAUGUGUUAUGACCCGGCAACCCCGGAGUGACAAUAGCCGGAACCACUCCCGGAGAUGACCAUAGUAUGAGGAGUUCAUGUAUUCACAAAGUGUUAAUGCGUUGGUCCGGUUCUUUAUUAAAAGGAGAACCUUAAUAUCUCGUAGUUUCCAUUAGGACCCCGCUGCCACGGGAGGGAUGGACAAUAGAUGUCAUGCAAGUUUUUUCCCUAAGCAUGUAUGACUACAUACGGAAUACAUGCCUACAUUAGAUUGACGAACGGGAGCUAGUUACUUAUCUCUCCGUGUUAUAACUGUUACAUGAUGAAUCACAUCCGGCAUAAUCAUCCAUCACCGAUCCAAUGCCUACGAGUGUUUUACUACUGGUCCUUGCUACGUUACUCUGUUGCUACUGCUGUCACUACUGCUACUGUUACUCUGUCACCACUGAUGUCACUGCUGCUACUGUUACUUUGCUGCUACCGGUUACUGUUGGUACUGCUGCUAUCAUACUACCUUGCUACUGAUACUUUGUUGCAAAUACUAAAUCUUUUAGGUGUGGUUGAAUUGACAACUCAACUGCUAAUACUUGAGAAUAUUCUUUCGCUUCCCCUUGAGUCGAAUCAAUAAAUUUGGAUUGAAUACUCUACCCUCGAAAACUGUUGCGAUCCCCUAUACUUGUGGGUUAUCAAGCACCUCCGCCGGCUUGUUUUGCACGACCAUCGUUGACCUUGCAGGGAGGGGGAGUGGGUGGUGUGUAGCCGGUGUUGCAAAUCUCACCUAUGCAGCGGGAGGAACACCUGGUGCUGUAGACCUCGCCGCACCUGGCGACGAUGUCUGCUGCCACGCCGGCGAUGGAGUUCCGUUGCAGCAGGCGAGGCUAAGGGGAAGCUGCAUUGCAACAGGCCACAUCGAUGGCGAGCUGCAUGGCAGCACGAGAGGCUACGAGGACACUGUGAGGUCAUGCCAGUGGUAGAAGUUACGGGAAUGUUGCAUGCCAAAAAGCCACGCUGGCUGCGAAGCUAUGUUGCUAUGGACUAUGGGGACACUUCUGUCAUGCCCCCGGGGUGGAGCUGCGUUUUAGCAGACGGAUUAUGAUGUCGUUGCUGCCAUGCCCAAUGUGAGAGCUACGUUGCAAGAGUGGUCCAUUGCAACAGGGUGGCUGGAGACAACACUGCCAUGACCAACGACGAUGCAACUUCAAGCAGGGGCGGAGCCCAUGGGGGCGAGCAGGGGCCAGACCCCCCCCCNNNNNNNNNNNNNNNNNNNNNNNNNNNNNNNNNNNNNNNNNNNNNNNNNNNNNNNNNNCCCCCCCCCAUCGUUCGGCCACCCCCAUCGAUUUUCAGGGGGGCUGGAUGUAGAAGUUUUGUUAACUUGCGAUAAUUAGUACUAGAUCAUGGAAGUAAUUAUAUUGAUAUAAGUAGUCAAACACCAAGUUGGGAAAAGGCCCAAGCCUAGGAAGCAACUGACAUCGGCCCAUUAGAUGGAUGCGUAACUUUUGUAUUCUAGACCGAGUGCACCUGCACUACUCGAUGAUGUAUUAGUUGACUACCAGUAGUCGGCCCCGUGCGCUAGGGCAUCGUCAGCGUCUGGCGGCGACACAUGUGUUUGUUGAUUGUCCCCCCGUGCGCUAGGGCAUCGCCAGCAUCCGGCCACAAUGCGUGUAUUCGUCGUUUGUCACCCGUGUGUGCUAUGGGGAUCGCCUGCGGCGAGUCUAUGCGCCAAUUUCAUGAUAUCCAUGUGUUAGGCGCUUCAGCUUAUACCAUCAGAAUAACACUAUACCACUCGCGCCGGAUCUAAGGUAAUCAUAUUACGAUUUCAUGUCUUGGAUACCAUGUGUUAUUACUAUUGCUAAAUCUGUAUAUAAAACUGCUAGAUGCUAAAUACUGUUUGUUCAUCGGUUAUAAAUUAUACAUAUCGUCUAUACAUAACAGCCUCAAUAUCACAUAUUUUUAUAUAGAAACUGCCAAUCAAAUAUUUAGCGUAAAUAGAAAUUGCACAGCAAACUAGACAAUAUAAGAUUCUGAAUCUGUUACAUGCAUUUUUUUGUUGUGUUAGUGAUACAUCCAAACUAAUAAAAUUCUACAUGUUUUCUAAGUACAAAAUAUAUGUUAUCACGUGUUGGUCUUGUAUAGGCCCGGGCCCACAGUGGUGCAAACUGUGCGGCCCGUACAGGGCCCAAAAUUUUAGGGGGCCCAAAAAAUUUUAAGUAGGCCACGUACUAAAAAAAAACCUAUGGACUACUCACUACUCGACCAGUGGGCUGCUGGGAGCCAACGAGCCAGCGAGGCUCGAUGUCCCGCUGAGGCCAUCAAGGCAAGUAUCCAUCCAGCCAGAUUCUGCUUCCCCUAAUCACGCUGCUGCCGUUUUUUUGGAUCGUGGCAGCCUGCAGGUUGCCUCUUCGUCCGUUCGUCGCCUCGUCGUUCGUCUCCCCCUCGAGUCGCUCGUCCGCUCACAGGCUGGUCGUCGCCUCGUCGCUCGUCUCCUCCUCGAGUCCCUCGUCCAUUUGCAGGAUGCUCAUCGUGUCGUCGCUCGUCUCCUCGACGCCUCGUACUGUCAUACAAACUACAGACUACAGAGACUUUGCCUCCUCUCAAAAAUUUUAGAUUCGUGGACGUUUUCUUGUCCGAUUGAUCUUCAAGUUCUUUUUAUUCAUCGUCUAAUCGUCUUUAUAUUAUAUUUCAACAAUGCAGAUUUGAAUCAUCAUGGGAAAACAACAAUCUGAUGCCUAUAAACGCAAGAUAAAAACACAAGAACAAAAUUUAAUAAAUCUUAUAAAGAAGGUAUGGACAUAUUUGUUAAAAAAACACCAGAAGUAUCAUCUGGUAAUCGGUCUGUUGAUCCUUCUAGCCUUGCACUUGCAAUUUUUCCUUACAUUGAUUCAAGAUCUGCUCACACAGAGACAGAUAAUAUAGAGGUAGAGACAUAUAAUAUUGAGGCUGAUGAUUAUUUUCAAUAUGAUAUAUUUGACUCAAAAAACUGGAAUUCUCUUGAUUGUAAACAGAUUUAUAUCUUACCACAAAAUGAUCCAAAAAGAGACAAAUCAAUUAAGAAAGGUCCCAAAGAUAGACAUCGUAAAAGGUUUACUGCAGCCUUCUAUACUAGAUUCCUAUAUUUUCACACAGGGCCCCGGUUUUUGUCGGCCCGGCCCUGGUCUUGUAUGAUCAUUGUAUAAAAAAGUGUAUGAAAAUCUCUGGCAGGAGCUCGCCACCAUCAGGGUUAGUUUUCCUGCAUGUGUGUGGUGGGGUGGGCUGUAACUGGAUUUUCCUGCUCCUUUUUGUCGCAAGGCAAUGGGGGCGAAGCAGCCUCUCUAAUAUGUUGUGUAUCGAACGGUUAAGCCAACUUUAGAGUACGAUCCCAUUCGGUCCAGCUCUGUUUAUUUGGGUCAAAACAAACAAACCUCACUAUCCAGCGCGCAUCGUUCUGGACGCAUCUCGUCCGUUUUGUGUCCGGGACGACCCAUUUCCGACGCAAACAUGCGUCCAGUUUGGGUCCUGAUGGACAGCGAGCAGACGCGUUCGAGCCCACCUCUCGUCCGCGUCGGGGACGCAUGGCAGGCGGCCACCUACCUCCCACCCGCCCGUAUUUACUAUGCACGCCCGGUAGGCCCCACCUGUCAUCCACUCAGGCGGGCUAUCGUCGUCCUUCUUAAAUCGGGAAGCCGUGGACCGGCAUCGUACAACGCACGCGUCCACUCCACUGCCUCCUCGGGACCGACACCAAACCCGCGUGCCCGCUCCAAACCCUAGCUUCUCCCCCUCUCUCGAUCUCUCCGGCCGCCGACAGCAAUGGGAUGGUGGAGCACCGGCGGCAAGGGGAAGGGGGCGCACGACCACGAGGCUGGGUCCUCGUCUGGCCGCCGCAGCGCCGCAAGCGAGUCUUCUCCUCCGCGACGGCCUACUCAGGCACCCUUCUCCAUUGCCCCUCCGGACGCCCCGACGCGCUCCCGGCAGUACGUCCACGCGGAUGUGUGCCCUGACGACGAUGACGACAACGGCGGUCCCUGAAGACAUGACGGGCACAACAGCAGCGCGGGGCGGCCCCAUUUUUAUCUAUUUUUUUAAUUAUGUUAAUUAAGGAUUGUGGGUCGUGGGACCGUUAAAUUAUUGAUGUAUAAUUACUAAUGUUUGACUUUAUUUAUAUAUUUUUUUUGUUUUUUUUUGUUUUUCCAAUUUUUUAAUUCCGGAUAAUUUGAUGUGCGGCCACGCGUUGGACACAUCGACCCGGCCACGGACCGAUCCAGACAUGGGCAGGCCAAUUAUCGUCUCAAACGGAUAGAAUUGAGAUCAAACGGACAUUCGGAUGAGGUCACGCGCUGCAAUUGGCGUUAAGGAAGACGAAAUCGAGACAGAACAAGCGGCCAGCAAGCCGACUGAUUUUGGGACGCCUAGCAGCCGGCUACCAACAAAUACACAUGUGUGUCCUAUGAGCACAUCCGAAGGAAUGAACCAACGGAUCUUAAGAUUGAAAGUUCACCACAGACGCAAAUGUUGUAACAGUUCUCGUGCUCUAUUCCGUGAUGACCAUGGAACUAUGGAUGCAUUCGUCGUUUAAUUUAUUCCACUCCAUGGAGAAUAGCGGUUCANNNNNNUCCAUGGAGAAUAGCGGUUCAGCAGAUAACAUCGUUGUGGCACUCUCCAACGGCAGGUGCGUAGCUGCCAACAGGUAUGGAGCACACGUCUACCUCUAGGUAGCUAAGCUAGCUAGGCGAUGUACCCUAGCCUCUGGAGCAGCGCGGAGCGGAGGGCGCCGUCGCCGUCGUCGUCCUGUAGUCCAGCGGGCACGUCGAUGACGACGUCCUGCACCGUCACGCCCUCCAUGCGGUGCACGCACGCGUGCUGCACCUGCAGCUCUAGCGACCGGAGCGCACUCAUCAGCCGCGCCGGCGCGUGCCGGGCUCGUCCCGAGCUCAUCACGCGCACCGCCGCCGCGUCCUUCCCCACCAUCCGCACCUCCACCACAUCGUCGCCAGCCCCGGCGUGGCUGCCUCGGGACGAAGAAGCGGGCCCGUUCGACGCCUCCCACCUAGCGGCGGCCGCCUGCCGGCCCUCCUCCUCGAGCCGCGCGACGCGGGAGCGCAGCUCGGUGAUGUAGGCGACGGCGUCGGCGAGGAGUGAGGCCUUGUCCAUCCGGGACACGGUGGGCACGGCGGCGCGGAGGUCGCAGAAGCGUCGGUUCAGCUUGUCGCGGCGCUGGCGCUCGGCCUCCACGUGGCUGACGGUGAGACCAUCGGGCCGCGGCACGGGCUUCCGCCCACGCCGCUUUGUAGGCGUGGUCGUCGACGCCGGCGGUAGCUCGGAGUCCGGGGAGAGCGACGAGCUCCCGGCAGGCCACAAGAAAUCUACAUCCUCGCUCUUGGCCGGCACUGCGGUGUCGCCGAGCAGCCAUUGCUCGGGGACCUCGCAGGAGGCGAACUCGAGGAGCUGGUGGUGGGACCCUUCGGCGGUAGAGAACUGGGUAGGCGGCGAUGGCGGGAAGAACGGGGAGCACGGCGAUAGCAGCUCGUCCAUGGCCGGCACGCCGCUGUACCCUGUACGUCUCGCUAUGCUAACUGAAGAGCUCGAAGUGGCAAAUUAGCGGCCGGAGAUGUGUGGUGUGGUUUACUGUGGGCGAGUGUCUUAUACAGGUGGCAUAUUUGCAGUUGAGACCUUGCUUACAUGUAGGAGUAUGUGUCAUGUUAAAUGCAUGUAUCUGUCCUUCUCGAUUUUAAUUCCCUCUCGCGAAAAACAUGUCCCUUUGGGAUUAGAAGUACGAAAGAGAUUGGAAGUUUGGAACCAAUAGCUAAGGCUAUCUCCAAUGUAUCGAUGUGCUAAGCACAUUAAAAGACUUAGCAACUAAAACAUAUUGUUGCGAACGGACUAAAUCUGGGUCGUCAAUUAGCAAACCGUCGUUAGGACGUGAUUAGUCACUUAUUAGUCCAAAACGUCGUACGGACGCGUCCGUCCGUACAGGCGUCUUUUUGUACAGACACCUCUUCGCAUGCGUCCCAAACCUUGUAUAUAUAUUUCAGAUCAAUGAAAGAGAGACAGUGAUUCGCACAAUAUUUUGCUUUCGUUGUUUCACACGUUAUCAAGCACUGCUCUGCCAGAAAGAUAAAGAAGAAAUAGAUUUUACGGGAAAAUAAUCCAAUGAAAGAAGAAUUAUGUUUGGUGGACAGUUGUACCACUAACACAAUUUUAAGGGAAAUAAAAUAUUUCCAAACUCUAACUAAGAGAAAAGGGAAUAUUGUGACAAUCGCCGGUCGCGAUGCAUCAAUUAUUGGUUCAGGACGAGCCACACUUGUUCUACCUAUGGGUACUACGAUUGUAAUUGAGGAUGCACUCUUGUAUCCUGAAUCUACACGCACCCUUCUAAGUUUCAAAGACCUCAGAUCAAAUAAUUUUCAUGUGGAAACAAUUUCUGAAAAUAAUUCUGAAUAUUUGCUUUUAACAAAAAGCAAUGGGUUCUGAGAAACAAAUUCUUGAAAAAUUCCCCUCACUUUCAUCUGGAUUAUAUUACAGUUAUAUAAAACCCGUACCACAUGUUGCGUACAAAAUAAUUUUUCAAGACCUUGAUAAAUUCAAGACUUGGCAUGAUCGCCUAGGUCAUCCUGGCAUAGGGAUGAUGAGAAAAAUUAUUGACAAUUCUAUUGGUCACAGCCUUCCAACUAAAAAUUUUCCAAAAUCAUCAGAUUUUGUGUCCACCGCAUGUGCAACUCGAAAAUUAAUUAUAAGACCAUCUUAUCUUAAGGUAAAAAGUGAGUCACUUAACUUUCUUCAACGCAUUCAAGGAGAUAUAUGUGGUCCAAUUCAAUCACUAUCUGGACCUUUUAGAUAUUUCAUGAUGCUCAUAGAUGCAUCUACUAGAUGGUCAGAUGUAUGUCUAUUGUCCACACGAAAUCAUGCUUUUGCCAAGAUAAUUGCUCAAAUUAUCAAAUUAAGAGCAAAUCAUUCUGAAAAUAGGAUAAAAACAAUUCGAAUGGACAAUGCCGCUGAAUUCUCUUCACGAGCAUUCAAUGAAUACUGCAUGGCUAUGGGCAUUCAUUUAGAACAUUCUGUGCCUUAUGUCCAUACUCAAAAUGGUUUGGCUGAGUCUCUCAUCAAAAGAGUAAAAUUAGUUGCUCGACCACUAUUACAGAAUUGUAAUUUACCAGCAUCUUGUUGGGCACAUGCAGUAUUACACGCCGCAGAUCUGAUACAAAUCAGACCAACUGCAUAUCAUACAACCUCCCCACUGCAACAAGUACGUGGCACUCAGCCAAGUAUUUCCCAUCUGCGAAAAUUCGGUUGCGCAGUAUACGUACCGAUAUCACCACCGCAACGUACAUCCAUGGGCCCCCACAAAAAACUAGGGAUCUAUGUGGGUUAUAAUUCUCCGUCAAUUAUUAAAUAUCUUGAACCUCUUACAGGGGACCUGUUUACUGCCGGCUAAGCUGAUUCAAUUUUUGAUGAGGACCAUUUCCCGACAUUAGGGGGAGAAUCAAACCACAAAGAAUACCAGGAAAUAGAUUGGAAUGUAACAGGCAUUCAGUCCUUAGAUCCACGUACUAAAGAAUCUGAAACUGAAGUUCAGAGGAUCAUAGACUUGCAACACAUUGCAAAUAAUUUGCCAGAUGCAUUUACUGACCAUAAAGGUGUCACUAAAUCACAUAUUCCCGCUGUUAAUGCACCAGAACGAGUGGAGGUACCAACUAAAACCACUCAAACCCCAAAUGAGAGUAAGAGGGGGAUAAAUCUGGUUAGCCGGAAUAUAGCUUCUCAAAAGCCUCUGCGGAAACAGAAGAAACCAAAUCCUGUACCAGUAAAUGCAAUUCAACCUCAAGUUGAAGGACACCAACCAGAUGCUCAACAUCUUGAACCUAGCAUAAAUGCGCAUAAAAACAUAAUAGCUGGGACAUCGGAACACCAUGACUCUAUUGUUGUGGGAAAUCACAUAGAGUCUGAAGGUAUAAAAGAAAUUUCCAUAAACUAUAUAGAAUCAGGAGAAUCAUAUAAUCGAGAGACUACAAUUGUCGACAUAUAUUUUGCCUCUGAAAUUGCUGAAACCCUUCAACUGGAUCCAGAACCAAAGACCGUCAGGGAGUGCCUCAAGCGUCCUGAUUGGCCUAAAUGGAAGGAAGCAAUUGAGGCAGAACUGCACUCGCUCAACCAAAGAGAGGUGUUUUCCUCAGUAAUACCUACUCCUCAGAAUGUCUUCCCUGUGGGAGCAAAAUGGGUUUUGUCCGAAAAAGGAACGAAAACAAUGAGGUGGUGAGAUACAAAGCGAGGCUUGUAGCACAAGGGUUCACGCAGAGACCCGGCAUCGAUUAUGAUGAUACAUACUCUCCUGUUAUGAGUGGAAUAACGUUUCGAUACUUAAUAUCUAUGGCAGUACAAAUGAGUUUAUCUAUGCAGUUGAUAGAUGUAGUGACAGCAUACUUAUAUGGGUCACUCAAAUCGGACAUAUAUAUGAAAGUCUCUGAAAGACUUAAAAUGCCGAAUCCAAAAGCAAAUCGCAACGCAUGUUGUGUAAAAUUACAGAAGUCACUAUAUGGCUUAAAACAGUCGGGUAGAAUGUGGUAUAACCGACUAAGUGAGUUCCUUAUUCAGAAAGGCUACUCAAAUAAUGAUGAUUGCCCUUGUGUAUUUAUAAAGAAGUCCUCAAAUGGAUUUUGCAUCAUCUCAGUGUAUGUUGAUGACCUCAAUAUCAUUGGAAGUACAUCUGAUAUCGAAGAAGCACGCAAUCAUCUAAUGGCGGAAUUUGAGAUGAAAGAUUUGGGAAAAACCAAAUUCUGCUUAGGCUUACAGCUUGAGCACCUUCCCUCAGGAAUUUUAGUAUACCAACCUGCUUAUAUUCAAAAGGUUUUGGAAAAAUUUAAUAUGGAUAAAUCAUAUCCAACCAAAACACCCAUGGUUGUCAGAUCCCUUGAUAUGAAUAAAGAUCCUUUUAGACCUUGGGAUAAUGACGAAGAGAUAUUGGGACCUGAGUUCCCAUAUCUCAGUGCCAUUGGUGCGCUAAUGUACCUUGCAAAUUGCACGAGGCCUGAUAUUGCAUUUGCGGUAAAUUUACUAGCUAGACAUAGCGCUACUCCAACAAAACGUCAUUGGAUGGGAGUAAAGAAUAUCCUUACAUAUUUACAUGGCACAAAAAACCUUGGCUUAUUCUAUCACAAAAACCAAGGUAUGACUAUGGUAGGAUAUACUGACGCUGGCUAUCUAUAUGAUCCUCACAAUGCCAGGUCACAGACAGGUUUCGUAUUCUUAUAUGGUGGAACUGCUUUUUCGUGGAAGUCAACAAAACAGACUCUCGUAGCAACUUCCACUAAUCAUUCUGAAAUUAUUGCAUUAUUUGAAGCAUCAAAAGAAUGUGUAUGGCUUCGUAGGAUGAUUAACCACAUUCAAACUACAUGUGGUGUUGGUUCAUUAGGAUCACCAACUAUUAUUUAUGAAGAUAAUGCAGCUUGUAUUGCUCAAAUGCAAAUGGGUUAUAUAAAAAGCAAUAUCACAAAACACAUUUCUCCUAAAUUGUUCUAUCCUCAUGAAUUACAGAAAAAAUGGAGAAAUUGAUAUUUUGCAAACUAAAUCAUGUGACAGUCUAGCAGAUUUGUUCACAAAGUCUUUACCAAAUUCAACGUUCCAGAAAUACAUUCAUGGAAUUGGUAUGAGACGACUUCGUGAUUUGCAAAGUUCAGGGGGAGAAAUCUCCUGAAAAUAUAACCCUUUAAUUAUCAUCAGAUAAUGAAUAUUGUACUCUUUUCCUUUAUGAGUUUUUCCAAGAGGUUUCUCAUAAAAGGUUUUUAACGAGACAAUUAAAUACAAGCAUUGAUGCAUGCCAUAUCAUAUUUCUCCUUAUAUUUUUCCUACUAGGUUUUAAAGGAGUUUUUCAUGGCACAUCUCAUUGCACUCUUUUCAUUAUGAGUUUCUUUGAAAUUUUCUCUCAUAAUGUUUUUAAUGAGGCAAUAUCUUCAUUAAUAUCAUAUGCUAUACUUGCUAUUUUUCCUAUUAAGGUUUUUAAAGGAAAGUAUCUAAAGCAUAUUUAUUGUCCUCUAAAACUCACUAAUAAUUUUCUCCUUCUUUGAAGGUUUUUCUCAUAUGAGUUAUCAAGAGACAAUAAUCACUAUAUGUUGUAUUAUUUUCUCCUUAUAAUUUUUCCCAUUGGGUUUAAAAGGAGUUUUAACAACAUAUCUAUACAUUUCUCCUCAUAUUUUUUUCCCACAGGGUUUUUGGGGGAGAAUCUCAAGAAUUGACUGAUGGAUAUACAAGGAGUUUUCAAUAAUGGAUUACUCAAGAUGGCGUUGUACAAGGGGGAGUGUUGCGAACGGACUAAAUCUGGGCCGUCAAUUAGCAAACCGUCAUUAGGACGUGAUUAGUCAGUUAUUAGUCUAAAACGUCGUACGGAUGCGUCCGUCCGUACAAGCGCCUUUUUGUACAGACGCCUCUUCGCAUGCGUCCCAAACCUUGUAUAUAUAUUUCAGAUCAAUGAAAGAGAGACAGUGAUCCGCACAACAUUUUGCUUUCGUUGUUUCACACAUAUAAGGUUGUCCGUAAUGGGAGUAUCAUAGCUAGUAUCAUGCAUGCGAACUAAGCAAUUUUGAUGAAGUGGCAUAGAAUUAAAUGAAGAAAAAGAAGGUUGAGUAUCAUAUUAUGAUACUGUAUCAUAUUAAAUGAUGUGCUACUAUGUGGCUUGCAUGACAAUAAAUGAACUAUCUUAUGACACUAACAUAUGAUACUAUGCAUUACGGGUGUGGUAUCAUACACUAGUAUUAUAUGCAUAAUACUAGUAUAUGAUACUACCCAUUACAACCAGCCUAAUGCAUAGGUGUUUAACUUGUUGUUGCUAAGUAUCCUUCACUUAAUGAUUUAGGAACUAAAGUUAUUCAUACAUUGGCGUGUUUCUUUCAUUUAAGUGUUUUGUCUAAGUUCAUGCGCUUGGCAUUGUUUCUUCAUGAGGUUACUACACUCAUCUCUUUCCUUUUAAUUAUCUUGCACAUCACAUUUUCCAUCUACAUUGCAGCCUUAGCACCUAUACAAGGUGGAGCACCAGAUGUAGUCAUUUUGCUUUCCGAAGCAGAUGUAGUCAUUUAUAACUUGAUUUCGAUAUACAAAUGGAAAACAUGUAAGAGCAUCACCAACGACGAUCCGCAAACCGUCCGCAUAUGUCCUAAUUGUGUUGUUCGGAUCACGAAAGACAUCCAACGCGGGCCUGUAUCGGUCCGCAAGUCAGUUCGGACGCACUUUCUCCCGCAAACCGGAACCAAAUGGGAGACUUUGCUGGAGUACGAACACACGAAACUUCACUUUUUGCCCCCCUCCCCCGGCCCACCCAAAAGGAAGGCGUGCCCCCUCCCCCGGCCCACCCAAAAGGAAGGCGGAGCACGCGCUUUGUAGCAACCCGCACUGUUUCCGCACAAAAAUCGUCCACUCUCUUCUUCCAUCCCCUGCCGCUCUCCGACUAAUUCCCACUCUUUUGUCCCACCCUCUCCUUCCUUCCGUCGUCGAUGCAUGGAACCACCGGAGAUGGAGGCGUCGGAUGAUCCGAGCAUCACGCUCACCCAAAGAUGAACUCGGCUACGCGGUAGGAUCACCGCGUCAAAGCGAAGGCCGCAAAGGAGGAGAGGAUUAAGAAGCGAUUGGCCACCGGUGGGCUUGGUGGUGGCGUUGUGUGUGGCGGUCGUGAUGGUCAUGGAGGGCGUGGCAGACGUCGCCGGACGAGCACACCCAUGGUACAUACGGCACCGUGGAUGGAGCAUUAUAAGCCUCCAUACUACUACGCCGCCAAGCAUCUCGGAACCCUCUCCGAUAAGGUUCCUUUCAUCAUUGUCGUAAAUGGGAUGUCGUUCUUCUCCGAGUAUUGUUCAUUGCAGCUCGUGUGGGCGCGAACAAUGGUUGGGGAGCAGAUGGAUGACCGCACAUUGUUCGCUACAAUGCCUAGAGCGGAGGAGGGGGUGAAGUACUAUGAUAUGGACACGGAGAGGGUCAACAUGUUGGAAAUAUGCCCUAAAGGCAAUAAUAAAUUGGUUAUUAUUAUAUUUUCUUGUUCAUGAUAGUCGUUUAUUGUCCAUGCUAGAAUUGUAUUGAUUGGAAACUCAAAUACAUGUGUGGAUACAUAGACAACACACUUUCCCUAGUGAGCCUCUGAAGGACUAGCUCGUUGACCAAAGAUGGUCAAGGUUUCCUGAUCGUAGAAUGAGAUGUAGUUUGAUAACGGGAUCACAUCAUUAGGAGAAUGAUGUGAUGGACAAGACCCAAACUAUGAACGUAGCAUAUGAUCGUGUCGUUUAUUGCUACUGUUUUCUGCAUGUCAAAGUAUCUGUUCCUAUGACCAUGAGAUCAUGUAACUCACUGACACCGGAGGAAUGCCUUAUGUGUAUCAAACGUCGCAACGUAAUUGGGUGACUAUAAAGGUGCUCUACAGGUAUCUCCGAAGGUGUCUUUUGGGUUGGCAUGGAUCAAGACUGGGAUUUGUCACUCCCUAGACGUUGCCACCCUACCCUCCUCCCUUAAAAACUUCGGCCUCCACCAAAGGAAGCCGGUAGGCAAUCCCUGCCCAUUAGAUAGCAAACCCUGAUCUUCCCGCUCGUGAGACAAGAGAUCGACAUCCUGGAGCACGGCGUUGGCCCUAGAUGACGACCAUAUAAGAAGCGUAGUGUGGAUUACGGAGCGGCGACACGAGGACGAUGGUGGUCGGGUAGCCGGCGGUGGCCCGAGGAGGUGCCGAGGUUGCGAUGACCUCGUUCUUCGGGCAAGAGGCCAGUCAAGAAGGACAUGUUGUGUCUUGAAGUGAGAGAUUGGCGGUUGAUGAUGCGUAGUAGCAUGGUGGCUAGUAGGCGACCAAGGGGUAGAUGUCUGGUCGAGAUCAAGUCAUUGUGACGUUGUGUGAUGGUAGUGCUGGAGUUUGGUGAUUGGGGCGAGCGUUGAUUUCUUCUUCAUCGGAAGUGGCCUCUGUGAUCAUGAGGGAGAUGUAGAGGCUAGAUUUCGAGAUAGUGAUGUCCUUUCUGAGGCAUGCGGCGGUAUAGGACGCCCCCUCCACCUCUAGAGUCGGUUCGGUCUAUCUCCCUAGGUGCUGCACACGACGACUCUUGUGGAUGUGCUGAGUUAUGCAUGCCACCGCGAGGUGAUACGCACAUCGGCUCAUGCAGAGGCACCAAGUCAUGAUUCUGCGGGCAGGUGCUACACACUCUUGCUCCUAUAGACGCGACAAGUCAUGCAUGUGGCUGCUAUAACGAUGGUGCGAUAGUGAAGGGAGGCGAGACGAAGUGGUGCGUCUUGUCCUUCCGGUACCUUCUCUAGAGAUAACCGGGCAAGGGAUGAUGGUAGAGGCGGCUUCAACACCGAGUAUGCGCACUCCGAUGGAACAUAAGUCCCCUGAUUAGACUAUGUCAACAUGUGACUGCAUUGUGACCUUGCCAAAUAUGUUGGAUCGAAGCUCGGCUUAUGGGACGAAAUUCCGAGACCAAACUAUGUUUGGACUCAUCACUACCGGUGCAUGGAUGCCGCUUCCUUCGUGAAUGAUUAUCUUAGGAGUUGUGUAGUUUGCCUUUGUUCCUGUUUGUUUCCAUAGGGUUAGUGUUUGCUUAGUGUAUGUAAUGUCGUGAGGCAAGCGACCUUUCUUUUUUCUUUCCAAGUCAAAUUUGUUCGGUUGUUGGAGUUUGUUUUAUGAAUGAUAUAUGACAUGUGAUGCAAAACCUAGGGUUAUCCUCCUUUCCUAAAAAAUAUGCACACAUGUAUUAACAUGAUUUUCCGUUUGUCUCUUCUUGAGAGAAGUCUGUUUAUGUGGAGAAAUGUUCAUUGAGAGAUCCUUUAAACAUGUUCAUGUUAUUACACUUGAUAAAUCAUGUGCCGACUCUAAGUCCAUGAUUGGUUUGUUGACACAUGCCGAUAUUUGAAAAUAUUGAAAUGCCAAAUAUUGGCUAACGAUUGCUUAUUUACCCAUUUUUCCCGUCAGCCCCACAAAAAAGUUGCCAGUUUUUGAUAAACUUUGAUUUUUGCCACAUGUCAACAAACCAAUCAUGCUCUAAGUUGAUCGUACGCAUAAGGACUUAGACAUGACAUGGAACUAUACUUUGCACAUAGGUGUGCACUCCUUGUAGCCAAAAGGACAAAAAUGCAUAUACAUUUGGACACGUUACGUACGUGCUUCACGUGUGCGCCCUUUGGCCGGUGCAGUGAGCAUGCGCCCGUACACAGCCCUGAAAGCAUCCGCACGCAAGCGUCUAUGUAGGUGGAAAAGUCAGCGUUCUCUAUCUCCUUCAAAUAUCUGUUGUCACUUGUCAGUUUGUCACGUCCUAGCACCAUCCAUAUAUGGUAUGUGAAAACUUUAAACUAUUUUUUCUGUAUCUAAAUGAUUGUAAUUAAAGAAAACUAAUCUAAGUAUGCUAUUUAAUUACCCAUAAUUUUUCUUAAAGUUAAUCACCGAUAAAUCUUGAAGCUUAGGCCAUUUUCAAUGCAUUGGUGCUAAGAUGAGGUGCUAAGCAUAUUAAAUAGUUUAUCAAUUGAAGUCCACAAUGCAUAGUUGCUUAGUUUAUUGUACUACUAAAGUUUUGCAUAUUUAAUGCUUUUACAACUAAAGUUGUGCAUGCAUUGGUGCAUUUCCUUUAUUUAAUUGGUUUACCUAGUUUCACGCGCUUAACAUUGUUUUUUUCUGGGGUCACCACACUCAUCUCUCUCCUAUUAAUUAACAUGUCACAUCAGAUUUUUUGCCUAUGUGACAGCCUUAACACAUGUACAAGGUGGAGCAUUGGGAGUAGCCUUACCGAUGUGUUGUGCUGCUUUGCUUAGAGCAAGUACAAUAAGGUACAGUCAGCAGGCUGUAAGAAUUAAAAUACUAUAUUUUUGCUGAGUUGGAUGAGAGAGAAGAGGAGAGAGAAGGAAAGCGGGCUCUUCGUGAAGAGUCAGCUGUAGCACGUGCUCCUAGGUGAUUUGUGAGAAUGAAAGAUGGACCAUAUAUGAUAAAAAUAGUACUAUUUUAUAGCUAAUUAUUAUAAAAGCUAGCUAUAAGAUGAGCUAUAAGACUGCUUAUAGCCAGCAGUUGGCUAUACUAUUAAUCAUGCUCUUAGACGCGUAGGGAUAAGAAUGGACACGUUGGACGUUUUGCCAUGUCCGGGAGAGACUGGCCGACUGCAACGAGGAGAUUCGUUGACAUUUCAUUCCGCAAAAGAUAUUCCUUUGGCAUUUCUCCACAUAGAUGGGUGCCAGCAGGGCCAUAGCCCAGCCCGUGCACUCACGUACGUCAAGUGUGGGAAAUGGCCGAACGCAUGAUGCCGUUGCAGCCAACGGGGCGCAGAUAGAGGCCAGGGCAUGCAUGCCGCACUCCGGCGAGCUCGAAGGGACCGGACAAUUGGAGGAGGUCCAGGAGGGACACGUGUAGUAUGGUCCUACAACAGCGCGGCAGGCAAAGGGCCUGGCCUGGUCCUGGUCCUGGUCCAUCGUCCACGCGACGUAGGUCGUGGACCAACAACGUAGUACGACGCUCCGCCCCGGACGGACGUGUUAUCUUUACUAAAUGGCCCCUAAAGGAUUUUAUGUCGCACAUUGACCCUCCAAAAAACUUGUUUCGUCCUCUGAUCCUCACAUUCAUUUCCCGAUCUGCAUCAUAUGGUUCUCCAACGUGUUUAUAUUUUUUAAUUGUUCUAUGCUAUUAUGUUAUUAUUUUAGGAUACUUUUUAUAUUAUUAUUUACCAACUUAUAUUAUUUUUGAGCACUAACUUAUUGACCCGGUGUCUAGUGCCAGUUUCUGUUUUUUUUGUGUGUUUUUUGUUUCACAUAAAUUCCAUAUCGAGCGAAGUUAAAACGCGAUAAAAACUUACGGAGACUAUUUUGGAAUAUAUGUGAAUUUUGGGAGUUAGAAUCAACGCAAGACGAUCCUCAAGGGAGGCACAAGCCAAGAGGGCGCGGUCUGGGAGGGUCGCCCCUCAUGGCUCUGUGUCCACCCCUUAAGUCGGUCGGAGCUUUCUUUUGGCCGCAACAAAGAUAUUUUUUUAAUAAAAAUUCCCUCAAAAAUUAAUUGUGGUCGGAUUUUGGGAUAUCAGGUUAUUGAAGUAACGGUGAAGGGCCAGAAACAAGUCGUGCAAACAGGAGAGAAACACACACAGACACGCACACACACACACACACAUAGAGAGAGAGAGAGAUCCAAUCCCGGAGGGGCUGCUGCCCUCCGGGUCCCAUGGCGGCCUUGGACCAGAGGAGAAACCCUCCUCCCACCUAGGGAGGAGGCCAAGGAAGAAGAAGAAGAAGAAGGAGGAGGAGGGGGCUCUCUCCCCUCUCUCCCGAUGGCACCGGAGAGCUGCCGGGGUAACCCUCGUGACGGGGGUCCACACCAACAACUUCGCCGCCGUCACCACCAACUCUCUCCUCCUCUAUGCGAUGGUGUAAAAUCUCUCUUCCUUGUUGUAAUCUCUACUUGAACAUGGUGCUUAAUGCUAUAUAUUAUUAUCCAAUGAUGUGUGGCUAUCCUAUGAUGUUUGAGUAGAUUCCUUUUUGUCCUACGGGUUAAUUGUGAUAUGAUGUUAUUGAUAUGAAUCGUGUGUUGAUAUGAUGCUAUCCUAAGGUGUUUUCCGUUAGGCGCACACUUGAAAGAUUCACGCUGGAGGGUUUGCAAUAUAUUCUUGAUUCGCUUAUAGUGGGUAGCUAGAGUGACAAAAUCUUACACCUGAGUAAGGAAGUUGUGCGCAUGUGGAAGUAAAGAGGACUUGAUGUUUAAUGCUAUGGUUGGGUUUACCUUAAUGGUUUCUAGUAGUUGUGGAUGCUUGUUAGAGGCCCAAUUGUAAGUGCAAAUGAUCCAAGUACGGAAAGUGUGCUAGCGUAUGCCUCUCCCUCAUUGCAUAUGAUAUGUAUCUAUUAUGUUAUAUUCAAUUGCCUAUUGACAAUCUUCCUAUUGCGUUGUAGAGAAAAUCUGUCUACUAAAUAGCCCCUUACUUUUAUUCACUUGCUCUUUUUUUUCUUGCAAAACUAUCUAUUUCACCUAGUAAGUACUUCUAGUCUCCUUCCCGAAAAAUAGGUUCAUACUUGUUCUAGAUAAAGUAAGCGUUAGCGUGCGUAGAAUUGUAUCAGUGGUCGAUAGAACUUGAGAGAAUAUUAAUUCUACCUUUAGCUCCUUAUUGAGCUCGGCACUUACUUAUCGAAAAAGACUACAAACGAUCCCUUACACUUGUGGGUUAUCAAGACCCUUUUCUGGGGUCAUUGUCGGUGAGAAAUAGCGUAGUGGUCGAUAUUCUCGUGUGCUUGUUUUCUUUAUCACAAAGUAAUUUUUAUUUUCUGUUAUUGAUUGUUUUAUAUCUUUAGUUAUGGACAUGGAACACAAAACACCCAAAAAAAUAGUUAUACUUGCUACUCAUGGAGAUGGGGAACCUCCUAAAAUUCUCGAUGCUAGUUAUGUGAAACACAUUAAUUACUGCUUUGAUAAUACUGAGAAAUCCUCAUUCAACUUGAUAAUUGGAGACACGUUGGAUCAGCGUGAGUACUUUAGGGAUUAUCAUUUGUCUCAAAAAGGAAAACACUUAUGGGAUCAAAUUAAAAUGUUGCGUUGGUAUGUUUGGGAUUUAUGCGUGAUAAGUGAUUAUACUUGUUGCUCUAAAAGCAAGGGUCUAAACCUUCCCUUUCAAUGUAAAUUUAAUGAUAAUAGAACCAUAGACUCUUAUGCUAAUGGUAUAUAUGAUUACUAUGAUGUGAACAAAAUAAAAGAAUUUGUUGCCUUUAAGGGUGCAUAUUAAAUUGCUUCUUUGAUUGGAAAGUAUGAUGAUAUUCCUUAUAAAUCUGAAAAUUUUGACAUACUUAAAUAUUGCUAUGAGAAUUAUGAAUAAAAUGUUGGUAUUAAUGAAUUUCUUGAAAGAAUGACCGUUGCCUUGGAAUAGAUUAACAUUUUGCAGGAAUCUAUGGAAGAAGAAAUUGUUGAAUCUCUGAGCUCAUUAGAUGAAAAAGAUGACGAGGAGAGCGAAGAGAGGGAGGGUUGCAGCACCCAAUGCCACAGCACGGCCUCUCCCUCUCCCUAUAGAUCGUCUCUUCCUCUAGAUAUUCCGGUAGUGCUUGGCGAAGCCCUGUCGGGACAGCAACAUCACCAUCACCGUCAUAUCGUCGCGCUGCCAGGGGACUCAUCUACCACUCCGCCCUCGCUUUCUGGAUCGAGAAGGAGAAUACGUCAUCGGGUUGUACGUGUGCUGAAUGCGGAGGUGCCGUCAGUUCGAAACUUGAUCGGGAGUUUGCGGGACAGAUCGUGAUAGGAUCGCGAAGACGUUCGACUACAUCAACCGUGUUUCUUAACGCUUUCGCUCAGCGAUCUACAAGGGUAUGUAGAUUCAAUCUCUCCUCUUGUAGAUGUGCGUCUCCUAGAUUGAUCUUGGUAAGCGUAGGAAUUUUUUUGUUUCCUAUGCAACGUUCCCCAACACUUCUAUCUGUGUUAACAUGGGAAAUCUCACAAACACAUUAGUCCCUCAACCACGUUUGUCUUCAAUACUCCAAAACCAACAAGUGGUGGAACUAGAUGCACUUACGAUCUCCCCCUUUUUGGUCACUGGUGACAAACUGGCUGAAGUUUUCAACGGGGAUAAGAAUAUGUGAAGAUAAAUACUUGGAGAUUAUGAGAGCUCUCCCUCAAGAUGUUCUUAUGAAGGUUUUUCUUUGAAUGCAAAAGCACAUGGUAGGUUGUAGUUAGUGGAUAUCUCCUCCUAUAUCUUGGAAUCCAUUCACUAUGCAUUUUAAAGGUUUCAUGAAGAUUCUGUAAUGCAUAAUGAAAAAUAGGCAUCUGCUGAAUGACUUCAGACGCAUAUGAUAAGAUAUGGAAUAGCGCCAAAGAUACGAUAAACAUAGAAUAUGAAGACGUCCAUCAAGACUUAAGUUUUACAACCCAAAAGUGCAAUUGUUCAGAACAAGAGUUCUAAACUUAACAAAAUAGCAGCACCCAACCCUUAUAGACCCAUUCGAAUACUAUCAAUCCAAUGCUUCUCCCCCUUUGUCAUGGGAUGACCAAAAAGGGCGAAGACAUUGGGAACUACUCGUCCCCAGCUUGUGAAUACGUUGGUGCAGCAGGGUCAUCAAAGGUUGGUGCAGGUUCGCCUGGUUUAGUGUCGAUGCGAUCUGUUGGUGCAACAGGGGAAGUACAUCAUCAGUGUCAUUGUUUGCAAGAUUGGUAUGACCGGAUACUGCUGAAGAAGAGUAGUAACUUUAUUCGAUGGAUGGUGUCUUGCAUCAUUUCUCCGUACGAGGAGGAGGGGCACAAAAUUUGAAGUAUUUUUCAUAGCCAUCCUCACGAAGAUCUUCCUCCGGAGACAUGAGAGUCAAUUUCUUCCAAGAAUGCCUACAAGUUUCAUGUGCAACAAAGAUAUUCUUGGUGGAGAGGUUGCGAAUGCGAUUGAUAUCUGUUGCCAUAGAGUGCAUUUGUCUUCGCGUCACUCAUGGUGACAAUCCUACUUUUGUAUGAGCGAAACAAGAAGCUCUUGAUUAGUCAUAGCAUGUUCCCGUCUGGGUUGGGGAUGUUGAGGCAGAGUGCUAGCAGUGGCUUCAGUUGAGGUGGCACUUGGUUGUGGUUGACGGAAUGUGCCAAUCAGUCUUGCCUUGACAGGAUCACAAGGAAUGUGAAGCCCUUCAAUAUGUGUGGUGCCACUAGUGCCUUCAAUAAUGGGAUUCUUGCCCUUGGAUGGAUAAAUGUCUUUGUGUCUGACUUCCACAUCCAGAAGAUAUAUUCCAUGAUUAUGAGCGGAGGGUAGAAACCUUGUAUUUGUUAUGCGCUUAAUGAAGUGCAUGAUCCAUGGUGCAUAGAUCUUGAGUUCAGAGAUUGAUGCUAUUGGCAGCCAGGGUUCUCAAAAAUAAGUCUUGAAGAUUGAACCUGAUGCCAUAGACGACAUUGUAGAUCAACGUCUUCAAUGCCCCUUAAACCUUGCUUGAAGAAUAAUGUCAUUUGAUUGGCCAUAUGGUGUGACAAAGAAUAUGGUAGAUAGUCUUUGGUAGAUAUUGAAGAUCAUCAACAAAGAAUGUUGUGGGCAAGUCCGCAUCUGGGUCUAAAGGUGAAAGGACGUGGAUGUCGCCUAGAGGGGGGGUGAAUAGGCGCUUUAAAAUAAUUAAGGUUUAGGCUUGAACAAAUGCGGAAUAAAACUAACGUUUAAUAUGUCAAGCACAAAACCUCAAACAACUAGGCUCACCUAUGUGCACCAACAACUUAUGCUAAGCAAGAUAAACAACUAAGUGAUAGCAAGAUCUAUGACAAGAGACAAUAUGGCUAUCACAAAGUAAAGUGCAUAAGUAAAGGGUUCGGGUAAGAGAUAACCGAGGCACUCGGAGACGAUGAUGUAUCCCGAAGUUCACACCCUUGCGGAUGCUAAUCUCCGUUGGAGCGGUGUGGAGGCACAAUGCUCCCCAAGAUGCCACUAAGGCCACCGUAAUCUCCUCACGCCCUCGCACAAUGCAAGAUCCCGUGAUUCCACUAAGGGACCCUUGAGGGCGGUCACCGAACCCGUACAAAUUGCAAACCUUGGGGGCGGUCACCGAACCCGUACACGUGGCAACCCUUGGGGGCGGUUACCGGUACCCGUACAAAUUGCUCGGGGCAAUCUCCACAACCUAAUUGGAGACCCCGACGCUUGCCCGGAGCUUCACACCACAAUGAUUGAGCUUCGAGACACCACCAAGCUUCUAGGACACCAAAGCAUCCACGAAGAACAAUAUCUAUGGUACUAAGUACCAAAGGUAAUAAGCUUCUCAAACUUCACUUCCACGUAUCACCGUGGAGAACUCAAACCGAUGCAACCAAUGCAAUGGCAAGAACACACGAAGUGGUCAAGUCCCUCACACUCAAAUCCCUCCACAACAACGAAAGCUAUGGAGAAAUAUGAGAGGAAGAACAAGGAGCUCACAAAGAACUCCAAGAUCUAGAUCCAAGGGGUUCCCCUCACAUAGAGGAGAAAGUGAUUGGUGGAGAUGUGGAUCUAGAUCUCCUCUCUCUUUUCCCUCAAGAACAAGCAAGAAUCAUUGGAGGGAUUGAGAGUAAGCAAGCUCUAAGAAUGUCAACAAUGGAGGUAGAACAAGAGCUCAACGGAUGGAUAAGGCCAAGGGGCAAGAAGACCCCCUUUAUAUAGUGGGGGAAGGAAUCAGACCGUUACCCCCACUUACAACCCGAGUCCAGCGGUACUACCGCUGACCCUGCAGAGGUACUACCGCUGAGCCCAUGGUAGCGCAAAGAUACUACCGGGCCAAUCACCGCCAAGAAAGUCUUCGCAAAAAGGUCCGACGAAGUACAGCCGCUAGGAAGGCCGUACUAAGCUCCUGGAGCGGUACUACCGCUGACCAGGGGCGGUACUACCGCCAGCACAGCGGUACUACCGCCAGCUCUAGCGGUACUACCGCCAGCUCUAGCGGUACUACCGCUAGGGCCAGCGGUACUACCGCUCGCCACUGAAACAACCAUAACUUUCGCAUACGAGCUCCGAAUCGAGCAAACCCAAGCUUGUUGAAUUAAGACCAUGCUGAUAUGAAAAUGCCAAUGAUCUAGAGAUGUGAGACCUCUAUAAAUGAAGAACCGGCAAAAACUCCAACAUCGAAAACAUCAUAGUAGUUGCAUAUGGACUCCGUUUUUGAUGAACUCGAGCUUGUCAUGAAGAUGACCAUAAGCUCUAAAACUCACAAAGAGAAACACCAAAUAAGAACCAAGAAGUAUGAUGCAAGGAUGCAAAUGGUUUGAGCUCUCAACGAACGAUACGAUCAAGCUAAUCACUUGAGAGCCCCCUUGACAGUACAUCAUUCUAUCCUAAACAGAAAACCUAUCAAGGGAAAACCUAUACCUUGCACCUCAAUCUCUUGAGCUAGAUGAUGAUGAUCUUGGCUUCCUCAAGAUGGACCACCUUUCUUGAUUGCGUUGGCUUGAUGAAGACUAGGUUAUUGCUCCCCCAUACUCACUAUGGAUGAGCCACUCUUCAACAUACCUUCACAAGUCCAUUGCCACCACAAUGGACGGCAAGCUUCAAGCACGAUAUAUUCGUGUUGAUCCUCUUGAACUUGCACACCGCAAUCUUGAUGACGAUCACCACUUGACGUCAUCCUUCAUGGGUUGUAUGAGAUCUUCAUUUUGACACAAGCCCAUGGAAACACACCUAACCCACACAUAGAACUCUCACGAAGACCAUGGGUUAGUACACAAACACGUAAUGGAUAAUGCUUACCAUACCAUGGGAUCACUUGAUCCCUCUCGGUACAUCUUGUACGCUUUGUGUGUUGAUCAUCUUGAUUUACUCUUUGUCUGAGAUCUUGAUCAACCUUGUGUCUCUAUGACCAUUCUUUGGAUAAUACCUUGAAUACCACCUUGGUCAUCAUAUAAACUCCUUGAACCCAACAGAUGGACUUCAAUAAGUGCCUAUGGACAAAUCCUAUAAAUAUAACUUAAGGCAACCAUUAGUCCAUAGGAAUUGUCAUCAAUUACCAAAACCACAUAUGGAGAUAUAUGCUCUAACAAAAGGCUUCAUAAGUGUCAAAAUUUCAGACAUGUUAGGCUCACGCAUUUGAAAGAUGCUUCUUAUGGCUUCUUCAUAGGUGGGAGAUUUUGGAUCAAGAUCUUAGCCUGAUGCAGCAAGUGGAGUGGUGGCAAAGAAUUACAUAGCAAGAGCUUUCACAUGCCCAUCAUGGAUCAUGAAAUCCAUAACCCAUGUCUUCAGAUCUCAUCCAUAGCCAAAGAUGUGGAGAGUUGCAUAAAAUUGAAGAAUUGGUUCUUAAUUCCAAUCUUCAUGAUCAACAGCAAACGACAACAAUCCAACAUCUCAAAGACAAUUGAAGGCCUGGUCAAAACAAGGAAGACCACUCAUGGCUUCCAUGCUGAGAUGCUUGGGGGGAUCCUUUUUGGUCAUAUAGCACACAUGUAUAAUAGGUACGUUGAGGUACACUCCAGAAGUGAUCAGAUUGAAUCUUUAGACGCGUAUAAGGAUUCUUUUUAGAAUCAAGGAAAGUGUUGUCGAGCCGGAAUUCCCUCACGCUAAAGACAAGAGGACGUGUUGUUCCUAGUUGUCAAAGACUUGGAAGCCUAGGCAUUGGAUUCAUAACUUUUGGGCGACGAAAGAUGUUUAAUUCAUAUUGUGGACCCAUUCUGUUGGGUGGUGAAACAAGCUUGGGCCAUUUUGUUGGCACCAUCUCUCCCGCCCUAUUGCGAUCCAUGACAAUAUUGUCAGCAUUGUCGUCGGUCAAUGGCGUAGCACGCACAGGAGAACCAUCAGGGGAUGGAGCAUUGGCUUCUCCAUCAGUAAUCGGUGCUUCUAGAGGUGCAACGGUGUCAUCAGCAGCAAUGUCUUCACAUGCACUCGCUUCGAUCUAAGGUUGUUCACGAGCAACAUGUUCAAGUAUGAGAACUUCAUCGACUGAUGCAGUCAGAGUCACACGCACUUCAUCUUCUGGAAUGAUUUACAUUGAAGAUAUAGGUGGCCUUGGUCCUUUGUGAAUCCUUUUGAGAGGCGAUGCAUGUUCAGUUGUUUCAACUUCCAUGGGAGCAAAUGGGAAUUUAGGAGAUCUUGCCACUAGAGUUGGAAAUGGACUAGGCAGAGUGCUAGGAUUGGCUUCAGGCACGUUUCACCUUAGUGGAGUGCCAAUGUCCACAAAUUCACUGCCUUCAUGCAUUGGCGAUGAUACCAUUGGUGCAUCACGUUGAGGCACAUCAGUUUCUAUUUCAACAUUGUCUUCGGCAGAAGCAACGUUUUCAGCAGGNNNNNNNNNNNNNNNNNNNNNNNNNNNNAGCAGGAUCACCUGCAUUGUCUUCGGUUGCGGUGGUUUCAGCAGCUGGUGCAUCAUCUGUUGUUUGAGCCUUUAUGGUAACAGACUCAUGAAGAACAACUUGCCUCUCGACAUUUUCCUAGGGAUUUUAUCUCAACAAAUUUAAAUAAUCUCUAAAAUAAAUUCUCUUAUGCCACCGAGUAAACAAUUUGAUUAGGGACUAGUAGCGAAGGGAAUUAAAUCAAUAUAAAUUUGUGUUUAAAAGAUAUUAGCAAUCUAGGGUUUUGAGCAAAUUCAAAAUCUACUAUGCAAAUUUUAAAACUUCUGAAUCUAUGCAAAACUUCAUGUUAUUUGUGACAUGUUGCCAAAAGAAUCAACUAAAAACAAUCAAAAACUUAAAAGAUAUUAGCAAAACAAAGUCAUGAACUCCUCUCGAUUUGAAAUAAAGCAAAUAAAACAAAACAAGAAUUAAGUAUCGGCCAGGGGUGAUGUGGCACAUUCCUAUUGUGGCAGCGAAGUGUGCGCGAGAAAGAACACAGCGGCUAACUGAACACUAGCGUGUACCGGUUCGUGAGUUUAAGUGAUCUAAUCUAGAUCGUUCAUUGCAGAUCUGACGGUGGACACGAGAGAGAAGCUUACAACGGCGACGAUGGAGUUCUCCAGCGAGGCAGAUGGCUUGGGGUUGACGGCGAUGGUGCUCCAAUGGUCUUCCGGCAAUGGUGUCAGCUCCAAUCGAUGCACGCGAAGACGAUGGUGAGGUUGGUGGCAUCGGACGGUGUCGGGGCAGACUGCGGCGAGCGGCACGAGCUCAACGGGCUUCGGGCAUGGCAAAAACUAUGACGAGAUGUUGGGGUGGCAGUGGAGCAUGGAGGAAGGGUUUUAGGGAGGAAUCGGGUGCGGGAGGUCGGGGCUUUAUAGGAGAGGCAUUUGGUGGGGUCAAACGGAACGGGAGCGGCGAGAUGGAUCAGAUCCGGAGAUACGUCGGAAAGGGAAGGUGAGGUCGGGUAAAGGAAGGCGCUGACCGAGGGGGGUUCGGGUCGGGCAGGUGGGGUCGGUGCGCGAGAGGUAGGUGACCGAUUCGUUCGCGAUUCGGAUCCGAUCAGAGAGAAAAUGAAAAAUAAAGCAAAGAAAGUAUAUAUAAUAUAUACCUAUUAUAUAUCAACAAGUUCAGAAAAAAUAGCUCUACAACAUGAACAUAUUUUCAAGAAUUUUUGAAAUACUUAAUAUUUUUUUCCAAAAUUCAAAAAUGUCGUUGAUCCAAAGAUCAAAUAUUUUCCAAACAUUUUUCUGAGUUUGUAAAUUCAAAUGAAAUCAAAUUUGCCCCUGGUUUUGAGUGUGAUGUUUCUCCUCUCUUUAUUUUUAAUAUGAUCAUGUGCAUUUGAAUUUAUUCCAAUUCAAAAAUUGAAAUGGAUCGAAUUUGCAAAUGGAAAUACUCCAAAUGGAAACUUUUAAGAACUUUCAAAUCCCAUUUCAAAUUCUUCCAUUGAAGAAGUCGUGUCAUAUUCUCUCUAUGAUUUUAAAUUUGAAUUGGAUUUGAAUUCAAAAGCAAGGAAGAAAGUUUUGGGAAAGUCAUUUUAUCCCCUCUCUUCUAUUUUCCAAAAGUUUUCAAAUUCACUCAGUUUCACACAAUAAUUCAGACAAUCAAUCAAUAUAGUUCAUUUAAUAUGACAUUCCAAAAUUUAGAAUUUUGGGACGUUACACGCAAUCCUUCAAUGUUUUGCACCCAGAUGUCUCCUCAUUUCGCUUAGUGCUACAGAUAUAAAUGGUUGGUGGAACAAGAUCUCCGGGAAGUGGAAACGCAAAACUGGCCCAUGAUGAUAACUCGGUGGCGGCUUGCAUUGCUUAAAACCACUGGAAAGGGAGGAAUCACGGAAUUUUGAGAGGAAGGGGGUAAACCAUCCUUGGUUUGUGAAGCAUCAUAAUUUUUCUUGAAAGGAUUUAUCUGCUUGAUCUACUCCCUUUAACAGUGCGUUAUCCAAGAUGGGAUUUAUUUUCCAAGCGAAUGAGAUAAUUGUCCCCGGUUUGCGUAGCAUGAUGAAAUUUUUUUAGACACACGAAGCAUAAUGAUCUAAGCCUCCUGGACAAGCCCGUUGGAGACAUGGCCCUUAAUCUUCGUGCAGUCCAGACCCAGUUGCACCUUUGCAACAUCUGUUUUACACUGUUUCCCUCUUCUUAAUCGGGAAGCAGAACAUUUGCUGCGCUUGUGAAAAAAUUAUAUCCGGAUCACUACAUGGGUAGUGGUUCAGCAAGAUCCACCUUCAAUUUCACUGACUGAUAAAUAUGCUAGGACAAAAGAAACUGCUUACUGUUCCUCGUGAAGAAACGAUGUAGUUUAUGGAGUAUGUACGAGUCUUCCCAGAUUUUGCGUUUCCAUACAUAUAUUACGACCAAAAGGGUGCAACACGGCCACUUUUAUAACCGGAUGAGCACUUGUCCGUUGUCACCAAGUUCCCAUCGAUCUUUCGUACCUGGACCCGAGUGGCCUGGACGCUGCAGCUGAAGAACACUGUACCGAGUUUCAGACGGUGCCUCUGAGUCGAACAUUGUGUGGACCUGGCACGGCGCCUCAUCCCAUCAGACAAGGAGGCACCCGUAUCUUUCCGCAUUGUACAUACGAAUUGUAAGGCAGAAGCUGUGCUGGUGCUGGUGCUGGUGCUGCUCUAGCUCUACCCUGUGCACAAAGCCAUGCUACAGUGACAGAAUUCCUCUGCGCAUCAAGCAUUCCUGNNNNNNNNNNNNNNNNNNNNNNNNUCAAGCAUUCCUGCACGGCCAAGGUUUUAAAUUAUGUACUCUCACCAUCAUGGCCCAUGAAUUGGUUGUUCGGUUCGCCCGACAAACAAACCAACCAACAAGACGUAGUACUUGCUGGUCAGACAGAAACGGGCGUGUCCAUUAAAUCCUCUCGGAAAAGGAGUAUUUUUGAAGAAAAAAAAAGGUAAGCAACUCGCACGGGGUGAACUGAAGAUAACACUGGCAAGAGUUAGAGUAGCAACGAACUGACAAGGAAAAACAGACAAGGAUUCAGUACAACAGCAAGAGUUCCGCGUGGUAAAAAGGUCUCAGAAGUCUCAUGCUACAGUAGGCAAGUUGUGCUAGGUUUCCAUGGAACACUUGCCACAGAAGAGAUUUGAUUCUAGAUCUUACCCUCCCAGAGGCACUCAGGGGAGGGGCCGCCGUUGUUGCGGUUGUUUCCAGAGGCGGCGCGCGCUAGGAGAUCACCAAGGUGGGGCGGUGGCUGGAGGCCCAUGGCGGAAGCACGCUCCCAGCGCUGAAGCCUGUUCACACCGAUGCAUGGGCCAAACUUCAUGUCCAUGUCAAACUGCCGCAGCUGCUCCUCUUGCUCACUGAAAUCAUCUGCAGCAUCAUAAGCAAGAGUUAUUGUUUGCAAACAUAAAGCACUUGUGAGUUUAAACUGUAUGCAUAACAAUCUCUCCAGCGGGUACCUUUGAGGUCAAAGGAUCCGUGAGAAAUUAGUGCUGCUGUCUGAGCCUUAUUCGAGGCCCCAACAGAGGCCCCUCCAGUAUAAUUCUGUGGUUUCUUCUUAGAAGAUGCUGAAGUUUUGCCGGCACCUCCUUUCUUCUUCUGCCGGUAGAAAUCUUUCACGCCAGUAGAAGCCAUUCUUGUCUAUUAUUCAGUCCUACCUGUGUUUUCCUGUCAAAGACCCCCAACGGAAACUUAAAAUCACUUCUGCUGUAGCUUUUGUGUUUCAUUUGCAUUUUAUUCAUUUCACCACAAAGAAUGCUAUGAGCUAUAAUAAGUACGAUGUGAACAUGACAACAGCAGAAACCUUUCAUGGUUUGUUCAUAGGUCUUACAUAGCCAAGUCCUUAUUCCCGAACACUAACGACCCAAUUUAAUAGAAGGAAUCUGAUAGCUGACGUUGUUCUAUCUACGAGAAUAUCAGUUUUUCUGUGACGACUUGUAAACGGCAUACAGUAUGAUUUAAGACUACGAUAAACUAGGUGCGAAACAGUUACUGCAAGAAGCAGCAACUACCAAGUAAUAUUUGCACAUAGGUUGUAAGACAUUAACCCAGCCAGUUCAAGAGUAAAUAGUCCGUUUGCCUGCCAACGUCAGAACAAAUGGAGCAAUCAUCUGACAAAAACAUGGAGCAUAAAUAAAACAGCAAGCAGGCAUGAAGAGAAGACAUAAAGCAUCAUUGUUCCCCAUCAGCAUAUAGUAUACCGACGACAACCAAACUACAAAAGGCCUACCUAUCUCUGUCAUUUCAAGGUCUAUUAAGCAGUGAGUUUAAGACACUGAAAUGCAUUGAUACAAGAGACACAUCUUGGUUCUUGAAACUCUGUAAAACAAAAACUCAUACUACUAACUAGUUAUGCCCAUGGUCAGCCACCGAACCCGAUGCUCCAAAACCAGAAUUGGCACUCUAGUGGAGAUGUCAUUUGUUCUACUUCCAUCACCCCCUGGGCUUAAAUACACAUAAUGUGCUCUUCUCUUAAGAACACCCCACCCCCCCCCCNNNNNNNNNNNNNNNNNNNNNNNNNNNNNNNNAAGAACCCCCCCCCCCCCCCCCCCUCCCUCCCUCUGGAAAAUCGGCCAAAAAGAGAGGCAAAACGAUACUAAUAAAACACAAUGAUAGCGGCUACUCCCCUUGCAAAUCUGAGGCUGUACCUCCAACUCCAGGCGGUCGCUCAACCAUUACAGUGUACAAAACCUAUCCCAAUCCCUUCCUGGUAAAGAAAUGUAUCCCCUAGACCUAGAAUCUCCCUCCCUCGAACUUGCCGCUGCGGUACAAAAUUAGGCGGUGAACGGCUGGGUUCUACGCAGGGAGGAACUCGGAAGUUGAUUGGAUGGAGCGGAGGGCGUACCAGGGGAGGCGGCGGAGCGGACCGAGCGGAGAGCCGGAGAACGGCGGCGAGGUCAGGUCGGUAGCGAAUCAGGUCUUCGCCUCUUUCGCGUUUGACUACGACGAUACUACAGUACUACUUUGUAUCGUGGCGUAAGAUAUGUAACGUAAACAUGCUGGCCCAGCGACGGCCCAUCAAGUCAGUGGGCGCUUAUAAACCAGACGUAGGGCAACCCAUCAAGUCGGGAAUUCCUACCUGCCGCUCGCUGCGGCAGGGGGUCGCUCCCAAGCACACGCAGGCGUCCUACUGGGCCUGCCCAUCUUUUUUUCUAAAGAAAAACGAUAAUUUCCUUUUUCAUUUCUUUUUUACUGUUUCUUCUUUCCUUUACUGCUUUUCCGCACCUUUUUUGGCUCCUUUUUCUUCCCGUUUCCUUUUUUAUUUUUGUAUCAAAACGAACAAAUGUUCAAUUUCUCAAUCUUUUUUUGAAAUACUAAAUGAUUUUUAAAUCAGAGAACAAAAAAUAAGGAGCUUUAUUUUUUGAAAAGUCAUGAACAAAUUUGGAGACGCGGACAAUUUUCUAAAGCAUGAACAUUUUUUGAAUCUUGAUAAAGUUUUUUGAAACAGAGAACAAUUUUGAAAAAACACAAACAAAUUGAAAGCACGACAUUUUUUGAAUUUUUAGAAGAAACAAAUUAAAGCACAAACAUUUUUUGAAUCUUGAGAACAAAAUUUUCAAAAAUAUAACAAUUUUGACAAACCCCAAACAAAUUUGAAAGCGCAAAUAAAGUUUUCAAGCACAAACAUCUUUUGAAUUUCUAGAACAAAUUUUGAAAUCAAAAACAAAAAUGAAAAAUCGUGAACAUAUUUGAAAGCGUGAAUAAAUUUUUUAAAGCAUGCCCAUUAUUUGAAUUUUGAGAUCAAAAUUUUGAAAUGAAGAACAAUUUUGAAAAACUCCGAACAAAUUUGGAAGCGCGAACAAUAUUUUCAAGCACAAACAUUUCCUGAAUCUUGAGAACAAAAUUUUGAAAUGGAGAACAUAUUUGAAAAACCCCGAACAAAUUUGGAAGCGCGAACAAUAUUUUCAAGCACAAACAUUUCCUGAAUCUUGAGAACAAAAUUUUGAAAUGGAGAACAUAUUUGAAAAACCCCGAACAAAUUUGGAAGCGCGAACAAAUUUUUAAAGCACGAACAUUGUUUGAAUUUUGAGGAGUUUCGAAACCAAUAACAAUUCUCAAAAAUCCUGAACUAAUUUGAAAGCGCAGACAAUUUUUUAAAGCACGAACAUUUUUUGAAUAUUAAUAACAAAUUUGAAUCUCAAGAAGAAAAUUUGAAGAAGUUUUCAAGUUGUGUACAAAUUUUGAGAAAAGAGAAACAUUCUCCAUAAAACAGGAACAUUUUUAUAAAAAAGUGAAAACAAUAACAUUUUCUGAAAACACAGACCAAUUUAAGAAAAAAUGAACUUUUUAAAAAAAACGAGCAAUUUUUUUUAAUACGAGAACAACUUUUGAAACACGAACACUUUUAAAAAUAUGAACACAUUUUGAAAGCAAGACGAAUUUUUGAAGCGCAAACAAUUAAAUAUAAAUAUUGAAAACGGGAACGUUUUUUGAAAUUCAAAACAAAUAUUAGAAAAUGUCAAACACAAAUAUAGGAAAAGGAAAAAAGGAAUAAAAGUGAAUGAAAUAAUGAAUACCAAAACAAAUAACAUUUUCUAAAAUUCGAAUAAUUGUUCUGAAAAUGUCGAACAUUUUUUUCAAAUCGCGAAAAAAAAUAGAAUUUAGAAAUGUUUUUGAAAAAUGGAAUUUUUUUACAAUUCCGAUUUUUUCUAUAAAAUUAAGAACAUUUUCUGAAUUUCAACAACAAUUAUCAAACAUGAACUUACUUUAAAAAAUAACCAUAGAAAAAAUGAGAAACAGAAAAAAGGACAAAAAAAGGGGGAAACGAAACAGAAAAAAGGACAAAAAAAAAAGCAAAAGAGGAACUGCCUGCAGAGGGAGAUGGGCCUCAAUGUGGUGAUUAAAGUAAUUAUAUUUCCAUUCCUCAAUGUGGUGAUUGAAAUAAUUAUAUUUCCAUUCCUUUGCUCACUUUUUUCCAACUGUUACAAUUAUCCUUGAUACCUAUAGAAAAGAUACAUUGGUCUAAAGAGUUUUGUGCAUUGUAAUAUUUGCACACAAUGUGUCUUCGUACCCACAGUAUACUAGGAUAUGAUUCCUGACUUGUUCACAUGCCACAAAUCUAAUUUUGAUUGUUUACAAUUAUCGGUGUUAAUGAUGCUUGUUCUUGUAAUUGACAUAAAGAAAGAAAAAUAUUAGUGUAGAUUCAUUGAUCUUAGAGUUCAAGAUUUAUGUUAGAAAUUGAAUGUGUCCUCGUUAAGAGGAGUUAAUCGUGUCCUUGUUGGGUUCGACACUCUUACUCAUCGAAAGGACUACGAUAGAUCCCCUGUAAUUAUGGGUCAUCAGGGACCCACAUGAACGUGGGUAGGCCCCACACCCCUAGUCAAGGUGCACCAAGAUCCCCCCUUAGAAGGAAUAAGAUCAUAUCCCGAAGGGAUAAGAUCAAGAUCCCUAAAAAAGGGGGAUAACAAUCGGUGGGGAAGGGAAAGGAUGGGACUUCUUUCCUCCCACAUUUGCCAACGCCCCAAUGGACUUGGAGGGCAAGAAACCGACCCCCUCCACCCCUAUAUAUAGUGGGAAGGCGCAUGGGAGCUUAACCCUAGCCCCUGGCGCAGCCCUCCCCCUCCUACACCUCCUCCUGCUCCAUAGUGCUUAGCAAAGCUGUGCCGGAGAACCACGAGCUCUACCGCCACCACACCGUCGUGCUGCCGGAGUUCUCCCACAACUUCUCCUCUCCCCUUGUUGGAUGAAGAAGGAGGAGACGUCCCCGGGUUGUACAUGUGUUGAACGCGGAGGCGCCGUUCGUUUGACGCUUGGAUCGGAUCUUCUGCGAUUUGGAUCAUCAUGAGUACAACUCCAUCAACAGCGUUCUUUGCAACGCUUCCGCUUAGCGAUCUUCAAGGGUAUAAAGAUGCACUCCCUCUCUCUCGUUGCUAGCAUCUCCUAGAUUGAUCUUGGUGACACAUAGGAUUUUUUUUGAAUUAUUACUACGUUCCCCAACAACUACCGCCAAAGAGUAGUAGUAAAAAACUACUACCACUCUUCCUACGGUACUAACGCUGGCACUAGCGGUACUACCGCUGUAAGUGCAUCUAGUGCGCCUUAGUGAUUUUGGUGGUUUGAAGACUUAUAGGUUAAGUAUCUAAUGUGUUUACGAGUGUACACAGGAUCUAUAAGUCACUGAGGAGUUUGAAAUAUUUGAGGAAUAUCGACCCCUAAAAAUGUAUAUCUUCGGUUGAAGAAAUUGGUCUAAAGCUGAAAAAUUGAAUCGCGAAGAAUCCGCGAUGAAAUUGAUAUUCCUCAUGAAGAUAUUGAAAUUGAGGAAUUCGGUGUGUCCUAAAGAAAAUCAUUCUGAAGACUUUGAAGCAUGAGGAUUUACUCUUUCUGUUUUAUUUUCUUCACACUUGAGUAAUAGGAACACCGUACUGUUAAAGGGGGUCGAAGUUACACUCUGGAAUGAAUUUCUUCAUGAUGCUCAACCCAAGCCUAAUCCUACCAAAAGCCUCAAGUGAGGAAUACGAGUGACAUGAGGACUCUCACAGUUGAGGGUUCCGACCGUUUCGAUAGCCACGCCACAUCAUUGGUCUUAUCCACACCAACGGUCAUAUUAUUUAAGGGCAUUAGUGUCAAAUCAUGUCAGGAUGCUCCCAGGCUAUAAAUAGCCGCCCCCACAACCAUUAGCUGGUUGGCUGCUCUGUUAGAAACUGACACUUGUCAUAAGAGCAACCCAAUUCCUCAGAGUCUUCGAGAGAAAUUUAUCAGUGAGGAAAUACCCCAAACACCAAACCACAAACUUAGAACCAAGUGAUUGAGCAUCACUGAAGAAGUUGUUCGUGUGUGGUACUGAAGCCUUUUACCUUUGAGGACUGUGCAUCCUCCAAACGGUUAGGCGUCAUGGUCUAGAGCAAUCGAGCAGUCAAUUGUGGAUCGCCGGGUGACCAAGUUUGUGAGGGUUUGGAAGUCUGCCCUGAAGACUUACCACGAGUGUUGGGUGAGGGCUGUGUGUUCUUAGCCCAAGGAGAAUACGGUAGGGACUGUGUGUCCCGGGACUGUGUGUCUUUUGGUUUCAAUACCAAACCGCUCCAAACCAGAUGUACGACUGUCAUAGCAGUUGGAACUCGGUCAUCAACUACUGUCUUCGCUGUGAAACGGAUUCUAAUUCCUCAACCCUUUACAUUCCUCAGAUUAUGUGUUGAUGACUUUCACUGUGACUGUUUGAAUAAUUUGCUGAAGACUUUCUCUGAAAUUCCUCAACCCCAAAUUCUUCAAACUAGUUAAUCCUCAUCUAUUUUCUGCCUGCCUGCUCACUGUGCAAUCUGUUUUCACAUUCCUCACACUGAAAAACUAUUGUUGUGAAACUUUGCACUUCUGAUCCUUUACUGUUUCCAAUGUAAGUUAGUCAUUAGUGAGGAAUUUCGUCAAAAGGAAUUUCCUGAGUAAUGAAAUUCUAAAAAUCUCCUAUUCACCCCCCUCUAGUCGAUAUAACGCACUUUCAACCGCUGGACACAGAAACUGCCAUAACUUUCGCAUAUGAGCUUCGAAUCAAAUGAACUGCAAGCACUGGGAGCUCGAGACAUUACUGAUCACGAAGUUGUGAAGAAACUGCUAAGAUCUUUGGAUUCUUCAUUUGAUACUUUAGUACUGAUGAUUCAAGAAAGACCAGACUACAAGAUGCUUGAUCCAGCUGAUAUACUCGAAAGACUCAAUACUCAUGAAUUCCAUGUAGAAGAAAAGAAAGAUCUAUAUGGACCAAGCUAUUCUAGACCACGUGCACUGAAGACUAGAGCAAUUUCCUCAUCUGAGGAAGAAAAUUCGGAUGAUAGCAUUGGUGACCCUGAAGAAUUUGGACAGGAGCUUGCAAUGCUCGUGAGGAAAUUCCAGAGGUUUACACGACGUGGUCAGUUCGGUAAAUCUUCAAGAAGAGACAUGAGGAAAUCAGAAUCUUCAUCUGAGGACUACAAGAAAAGAACCUGCCACAAAUGCAAGAAAUCAGGUCAUUACAUUGCUGAAUGUCCCCGUUGGGGAAAGGAAUCAAAGAAGAAGAAAUACAAGGAUGACAGUUCUGAUGACUCGUAGAAGAAGAAGAAAUCUUCAAAAUCCUCAUCUUCAAAGCCCUCAUCGCACAAGAAGACUAGUUUCAGAAAGGCUCGGGCACUUAUUGGCAAGGAAAUGGAUUCCGAGGCAGAAUCAGAGGAAUGUGAUGAAGAAGAGGGUUCUGAUGAAGACUCAGAAUCCGGACAGGCUAGUCUUGCACUUGCAACCACUUUCGUGAGCAAGUCAAUCUUCAACCUUGAAGAAGAUGACAACACCAUCCACAGUGAUGACUAUGCUGAUGACUUUGCUCCAACCUAUUGCUUCAUGGCAAAAGGUUCAAAGGUACCGAAUGAUGCUUCCUCCUCUGAUUCAAGUGACUCUGAACCUAAUGAUUAUAAAAAACCCAGUUACAGUAAACUUGCUAUCAUUGCCACUAAACAACAAACUGCCCUGGAAAAGCUUCAGAAACUGCUAGAUAGAAGUGAUGAUCUGUUGAAUGAUGAAAUGAAUCUUACCCAAAUCCUCACUGAAGAUGUGAAAAGUCUUCAGUCUAGAUUUGAUAAUCUUCAAGAUCGUUAUGAUACCCUCCUCGCUGAUCAUGAAAAACUUUCCUAUGAAUUUAUUCAAAGGAAGCUUGAUCUAGAGAAGUUGAGGAUUUCUCAUGAUGAUCUUCGUAUAGAAAAUGAUUCAUUUCUAGCUCAACAGAUCAGCGCUGCUCAAGCUGAAUUCAUUCCUCCAUGUCUUAAAUGCAUUGAAUGCGAAACUGCUAAUUCUUCACCAGAAUCAUCAAAUGCUUCUAUUGCUACAAAUUCUUCAACUGCACCUGUAGUGUCACUUGAGGAAAACACAAAUGUUACUGAUGAAAAUGCAGGGUUGAAGGAAUUGUAUGUGACAGGCAUAUACAAAAGCCUCAAAGGACAUCAAACCCUUUGUGAUGUUCUCAAAAAGCAGAUCUUGAACAGGAACCCGAGGAAAGAAGGAAUUGCCUUUGAGAGGAAAUUAAAUGCACAUGGAUCUUAUUGGAAACCUGAGCAGUAUCCAAAAACCUCAUGGGUUGCUGCUACUGGGCCUCCUUUUGAUCCAUCCAAUCUAACUGGCUUUUCAUGUGAAUUAUCCUAUUCCUCACAUGAGUCAUUUGACUCCAACUAUAAACUGUUCAAAUAUCAAUCUGGUGAAGUAUUUGCUCGAUAUGUUGGAACUAACUGCAGGAAUGGCCCUCCUUUGAGGAAAAUCUGGGUUCCCAAAAGUUGUCUUGAAAAUCUUCAGGUGAAUGUCCUCAUGACACCACCAAUGAAGAAUCUGAACCCCAGAUCAAAAUCCUCAGGAGGACCAAAGUCUUCAAGAGGAUCAAAAUCCUCAACUGAUCAAAAUUAUGCUCAUUCCCGUGCUAAUACUUCUAACAUGCAGGGAAACUACAAGGAAUAUGAAUAUGAGCGUUACUCUUCAAAUCAUUAUGUUCGUAAGUCCUCAAACCAGUUCUCUGCAUAUUCAUAUGAGUACUUUAACCCCCCUACUGUUAAGAGAAGUGCAUUAGCUUCAAUGCCACCUUUUUCAUAUGGUACUCGCAGGAUGAUGAAUGCUUUACCACCCCUUCAGAUGUGGAUGGUGAAGAAAUCGAACUAAUCACUUCUGCAGGUCAGGUCUCCACUUGAAAAUCACCAUCUGAAGAAUUUGCUGGAGACCUGAGGAAAUGCUUGAUAGGACGCAAGCUAAUAUUGAUGAAAUAGAAAUAUUUCACACGUCUUUUUUAAUUCUGUUAUGAUGAAAUUCUUAUCUUAUGAAAUUGAUAUCAUAUUCUUCAAAUCUGAAGUGUAUGAGAUGGUAAGCUGUACUAAUUCAUCUACAGGAUGACAAACCCAAGAAUACUGUGUGGGUUCUUGAUAGUGGCUGCACCCAUCACAUGACUGGUGAUAAAAGCUUGCUGAUGAAUAUGCCACUAACUCCAUCACCUCUGAAGCAAAUCACAUAUGCUGACAAAGGUAAAAGCAAGGUAUUGGGACUUGGCAAAGUGGCUAUUUCCAAGGAUAGGCAUAUGGACAAAGUGAUGCUUGUUGAAUCCCUUGGUUUUAACCUCAUGUCAGUCUCGAUGCUUUGUGAUCUUGAUAUGAUUGUUAUCUUUGGUAGAUAUAGAUGUGUAGUCUUCAUGGAAUCUGACAGAUCCAAAGUCUUCGAAGGUGUAAGAAGAGGGGAUUUGUGCAUUGUUGAUUUCUCUACAAGUCCUCAACCAGCCACUUGCUUACUAGCAAAGACCUCAGAAGGAUGGGUGUGGCACCGAAGACUAGGUCAUGCAGGCAUGAGGAAUUUGCACACGCUUGCGAAGAAGAAGCAUGUCAUCGGCAUCGAAUCAGUCAAAUUCCUCAAGAAUCAUCUCUGCGGUGCAUGUGAAUCUGGGAAAAUGACCAGAUCCAAGAAUCCCUCGAAGACUAUCAUGACCACUACACGUCCCUUAGAAUUGCUUCAUAUGGAUCUAUUUGGACCUACUCACUAUGCCACACUAACCAAUGCAGCAUCUUUAUAUGGCUUCGUCAUAGUUGAUGAUUAUUCCAGAUAUACAUGGGUGCAUAUCAUCAUAUAUAAAACUGAAGUGCAGGAAAUCUUCGAACGAUUUUCUUCAAGGGCCUCGACGAACUUUGGCAUCAAGAUCAAACAUAUCAGGAGUGAUAAUGGAAUAGGGUUCAAAAACACUGGUCUCGAUGAUUAUCUUGAUGAACUUGGUAUUACUCACGAAUUAUCUGCUCCUUAUAUUCCUCAGCAGAACGGUGUCGUCGAGAGGAAGAACAGGACUCUGGUUGAGAUGGCAAGAACUAUGCUUGAAGAAUAUCAGACUCCUCGUCGCUUUUGGCCUGAAGCAAUCAACACUGCAUGCCAUAUCAUCAACAGGGUAUAUCUUCACAAAUUCCUCAAGAAAACCUCAUAUGAACUCAUCACUGAUAAGAAACCCAAUGUAAGUUAUUUCAAAGUCUUCGGUGCAAAAUGUUGGAUUAGAGAUCCUCACCAUAGCUCAAAAUUUGCACCUAAGGCACAUGAGGGUUUUAUGCUCGGUUAUGGAAAGGACUCGCACACCUACAGAGUCUUCAACAACUAUCACAACAAAGUUGUUGAGACUGUAGAUGUGCGGUUCGAUGAAACUAAUGGCUCGCAAAGAGAGCAAUUGCCUUGUGAUCCAGAUAAGUUGUCUCCUGAGGAAGCAAUAAAGCUCAAGCCUACUGAAGACAUUGUUCCCACUGAGGAAAUUGAUGAAGAAACCAUCCCCAUCACUGAUGAAAAUCAAGAAGAUGCUCUUGAGGAAAUUGCUCCAGAACCUCUUCCUCAGCCCAGACGAAAUCCUCAACCAGCUCAUCCGAGGAUUGCAAAUGAAGUAGAACUUGACAAAAUCCUCAACGACAUCAACGCGCCAGGUCCUCUCACUCGCUCAAAAGCUUCACACUUAGUUAACUUUUGUGGGCAUUUUUCCUUUGUAUCUAUCACAAAACCCUCAAAAGUUGUUGAGGCUUUCUUGGAACCGGAGUGGAUCCAAGCUAUGCAAGACGAACUUCUUCAAUUCAAGCUGAAUGACGUAUGGGAGCUAGUCAAACGACCAGAUCCUCGCAAGCACAACAUCAUCGGAACAAAGUGGAUUUUCCGAAACAAGCAAGAUGAGGAUGGUCAAGUGGUGAGGAAUAAGGCAUGACUCGUAGCCCAAGGCUACAUCCAGGUUGAAGGAAUAGAUUUCGAUGAAACUUCUGCACCUGUUGCUAGACUUGAAGCUAUUCGAAUACUACUUGCUUAUGCUAAUCAUCAUAACAUCAUCUUAUAUCAAAUGGAUGUGAAAAGUGCAUUCCUCAAUGGUAAGCUUGAGGAAGAAGUAUAUGUUGCUCAACCCCCAGGUUUUGAGGAUUCAAAGAAUCCAGACAAAGUAUUCAGACUCAAAAAGGCGCUCUAUGGUCUCAAGCAAGCCCCUCGGGCAUGGUAUGACACAUUGAAGGAAUUCCUCAUGAAGAAAGGCUUCAAACCUGGUUCACUCGAUCCAACUCUUUUCACUAAAUCCUAUGAUAAUGAGCUAUUUGUGUGCCAAAUAUAUGUCGAUGAUAUCAUAUUUGGCUGUACUGACAAACGAUACAGUGAUGAAUUUGCUUACAUGAUGAGUGAAAAAUAUCAGAUGUCUAUGAUGGGGGAGCUGAAAUUCUUCUUAGGUCUUCAAAUUCGUCAACAACGCAAUGGAAUCUUCAUAUCACAGGAGAAAUACCUCAAGGAUGUUCUGAGGAAAUUCGACAUGCAUGAAUGCAAAGGUGCCAAGACUCCAAUGCCUACAAACGGACACCUCGGCACUGAUGAAAAUGGUAAAGAAUUCGAUAAACAGGUAUAUCGCUCUAUGAUUGGCACUUUAUUGUAUCUGUGUGCAUCUAGGCCAGAUAUAAUGCUUAGUGUUUGCAUGUGUGCACGUUUUCAAGCAAAAUCGAAGGAAUCACACCAUAAGGUUGUGAAAGCAUAUUCUUCGAUACUUAGCUCACACACCAACACUAGGAUUAUGGUAUCCCAAGGGCUCAAAUCUUCAUCUGGUAGGGUAUUCUGAUUCUGACUAUGCUGGUGAUCAUGUGGAUCGCAAGUCAACUUCUGGUACAUGUCAUUUCCUCCGAAGAUCACUAGUUUGCUAGUCCUUAAAGAAGCAGAAUUGUGUAUCACUCUCCACUGCCGAAGCUGAGUACAUUGCUGCUGGUUCAUGCUGUGCUCAAUUACUAUGGAUGAAGCAAACCCUCAAGGACUACGGCAUCAACAUGAAGAAUGUGCUUCUCUACUGCGACAAUGAGAGUGCAAUCAAGAUUGCAUACAACCCAGUACAACACUCGAAGACCAAGCACAUCCAGAUUUGUCAUCAUUUUCUUCGGGACCAUGUCCUCAAGGGCAAUAUCCUCAUCGACCAUGUGAAGACUGAUGAUCAACCGGCAGAUAUCUUCACUAAGCCCUUGGAUGAUAAAAGGUUUUGCAAGUUGCGGUGUGAGCUAAAUAUCUUAGAAUCUUCAAAUGUUUUGUAAAAACAUGCACACAUCCUAACACUUAUGCAAAAUUGAUGACUUAGAUGUGCAACACAUGAUGAAUCGAUUUUCUUCAACUAAUGAAGAAUAUCACUCUGAAUGUGGAGAAAUCAACGAAGAAAUUGAUUCUCACGGCCCUACGACAAUUGUACGCGGCGUCUGUAAUCAACAUUCUUAUAUGGUGGGUCACGCCACCGCCCAACGUGAAAUUCCUCAAGUUGAUUUUCUUCAAAGUUCCAUUUCCUCAAAACUUGUUUUUCUUCAAAAACACUUGAUGACUUUCGUUUAACUACAUAGACUGUGAUUUCAAGUCCUCAACAGCAUUCACUUAUAGCUAUUUCUUCAAGUUGAUAUUUCAUCUAAGUGAAUGUGAUCGGACCCUACUUUCCCUCUAUGCUAUUCUCAUCCAGUCUAUUCGAUUCUUCAUAUGCGUUCUGCUUGAAACUUUGUUCAAAAUCCUCACUGCGUCCUUGUCAGCUGAUGAUUUUGUAACUAAAAUCCUCAACUCUUCAAAAAUGUUUCUUUAAUGCACAGUAACCGAACCCCACUUCCCACGUUCGGAUAACCACGAUCUCCACUAUCUCCACCGCCUUGCUCGGGAGCUACACGUGUCCUGCGGAGACGUAGAGGCAGGGGUUGUUUGGUCCGAAUUCUUCGCGCCGACAGUAACUGCCUGGCUAUAAAUAUGUCCUUAUACCCCUCGGCAAACACUUCUUCGCUCCAUUGCUCUCCUGCUAUAGCAAAAGCCCCGAACCCUAGCGCCACCGGUGGAAGUCUCAUCGCCGGCAAAGAAGAGCUUCACUGCCUCGACUUCUCCGUCGCCGGAACCACGCCGGAGUCGGACCAUCUUCGUCCGCCGCCGCCGUAGACGUCCUCUGCUGCCGGGUUAGGGCGCAUUGGACACGCACCGAAGAGCUUCUCUCUGCAACUCUUCUCUGUUCUUCGUGCGCGCCAUCUAGGGUAAAUAAAAACCCUAUUUUUACAGCAAGUUAGAUCUACUAUUUUACAUCUCAGAUGUGAAAUCUAUUUUUCCUCAAGAAUCCAUAUGCAUCUGAUUCCUCAAACACUGCCUAUCACCACACUGUUGAUGAACUUCACUAAGCAUCUAAGAUUUUCACGAGAUUCCUCAAUUGUGUGAAUUUUUGGAUCUGUACAACUCUGGAACCCAAGAACGGUAUGCUUAGGCAAAUUCCUCAACCACUGGUUAAAUGUUAGAAUUAUGCCCUAGAGGCAAUAAUAAAUAUAGUUAUUAUUAUAAUUCNNNNNNNNNNNNNNNNNNNNNNNNNNNNNNNNNNNNNNNNNNNNNNNNNNNNNNNNNNNNNNNNNNNNNNNNNNNNNNNNNNNNNNNNNNNNNNNNNNNNUAAAGUGAAUGCAGCUGUUUCUAAUGCAUAACCCCAAAACGAUAACGACAAAUCAGUAAGAGACAUCAUAGAUCGCACCAUUUCUAAUAAAGUACGAUUACGACGUUCGGACACACCAUUACGCUGUGGUGUUCCAGGCGGUGUUAACUGCGAAACAAUUCCACAUUGUCUUAAGUGAGUACCAAACUCGAAACUCAGAUACUCACCCCCACGAUCAGACCGUAGGAACUUGAUCUUCUUGUUACGAUGAUUUUCCACUUCACUCUGAAAUUGCUUGAACUUUUCAAAUGUUUCAGACUUGUGCUUCAUCAAGUAGACAUAACCAUAUCUACUCAAAUCGUCAGUGAAGGUGAGAAAAUAACGAUAUCCGCCGCGUGCCUCCACGCUCAUCGGACCACACACAUCGGUAUGUAUGAUUUCCAAUAAGUCACUUGCACGCUCCAUUGUUCCGGAGAACGGAGCUUUAGUCAUCUUGCCCAUGAGGCAUGGUUCGCAAGUGUCAAGUGAAUCAAAGUCAAGUGACUCCAAAAGUCCAUUAGCAUGGAGUUUCUUCAUGCGCUUUACACCAAUAUGACCCAAGCGGCAGUGCCACAAAAAUAUGGCGCUAUCAUUGUUUACUCUAACUCUUUUGGUCUCAAUGUUAUGUAUAUGUGUAUCGCUAUCGAGAUUCAAUAUGAACAAUCCUCUCACAUUCGGUGCAUGACCAUAAAAGAUGUUACUCAUAGAAAUAGAACAACCAUUAUUCUCAGACUUAAAAGAGUAACCGUCUCGCAAUAAACAAGAUCCAGAUAUAAUGUUCAUGCUCAACGCAGGCACUAAAUAACAAUGAUUUAGGUUCAUCACUAAUCCCGAUGGUAGGUGAAGUGACAUGGUGCCGACGGCGAUUGCAUCAACCUUGGAACCGUUUCCUACGCGCAUCGUCACUUCGUCUUUCGCCAGCCUCCGUCUAUUCAUCAGUUCCUGCUUCGAGUUGCAAAUGUGAGCAACAGAACCGGUAUCGAAUACCCAGGCACUACUACGAGAGCUGGUUAAGUACACAUCAAUAACAUGUAUAUCAAAUAUACCUGAUUUUUCUUUGCCCGCCUUCUUAUCUGCCAGAUACUUGGGGCAAUUGCGCUUCCAGUGACCCAUACCCUUGCAAUAGAAGCACUCUGUUUCAGGCUUAGGUCCAGCCUUGGGUUUCUUCGGCGGAUUGGCAACAGGCUUGCCGCUCUUCUUCGAAUUGCCCUUCUUGCCUUUGCCGUUUCUCUUGAAACUAGUGGUCUUGCUCACCAUCAACACUUGAUGUUCUUUACGGAGUUCAGACUCUGCGACUUUCAGCAUCGCAAACAACUCGCCGGGAGACUUUUUCAUCCCUUGCAUGUUGUAGUUCAACACGAAGCUUUUAUAGCUUGGCGGUAGUGAUUGGAGGAUUCUGUCAGUGAUAGCUUCUUGCGGGAGUUCAAUCCCCAGUUCAGCUAGACGGUUUGAGUACCCAGACAUUUUGAGCACAUGUUCACUNNNNNNNNNNNNNNNNNNNNNNNNNNNNNNNNNNNNNNNNNNNNNNNNNNNNNNNNNNNNNNNNNNNNNNNNNNNNNNNNNNNNNNNNNNNNNNNNNNNNGCCGCCAGGAUAGCCGAUUCUCUCUAGCGGACUGAUUCAGAGGCUCGUAGAGGAAUCGAGCAGAUCCGCGCCUUGUUGCUUAUGGUGCAAUAGCAAAAUUCGGCGAUCUCCCAGUCGCACAACAGGAUCCACAACAGUUCUGUUCAAGCGAACACGCAUCGGUCGGUUUUCAGUCCCGACUCUCACCAGCGAUGCAGAGGGGGCAGCCGUUCCAAGGACCCGAGUCGGAAUACGCUUCCCAUUUGGUCUCAUCCCGAAGAUCGUCGCCGUUCGCGUACUCCUCCAUGGUGUGGGCCUUACGGGCCCCGGCAUUACGAUGAUCGUCGUUCGGGCGGUGGCGCGCAUGAUCCAAGGCCUGAUGCAAGAGGGUACAUCACCCAGACGAAGGUCGACAAAAGUCGAGCCCACCGUGAUGGUCAGGAUAGAGACCAUCCGAGUGGAAGCAGGACCGUUGUUUCUGGCCCCGAGUGCUUCAGUCGGGCCAUCCGCUCAGCUGACAUCCCUCCCAACUUCUGAUUGGUGACGGGAAUCAGCAAAUUCACAGGAGAGUCCAAACCAGAAACUUGGUUGGACGACUACAGAGUGGCGGUCCAGAUCGGUGGCCGAGAUGACCAUGUCGCCAUGAAAUAUCUCCCACUGAUGCUCGACGGUUCGGUGCGAGCUUGGCUAAACUAGUUAGCUCCGUCAAGGAUCUACAGUUGGGCAGAUCUGGCCCGAGUCUUCAUAAGGACCUUUCAGGGAAUGUGCAAACGCCCUGCUGGUCUCGUGGAGCUUCAUCACUGUGUCCAGAAGCAAAACGAGCCCUUGCGCGAUUUCAUCCAGCACUGGACGACCCUCUACCACAAGGUGGAGAAUGUCACAGAGCACCAAGCAGUCUGUGCCUUCAAGGUAGGCGUUCAAUACAGAGAUCUGUACCUGAAGUUUGGUCGGACAGGCGACAUCUCCAUGAGCAAGAUGAUGGAGAUAGCCACGCGCUAUGAAAUGGCGAAGAGGAGGACCACAUAUGUAGCGGCAAGCAUAAGUCAGUCGCCGAUGGAGAUGGGAACAACUGUUGGAAGCAGAAGCAGAAUUCUCAAUCCACUCCGCAGGCAUAGGCAGCAGCCGUCACAAAUGCCAAGUUCAAAGGCAAGGGGAAAGCACAAUACGCCCCCAAGAAGAGGCAAUCAGGAAAUUCCAUCCUAGAUCAACCGUGUCCAAUCCACACGAAGACAGAUGAAGAAGGCAAUGUCAUAUUGUCGAAGCAUACCACUCGGCAGUGUCGCCUCCUGAUCCAAGGAUUCGGCGAAGGACAACCGAGUGAGAAGGACACCGAGCAGGAUGAUGAGGACAAGGAGGAUCCGUUCCCCCUAGUCCAUGCAACAUUGAUGAUUUUUGUUGAUGUGGAAAGCAAAAGUCGACUGAAGCUGGUCAACAGGGAGGUAAACAUGGCAACCCCAUCCACUCCCACGUUCCUCAAGUGGUCACAGACUGUGAUCACCUUUGAUCAGUCAGACCACCCAGCACACGUACCCACCCCAGGGAGGCAGGCUCUGGUCAUCGACUCGGUGGUGGAAGGAGUUAGGCUGCGCAAAUUCCUCAUGGACGGCGGCAGCGGCUUNNNNNNNNNNNNNNNNNNNNNNNNNNNNNNNNNNNNNNNNNNNNNNNNNNNNNNNNNNNNNNNNNNNNNNNNNNNNNNNNNNNNNNNNNNNNNNNNNNNNACGCACACACUACAUGUACUAUGUUCGUUUCGUUUCAUUUUCUUUGUUSCGMRAARGGGUUAGGUUUUGGGAAGUUUGGGGUACCGUUGGGGUCGUUAGUUCGAGGAUGUAGGUGGGCAACGGGUASGCACACGGCAUGCACACAGGAGAUGCGGUCACUGAUCACGUAAGCUACUUGGUGAGUUUCUUGCACGAGGCCGAUGAUUUUCUUGAAGAAAAACUCAACGACCGAUGACGAGAGCUAGGGAGCGAGUGCGACACCAUACAACCGCGCAACUUCUGUAUGAUGCAAACCUUGACCUUUCGAAUCAUCUAGUUGCCUUCCCCGCCAAAAUUCUAGUUAAAUUUGGUGCGAUCACCCUCGGAGUGUGAAAAAACGGGUUCGGUUUGGUCCUAUGUUCAAACUGAAAAUGGUUGGAUGCAGAGAAGCAGCCAGGGAUUGGAUGGUUGGAUCAUCUCUAACAGAUUCCUUAAAAAUGGUUAAAUUUCAUAAGAAAUAACGUACAGUUGUCAACAAACAUCUCAAGUAACUAUUUUCAAACCGAAUAGUAGCCCGUAAAAGUGGUUAAAUCCGUAAACCCCUGAGCAUCCACCCCAUGACUCCUUUAUUUCCAUAUUUGGAGGCAGAACUGAGGAUACCUUAAAAACCGGUCAACGUUACUCCCUCCCUCCGUCCACAAAUAAGUGUACAUAUAGAUUUUUACUUAGUUAAAUUUUUUAAAAUUUGAUCAAUUUUAUAGAAAAUAGUAGCAACAUAUAUGGCAUAAAAAUGAUAUAUUUAAAAACUUCAUGUAAAGACGAAUCUAUUGAUACUUAUUUGAUGUCAUAAAUGCUAACACUUUUCUCAAUAAAGUUAGUCAAAGUUUAACUAGUUUGACUGACAGAAAAGGAAAAAGUACACUUAUUACCGGACGGAGGGAGUAUAUGAUAAAGGAUUUUGUCGUGCGCACACGGGCUCCGAUGACCUUUCACCAUGAAACUCGCCAACUCGAGCAGCUACGGACUAGCUAGCUACGCUAGAUCGAUUUGUAUUUGGCUGCUUCGUGUGCUGUUCGUCGGCUUUUUAGAGCGAGCUAGUUGAUCGUGGAUAUGAACGAGAUGAAGAAGAAGACUGAGACAAAUAUAAGCAAAUAUUCAGUUUUAUAGUUUAAGUUUGAGAGGUUUGUUCGACCGCAACUCAAAUCGAUUCUUAAAAUGCGUUUUUUUCUGAAUUGAAAACCGCGCUUCAGUUUCACGAUUUAAGGGUUCUGCUGGAGGUGCUCUUAGGAGGGUGUCCGUGCCCCGGGCUAUCACUCAUCAAACCUCGGGUAAUGGGCAUCAUUUAAAAAAAUAAGAGACGACAUUCUGGUGUGAGUGCACGCAUGCAUGAGUCUACAUUGUAACAUGUGUUUAAAAAAGGAUUUUGUUUUAGAGGAUUUGAUGCUUAUGAUCACCUAGUCAAGGAAAUGAGUUAAGAAACUCGGUAACUGGUUUCUUGUAAUCGGUGUUUUCCAUGUUGAUAAUUUUCUUCGUCGAAAAUUAAGAUAAUUUGGAAACAAAAAUAGGAAAAGAGUUUCUUUUGUUGAAAACUAAGAUAAUUUGAAAUGAAAACUAGGAAAAGGUGAUUUAAAAUAUAAAAAAUAUAUGUGACCAAAAACAAGAAACCGGUUGUGUAUAAAACUGCAAGCUUACACAAGGAAUUUUGACUUGAAAUUUAUCGGGAAACAUCCAUAAUCACAUAAGAACUCUAAAAUGUUUAGACAAAUGUGAAAUAUUCCACAUAAGGAUUCGAAAACUUUUGAGAACUUUUAGAAGUAAAAAAAUGUUUAUAUCUAGUCCCAUGUUCAAACUAAAAAUGGUAUGAUACUAUACAUUGGACAAAUGAAGUAGAAAAGUAAGGAAAAAAGGAAGUGUUGUAAAUAAAUAGUCGAAAACUUAAGUGAUUCGAAGGAAAACAAUGAAAAGUAAUGUUAAAAACUUACGGAUAUACAAAAGAAAAAAAGAAACCAAUUGUGAAAAAGGUAUACAUUCAUAGAAACAUGAUAUUUCAAAAUUGAAAUUGUCUUGGAACAUCUAUAACAUCAAAAAUUCUGAAAUACCGUUAUAGUGUAAAAAAACUGUCUGCAUGGAUUGUUUUUGUCUAGUUCACCUCUGUUUUUAGAAUAAAUGUGUCUGUUAGGCAUAAAAUUCAUAGGAGAUAUUAGCAUUUCUUUAAUAUUUUUAGCUCCUUGUUUGUUUUCAAGUUUCUUGUUUUCCCUACUUAUUUUUGCUAAGUGUAUGUCUUUUGCGUGAAUAAGUGGAUGCAACCUCGUCAUAAAAAACAUUACUUGGGUAAUUAACCAACUUCUAGACAAUUUGACAAUUUUUUAUGCUUUCAAAAACAAGAAURGCCAAUACAGAGUUAAGAUAUGACGAGGUUAUUUGGGUAAUUGACCAACUUUUAGACAAUUAUUUAUGUUCUCGGAAACAAGAAGUUGAGAUAUCAAACGGUUAUUUGGGUAAUUGACCAACUUUUAGACAAUUAGUUUGACCCACAAAAUAAUCGCCAAAAUAAGGGUUUGCACGGAAAAUGUUGCCACACAAGACCCUGCAAACGCGUCCGACCCGCAAACUUUUUUGACGGGCGCGGCAAAAUCCCCUCCCGACCCACGAAAACACAGGUUUCCGCCUCGCCUAUAGGAUGCCCUGCAUUCGAGGGAAGCGGUUAGCGGGACGGACAUUUCAGCCCACGCCCUUUCCCCACCCCCUUCCGCUGCCGCGCCGCCAUUAGUUCCCCCUAUCCCCCGUCGGUGAUUCUGCCGAAUCUACCGGGUGAAUCGCGCCGCUGGGCACCACUGUCCUCUUCCGCCAAGCCGCUACAUCGACUCCCCCGGAUCCGCCAAUCCACGGCGGCGGGAGAGCCACCGCCGGAGAUGGACUUGAGCCUGUGCGAGAAGUUUCCGCUCGAGGAUUCAUCCGAUUCGGACGACCCAGAUGUUGAGACGAUGUUCUCAUAUUUUGCCAGCAUAGUUUGGUGAUGGCCCUCGCCGUGAAGGAGCACGAAGACGAGCACCGAAAGAGGCGGCGUGGAUCAACUAUUAGUCGUCUUUGCAUUCCUCGAAAUAGCCAUCUCGGCAACGAGAUGCUGAUGCGAGACUACUUCGCCGCCAAUCCAACAUACCCGCCGCACCUCUUCGGGAGAAGGUACCGUAUGUGCAGAUCCAUGUUUGUUAAAAAAAGUUAAGCUUGCGAGGCUAAUUGUCGAUAUUUUACUCAAAGAAGGAAUGUCGCGGGCUUGAAGGGAUUUAGUGCAUAUCAGAAAAUCUCGGCAGCUAUGCGGGUAAUUUCAUACGGCGUUCCGGCUGACUAUACCGAUGAGUACCUUCGCAUUGGGGAAGACAGUACAAUUGAGUCGGUGCGUAGGUUUGCCAAAAUGAUUGUCCGUGUCUUUGAUCCUGAAUAUCUUUGGGCACCGAACGAGGAAGACACAAAAAAUUGAUGACAUUUAACGAAAGAAGAGGAUGGCUCGCAUGCUAGGAAGCAUAGAUUGUAUGCAUUGGACUUGAAAAAAUUGUCCAAAAGCAUGGCAAGGAAUGUACCGUGGCAAGUCUCGUGAUGCAACAAUUGUGCUAGAGGUCGUACCUUCACAUGAUUUAUGGAAUUGGCCUUGAUUUUUUGGUAUGCCGGGUACUCUAAAUGAUAUAUAUCAAUGUGUUGCAACGGUCUCAUUUGCUUGCUAGGCUUGCUAGUGGUGAUGCUCCAGCUUGCAAAUACACUAUCAAUGGGCAUGAAUACACAAAAGGAUACUAUCUUGCAUAUGGUAUAUACCCUUCUUGGUGCACAUUUGUGAAGAGCAUCAAAGACCCCCAAAGUAGAAAGGAGUCUGAAUUCGCAAGGGCACAAGAGGCAGCCUGAAAAGACAUUGAAAGAGCAUGUGGGGUUUUGCAAUCUAGGUUUGCCAUUGUUCGUGGUCCUGCUCGAUUUUGGGACAAACGAUCCUUAAAAAACAUCAUGACAUGUUGUGUUAUUCUUCAUAAUAUGAUUCUCGAAUAUGAGAGAGGCAUGAACUUGGAGUUCUUCUAUGCAAUGUGGACAGUCGUGUCAAACCAGCUAGAGACCCUAACCGAAUUAGAGCUUUUCUUUAGACCUACAGUGUAAUGACCCAGAUGUAACCCUUGCCUUUUGUGGAACCCUUUCCUAUUUUGGGUCAUGAUGGCAAUGCUAUAAGAGUAUCAUUUCAUGCGGUCAUUUCAUGUCAUCACUUUUGGAUCAUGCCAUUCAUUGCAUUCAUGUUUUCUCCUUUGUGUUGAUGUUGUUGCUUGAUCCUUCAUUAGUGGAGUGUGUUGUGUUUGAUGUGGUGAUGUCUUCAAAACAUUGUUGCUUUCAACUAGGUUUCAAAAACCCCUUCUUCUUUAUUUAUUCGAGCUCAUGUUUAACUUGCUCAAAAUCUAUUUUAGAAAUGUUGUUCAUUUUGUAGUUUUACCUUGUGGAUGAGGGAUACUGUUUUGGGGUUUUUAAAACUUAAAUGAAUGGGAGUUUAAAUACAAAAACAGCAUAGAUUUUCUGUUUUUGCAUUUAAAUUACUUGCUCUAAAAAUCUGGUUUUUAUUUUUUUUAAAUAGGGCAUAAUUCCCUUAUGCCCUGUGUGCUUUAGUUUUUAUUUUUCCAAACACUCUGGAGCACUGGGCUUUUUGCUUUCUGCUUGGUUUAAAUAAAAUAGGAAAAACCCUUGUUUUAUUUUUUUCCUAUCAUGCGCUAGAUAGGAGUGGGCUUCCUUUUCUCUCCCUGGGCCGCCUCCUUUUCUCCCGAGCCAGGCCCACCCGGCGACCCUCUUCUUCCUCCUCGCUGUCGUCACUGUGUACGACGCCACCUCCACCACUGAUCUUCCUCCCCCUUCGAUCUGGUGGCUCCAAGCAUGCCUCCCGAGGUCAUAUAAGGAGCCGGUGCCUCCCUGCGUCUAGGGUUCUAUUUUCCCCUCCUCUUCUCCCUCUAGCGCCGCCAGGAACAUAGCAGAGCAUCCCCAUCGCCAUGGAGACCUCCGGCCCGAGCUCGACGCCGGCGUAGCCUCGACCUCGCCUCCUCCCCGAAGCUGCCGGGAGCAAGAGGACUGAUGUCCCAUAAGCGUAUGGGAUCGCAACAGUUUUCGAGGGUAGAGUAUUCAACCCAAAUUUAUUGAUUCGMCAAGACGGGAAGCGAAAGAAUAUUCUCAAGUAUUAGCAGUUGAAUGUGUCAGAUUCAACCACACCUGAAAGAUUAGUGUCUGCAAGCAAAGUAUCAGUAGCAAGGUAGUAUGAUAGCAACGGUGCCAGAAACGAUCUGUUGACGGCAGACUAUUCCUAACUGUUGUAUCAAUGGCGCUAGCACGUUGACGGGGGAUUAUUCUUUAGAAGAAUGCUUCCCCGGCUACGGCUCCAACAAAGUCUUGCAACAAGUAACAGCGGAGUAGCAAGGAACAGCAGUAGCAGCAUCAACAAAGUAACAAGUAACAGCAGUAGCAAAGUGGCCCAAUCCCUUUGUAGCAAGGGACAAGCCUAGGCAAAGUAACGUAGCGAGGACCAGUAGUAAAAGACUCGUACGCAGUGGAUCGGUGAUGGAUGAGUAUGACGGAUGUGAUUCAUCAUGUAAUAGCUAUAACACGGAGAGAUAUGUAACUAGCUCCCUUUCAUCAAUCUAAUGUAGGCAUGUAUUCCAUAUGUAGUCAUACGUGCUUAGGGAAAAGAACUUGCAUGACAUCUAUUUUCCAUCCCUCCCGUGGCAGCGGGGUCCUAAUGGAAACUACGGGAUAUUAAGGUUCUCCUUUUAAUAAAGAACCGGACCAACGCAUUAACACGCAGUGAAUACAUGAACUCCUCAUACUAUGGUCAUCUCCGGGAGUGGUUCCGGCUAUUGUCACUCCGGGGUUGCCGGGUCAUAACACAUAGUAGGUGACUACAACUUGCAAGAUAGGAUCUAAAACACACAUAUAUUGGCGACAACAUAAUAGGUUAAGAUCUGAAAUCAUGACACUCGGGUCCUAGUGACAAGCAUUAAGCAUUGCCAAGUAGUAGCAACAUCAAUCUAGAACAUAGUGGAUACUAGGGAUCAAUCCCCGUCAAGAACUAACUCGAUUACAUGAUAGAUCUCAUCCAACUCAUCACCUUCCAGCAAGCCUACGAUGAGAUUACUCACGAACGAUGAAGAGCAUCAUGGAAUUGUCGAUGGAGAAAGGUUGAUGAUGACGAUGGCGACGAUUUCCCCUCUCCGGAGCCCGAAACGGACUCCAGAUCUCCUCCAGAUGAAGAACAAGAUGUGGCGGCGCCUCUGUAUCGCAAAACGCGAUGAAACCUUCUCUUUGAUUUUUUCCAGGCGAAACGGAAGAUAUAGAGCUGAGUUUGGGGGCGGUGGUGCCACGUGGGCCCCACAAGCCUGCACGGUGAGGCCUAGGGGGGUGGCCACGACCUGUGGACUUGUGGCCCACUCGCACGCCCCCUCAGGUGGAUUUUUGCGCAUGUAGUUUUCUUUUAUUCCAGAAAAAAUCUCCGUAAAUUUUCAGGACAUUCCGAGAACUUCUAUUUCUGCACAAAAACAACACCAUGGCAAUUCUGCUGAAAACAGCGUCAGUCCGGGUUAGUUCCAUUCAAAACAAGCAAAUUAGAGUCCAAAACAAGGGCAAAAGAGUUCGGAAAAGUAGAUACGACGGAGACGUAUCAAGGACCCAGGAGGGGUUCCAUUUUUGCUCAGAGCGGGAGCAGGGUCUUCUUCCACGACGUCCACGACGGCCGGCGUCCUCGUCAACUCCGGCGGCCUCUCCGUGCAGCAACACGUCGUCGGGCCUUCUUCCUCCACGGCGUCUCCCUCUCCUCGGCACCCUAGGUGACGCGCGGUUCCCUUCUCCUUCGUUUUCCCCUUGUAGCCGAGGCCCCGCCGUCGGUAGCCAUGUCCGCCGGCGAGCUGCUCGUGCAUGCGGUGCGUCUGUAGUGGUAACACCAGGAGUAGUUACAGGUUCAGCAGCNNNNNNNNNNNNNNNNNNNNNNNNNNNNNNNNNNNNNNNNNNNNNNNNNNNNNNNNNNNNNNNNNNNNNNNNNNNNNNNNNNNNNNNNNNNNNNNNNNNNCCUUUUGGGGCAUCGCCCUCAAAAUAGGAAAGGGCCGUAUCUUAGUCGUUACAUACAGGGAGAUUGAAAAUGCAAACACCGAGUGCCAACUUCAGAAGGAUCUCAUUGAGCACCAUUGACAAAGGGCUGGGCAUUAACUCAUUCUAUUUUUCCAUUCAUUUUCAUUUCAUUCAUGUGUGAUUUGUAUACGGGACAAGUUUUGUAUUCAUGUGUGACAUUCAUUUAGUUUGCUACGGUGAUUUGAAUAAUUAUUGUACUUUAGAUGAUUACUGUAUUUGUAAUAUUGGCAUUUUACUUAUAUUGCACAUGAUGAGUAAUUCUAAUUUACGGGGUAUCCGGGUUGUGGGUCGACGCGGUGGCGCCCAAGCAGACCCCGCAUUGACGAUCCGUAUAAUAGCAUCUUCUGUGAAUAUCCUUUUAUACGUAUCCAUUUUGGAGGGUCUACCUCUAUCCACGCCCGCGUCGAUCCGCAAAAACCGUUUUUCAUGAACUGUAAAAUAUUUUUUGCGGAUCGGCAUUAUACGAGGUCUUCUGGAGAUGCUCUUAGCGCAUCCUCAAAGCGAACCCUCAAAGCUUUGGUACACCGUGUCCGAACCAGUUUUGCUAACCUUUAUAAUUUAAUGGGACUUUAAACGUCUGCAGAUUAGUGUGGACCCCGAUUUUUGACAAAUUUAAAACAGAAUUGAGGAAGCUAUGGUGAAGUCGCGACAUGCAAUUGACCAAUAAAAAGCCCCUUCACGGUCCUCCUCUAUUUUCUCUCUAGUCACAUGCAUGACCACCCUCCUCCUCUCAACCGAACACAACAACACAAUAUCCCACUACAUGCAUAGUCCUCUUCUACUCUCUCUCUCUCUCUCUCUUCUUUCAUAUUAGUAAUUAUAAAUAAAAWUAAAACAACUAWUGCUAAAAACUAACUUAKUUGCGGUCGGUUACCGGUUUAGGGGUCUAGUGUUAGGAAAUCGUACCCUUAAGUAAAACGAAAUUAGNNNNNNNNNNNNNNNNNNNNNNNNNNNNNNNNNNNNNNNNNNNNNNNNNNNNNNNNNNNNNNNNNNNNNNNNNNNNNNNNNNNNNNNNNNNNNNNNNNNNCGGGUUUGGGGGGGUUCCGGGGGGGUAGGGGGUCGGGUAGGGGCCGGGAAGGGAAGGGAGGACCGGGACGGGUACGGUACGUUAGUGUAGUGGUGUGGUGUGGUGGUGURGGGGGGGGGGGSGCGGACGGCGCGACCGCACGUUGUGGUGUGGUGACGCACACACUAUGGGGGGUUCGUGCUCUGAUCUGCGGCUUGGAUACGUAAGGGGCUUGCGUUGGCGUGGCCUGGAGCGCAAGCAAGAGCCUGGAAGCGGCGGGGAAAAGGGGGCGAUGCGUAGCGGGGCCGUUGACCUUGGGGCUUGGCGCGCGCCUUCGGUGGUGCCCUCUCUGGUCUGGUGCAGUGGGUGGGCUGGCGCGCGCCGUCUUCCUCCGUGCGGUUUUCUAGAGCGCGUGCGAUGACGGUGACGGUGACGGUGACGGUCAUCCAACACGUGCAUCAAACAUCCGCGAACUGAUGAGAAUGCACCAAUUAACCCGUGGUUAGAUGGAUAGAAAGGCAGUGGUAUUACAGUCCAUCAGGCUUGAAGUCUUGAUACUCGUAUUUCUGAAUUUAUUCGGUAUUUUUUAUGACGCGUAUUUAAUGGAAGAAGACGUGACACUUGCUCUAUACUUUGUUAAAAAAAGAAGAAUUGAUAAGGCGUAUGAAAUCUCACAAACCAAAAACAAAACGAUAGACAAUCCAGAUGUAUCACGUGGACGUCCGACAUCUUUGCCCACAAUAAACCCUCUUUCUCGUUCCGCUUUCGCUAGAAGUAAGAACCAGUAAUAUAUUAUGAUUUCUACGUUUCAAGCCUUUCUUAGCUAUUUUAUUAUUCAACUAACAAUGUUCUUAUUUUCUUGGAUCAUAUGUGUAAGUGCAUCUAGUGCCAUCCUUUGUUGGUUUUGGAGUAUUGAAGACAAGCGUGAUUGAGGGAUUUAAUGUGUUUGUGAGAGUUCACAGGAUAACACGGAUAAAAAUCCAUGAAGAUUUGGUUUAACCAUCGAAGACGACCCCUAAAAAUAUCUGAAGACACUGAAGAUGGUUGAAGGCAACAAUAGGUGCGCGAAGAUAUAUGCAUGAAGCUAAUGAAACGUGAAGACGAAGUCUUUUGGUAGUUCCUUUUUUUCUUUCCUUAGUCAUAUGAACCAAUAUAUUGUUAAGUGGGGUCUAAGUGAUUGAAGUCAGAAUCUGACGUGAUGCUCAACCCAAACACCUAUGUCUUCGAGUGAAUACAAUAAGAAGAAAUCUCUUUCAGAGUUGGUUGAGUCAACAUUGCUUGUACCCCAAGUAAUGUUGCCAUGUGAGUCGUUGAAAUCCGACCACUGUGACAUGUGUCGGUUGGCCAUUGACCCAGGAUAAUUUCGGUCAUAUCAUGUCGGGUUGCCUGUUGGCUAUAAAUAACCCAUCGCCUCCAUCAUAAGUUGGUGGCUACUCAGAGUUAUUAUACAAUUAUUGUCGUUUUGGAGCGUCCCACUUCUAAGACAUUAAGAGCGAGAGCUAUCGUGCAAGGAUAAACCCAAACACCUAGAGCCAGAGUGUUUGGAGCAUCAUCGAAGUCAUUCUGUUCUAAGAGAACUAAAGAUUUAUUACCCUUAAAGACUGUGAUCUUCUAGCCUGUUAGUCGUCGUGGUCUAGAGCAUCCAAGAGUUACUCUGGAUUAUCGGGUGAUCGAGUUUUUGAAGGUUUCAAAAGUCUACCUUGAAGAUUUACCAGAGUGAUUGGGCGAGGUCUAAGAGACCUUGGCUCAAGGGGAAUAAGGUGAAGAUGAGGUCUUUAUAGUUAAAUCUCAGCCUCCCCAACCAGACGUACAGUUGUCACAACAACUGGAACUGGUCCACAAAUCUUGUGUCUUCGUCAAGCAGUUGGUUCUAUCUUUUCACUCCUUUACAUACUAUUUAGUAUUGUGAAGCCAUUGCUUGCUUAUUCUUGUAUGAAGACAUUCACCAAAGACAUUCAUCUGAUUUGCAUUUGUCUUCAUACUGCUCAAGUUUAUCUUUGAUUCACUUUUGUUUGCAUGAUGAAUGUGCCAUACUUGCCUGAAUGUCUCCGUAUCAUUACAUGCAUUGCCUAGCUCCUUGACUGUAAUCCCUAACUGAUCCUAAGUCAUUUUUGCUCACUUCGAAGACAUUUACUGGCUCAACUAGGCUUAGGGUUUUGGUUUGGAACUGGGGAUUUUAAAGCGGCGGGACGAUUUGAGCAAUUUCUUUCUCUUGUAGCUACCUAGGACAACCACUUCUAAGGAAUGGAGCGGGGUAGGUGAAGACAUGCAUGUUCAUGAUCGACAUAAAUUUCCAUCCGUAAAGUUAUGAGCUUUUGAAUAUGGUACAGUGGGAGGAAGUUUCAGCCACAUACAAAGAAGGUUAGCCUAACUCCCGCCGUUAGAAAUCAUUUGUUAUAUUAGGUGUGAUUCAAACACUUGAUUUUUUAUUUUGGAUGUGAUUAAGACACUGCCAUAGUUCUACGACUGUGAGUGCCAUUUUAAUUGAUAUCAAUAGCAAUACAUUAUAAAAGUUGUUUGGAUCACAUGGUAGGAAUUCACAAGAUGACUAUAAAACAUAACAUUUAGAGACUUGGUGCAAAAAACAUUUUUCACAAACUCUUUUAACUUGAAGGCAUAUUGACAGUAAGAAAACUAUAUGCUACAUGAUUUGAGAUGACAUAAAAAUUUACAGCAUGGUAGUAGACACGAUGCACUUCAUUUUAUUCAACAUGAGCAAAGGUGUUAGAGCAUAUUUAUCCAUAUGUGGUUUUGGUAAUUGAUGACAAUCUCUAUUGUCCAUAACGCUUUUGUGUACUAACCCAUGGUCUUCAUGAGAGUUCUAUGUGGGAUUAGGUGUGUUCCCAUGGGUUUGCGUUAAGAGGAAGAUCUCAUUCAACCUAUGAAGGAUGACAUCAAGUGGUGAUCGUCAUCAAUAUUGCGGUGUGCAAGUUCAAGUGGAGCAUCACGAAGAUAUCAUGCUUGAAGCUUGUCGUCCAUUCUGGUGGCAAUGGACUUGUAAGAUGUGCUGAAGAGUGGCUCACCCAUAGUGAGUAUGGGGAGCAAUCAACUAGUCUUCAUCAAACCAACACAAUCGACGAAGGUGGUCCAUCUUGAGGAAGCCAAGAUCAUCGUCAUCUAGCUCAAGAGGACUAGGUGCAAGGUACGGGUUUGCCCUUGAUAGGUUUAUCUAUUUUAGGAUAGAUUACCAUAUGUCAAGGGGGGCUCUUAAGUGAGUAGCUUGAUCGUAUCGUUCGUUGAGAGCUCAAACCAUUUGCAUCCUUGCAUUAUAUUUGUUUGUUCUUGUUUCGUGUUUCUCUUUGUGAGUUUUAGAGCUUAUGGUCAUCUUCAGGACAAGCUCGAGUUCAUCGAAAACGGACUCCAUAUGCAUCUUCUAUGAUGUUUUCGAUGUUGGAAGUUUUUGUCGGUUCUUCAUUCAUAGAGGUCUCACAUCUCUAUAACAUUGGCAUUUUCACAACUGCAUGUUCUUAAGAUUUCCAACAAGCUUGAUAGCUCUUGUCGUCCAGAAUCCACUGUUUUGAUAGCUCUUGUCGUUCUGAAUCCAACAAGCUUGAGUUUGCUCGAUUCGAAGCUCAUAUGCGAAAGUUAUGGCAGUUUUUGUGUCCAGCGGUUGAAAGUGCAUUAUAUCGACUAGAGGGGGGUGAAUAGGAGAUUUUUAGAAUUUCAUCACUGAGGAAAUUCCUUUUGAGGAAAUCCCUCACUGAUGACUAACUUACAGCGGAAACAGUAAAGGAUCAGAAGUGCAAAGUUUCACAACAGCAGUUUUUCAGUGUGAGGAAUGUGAAAACAGAUUGCACAGUGAGCAGGCAUGCAGAAAACAGAUGAGGAUUAACUAGCGUGAAGAAUUUGGGGUUGAGGAAUUUCAGAGAAAGUCUUCAGCAAAUUCUUCAAACAGUCACAGUGAAAGUCAUCAACACAUAAUCUGAGAAAUGUAAAGGGUUGAGGAAUUAGAACCCGUUUCACAGCGAAGACAGUAGUUGAUGACCGAGUUCCAACUGCUGUGACAGUCGUACAUCUGGUUUGGAGUGGCUUGGUAUUGAAACCAAAAGACACACAGUCCCUACCGUAUUCUCCUUGGGCUAAGAACACACAGUCCUCACCCAACACUCGUGGUAAGUCUUCAGGGCAGACUUCCAAACCCUCACAAACUUGGUCACCCGGCGAUCCACAAUUGACUGCUGGAUUGCUCUAGACCAUGAUGCCUAACCGUCUCGAGGAUGCACAGUCCUCAAAGGUAAAAGGCUUCAGUCCCACACAGGAACAACUUCUUCAGUGAUGCUCAAUCACUUGGUUCUAAGUUUGUGGUUUGGUGUUUGGGGUAUUUCCUCACUGAUAAAUUUCUCUCGAAGACUCUGAGGAAUUGGGUUGCUCUUAUGACAAGUGUCAGUUUCUAACGGAGCAGCCAACCAGCUAAUGGUUGUGGGGGCGGCUAUUUAUAGCCUGGGAGCAUCCCGACAUGAUUUGACACUAAUGCCCUUAAAUAAUAUGACCGUUGGUGUGGAUAAGACCAAUGAUGUGGCGUGGCUAUCGAAACGGUCGGAACCCUCAACUGUGAGAGUCCUCAUGUCACUCGUAUUCCUCACUUGAGGCUUUUGGUAGGAUUAGGCUUGGGUUGAGCAUCAUGAGGAAAUUCAUUCCAGAGUGUAACUUCCACCCCCUUUAACAGUAUGGUGUUCCUAUUACUCAAGUGUGAAGAAAAUAAAACAGAAAGAGUAAAUCUUCAUGCUUCAAAGUCUUCAGAAUGAUUUUCUUCAGGACACACCGAAUUCCUCAAUUUCAAUAUCUUCAUGAGGAAUAUCAAUUUCAUCGCGGAUUCUUUGCGAUUCAAUUCUUCAGCUUUAGACCAAUUUCUUCAACCGAAGAUAUACAUUUUUAGGGGUCGAUAUUCCUCAAAUAUUUCAAACUCCUCAGUGACUUAUAGAUCCUGUGUACACUCAUAAACACAUUAGAUACUUAACCUAUAAGUCUUCAAACCACCAAAAUCACUAAGGGGCACUAGAUGCACUUACAGCGGUAGUACCGCUAGUGCCAGCGUUAGUACCGUAGGCACAGUGGUAGUAGUUUUUUAUACUACUCUUUGGCGGUAGUUGAUAGGAAUACCAUGAAUGAUGUUGAAGAGGAUAUUCUUCAUGAGGCCUACACCAUCUUCUUCAUCAUCGUGUCCCUUGAUUGGUGCAAGGACGCUGCAGAGGAUUCUGUAAACAGAUCUUGGUUCAUACUUGAGUUCGUGGACAGGAAGGUUUUUCUCGGUGGUUGCCCUUUAGCCAAAGGCUUCAUGAGGACUUCCAUCAUCCUGUUGGGCAGCUCACGCUCACCAUAAAGCUUCACAACCUCCUCUCAGGGAAUUGAUACUGGCAAUUCACGCAGUAGCUCAGUAGCAGGAGCCUUGUAGUGAGUGUUUUGUGUCAUCCAGUCAAACACCCAGGUGUUAAUGUCUUCAGGAUCGCCAGAUAUGUGAAGAGUGGCAUAAAACUGAAGAAUGAGCUCACUGUUCCAAUCAGAGAUGUCUGAGCACAUUGGUAGCAGUCCAGCUUCAUGAAGAACAUUGAGGACUGGAACCAGGCAUGGAAUUGCUUCAAGUUCAACAUGAGGAAUAUGCUUGUGCUGGAAUAUCUUAUUUCUUCCACACAGCACAGAGGCAUAGUAAUUCAGCUGUGUCCUCGUCCAAAACUUCAGAUGUCUGAUUUGAGGCUUGUCAUAGGGAUUUUCUCCAAUGAAGUACAUGUGUUCUUCAAAGAAGUUCUCCUUUUGAAACUUUGGACGCUUGGAGAAUGGCUGAUGCUGCAUUGGCUGAAGAUUUUGCUGAGGAACUGGAGGGGAGACAACAAUUGCAGUCUCGGGGUUGAGCACGACGAAAGCAUUGUCUUGGUCAAGUGCAUUUUCCUCAACAUUGUCCUCAGGGUGAGGAAUUUCAUCAGCUUGGGCUUCAGGCUGAGGAGCUUGCUCAUGUUGUGCUUCAUGUUGAGGAAUGGGAUCUGGCUGGGCAUCAGGCUGAGGAAUUUCAUCAACUGGAGCAUCCUGUUGAGGGUUCUGCUCCGGAGAAGGAAUAGGUUCAUUCUGAGCCUCAGUGUGUAGAUCUUGUUCAGGUGGAGGAGUUGGUCAGCCUGUUCCUCAUCUUGAGGAUUUUUCUCAGGACUUUGAAUUUCAUCAGCUUGAGGAAUUUCACUUUGCUCUUCCUCAGCUUGCGUGGUGACAGAGACAGUUUCAUCAGCUGGUGCAGCUGAUCCUUGUACAGUGUCUUCCUGAGGAAUGGAGUGCUGAGGACUGUCGUCAAUACGAAUUUCUUCGUCAGUAUGUUCCUCAGAUGCAGCAUCCUUCAUUUCCUCAUCUGGCCCUUUCUCUUGGUCUUCAAAGGUGACCAUUUCAUAAGAUGGAGCGACGUUGAGGGGCACAGGGUCCAGUGGAGCAUUAUCUUCAAGCGCUUUGAGGCGCUUGGCCUCAGUGUUUUCUUCUGCUGAGGAGGCCUUUCUCUUUUUGGCUUCCUUCUCCGCGGCCCUCGUCUUCUUCACGUCUGAUGCAGACGGAGUCAUCUUCUACACCUUUGAAGCUUUUGGUGAAGGGGUUCUCUUGACAAAUUCAUCAGCUGGCUUUGAGGAACCAGCUGGAGUAGAGUCAUCAGCUUGCUUUGAUGCAGCAGCUGGAUCAGGGGCAGUCUCACCAGCUGUAGUAGAUUCAUCAGCUGGAUUUUCCAUGGUGAUUUCUUCAAUAGCCGGUACAUCCACACGGCUUUCUUGGGGUAUUUCCUUAGCUUGAGGAGUUUCAUCAGCUUGAGGAGAUUCAUAGGCUGGCUCUUCAAUCAGAGGCUGAGGAGUUGGUACUAGAGGGGCAGCCUUCUUGUUGUAGUCGUCAACAACUUUAGUGGCAAAUUUGAUGAAACUGCUUUUGAGACUCUGACGACCAGAUAGCUUGGAGUACUUAUCUGUCAAAGUCUUCAACUCGGCCUGUGUUGACACCAGUGCAUCAGGCGUCAAGUUGAGGAGAUUCUGCUUGAGGAAUUUCUCCUUUUUGAGCUUAGCAACCUUGGCCUGCUUGGCUUGCUGCUCCUUCCACUUGGCCUCAUUGAUGAAUGUGGCCACCAUGUGGCUGAUGCCAGGGGAAGUUUCAAAUCAUCAAGCGGAGUGUUAGGGUCCUCAUACCAGAUGUUUAUGUAGUCUAGGAGGACCUUGGGGUCCAUGGCCAGAGGAAUGGCGCUACCAGAAGCUUGAGCUACCCUCUCCUGCUUGUUUCUGAUUAUAGCUUGCAGGGUUUCAUCAUCAUAUUCAUCACUACCCUCUGAUGCAGACGGGACUGUGAUGAUUUUACUGGGGCUUGGUUGUGUUCCUCUUUCAGCAGACACCUGAGUCUUCAUAGGAGGUGGUGCAGACUUUGUCUCCGAGCUGGUUGCAGUUGGGAGUGAGGACCUGGAGGUAGCGGGCAGUGGCUUCAUGACCGGCUUCAGUUCUGGUUUUGAAACCUGUGGUGGUGCUGAGGAUUUUGGCGCUGAGGGUUUUGUAACUGUUGCCUGAGAUGGUUUCUCUUGAGGCUUUGGAGCCUUUGGUUUUGACGGCACAGACUUUGGUUGAGGAAUUGCUGAACCAGAGGUCUCAGCGGCAGAGGAAGUAGUUGCAGUUGAAGCAGUAGCUGAGGAUUCAUUGAAUUUCCUCACCGCAGCAUCUGCCUGCUUCUUAAUCUUAGCCAAGUGCUUGUCCUUUUCAUCAGGAUAGUCAUCAAGGGUCUUGAGGCUUGAGGGAUGUGCUACUUGAUGAGCCUCAAGUGGAGCCCGUUUGCCAGGAGGCUUCAGAGCGAAUUUCUUCGCAUACUUGGCAGUGACGAAUAUGUAUUCCUUCCACUCCUUUGCCCAUAGGCGUUCUAUCUUCUGAAGCCGAAUCUUUCUCUUUGCCAUUGUUUCAGAUUCAUCAGGUGUGCAAUAGUCUAAGUAAAUAUCCUCAGGGAUAUCCAAGGCUGUAUUCUGCUCAAGUUUCUUGCCUCCCUUUUGUUUCCUGUCAUCCUCCAUUUUCUUCAGCUGAGGAUUUUGCUGAUGAUAUUGAACUCUUGAGGAUUCUAAUGAGACUUGAAGAUUUUCUUCAAGAAACGCUGCAAAUGAGUUAAUGUGAUGAGAACCGAGAGAUUCAUCAGCUGACAUGUGUGUACCUGUGAACAAAGUAUAGUUGCGAGGAAUUUGGAGAGGUCAUAUGCUUUCUCAGAUUUGAAGAAAAUGAAAAAGUUUGACACUUGAGGAAUUUAAUGUUGGGGAACGUCGCAUGGGAAACAAAAAUUUUCCUACGCGCACGAAGACCUAUCAUGGUGAUGUCCAUCUACGAGAGGGGAUGAGUGAUCUACGUACCCUUGUAGACCGUACAGCAGAAGCGUUAGUGAACGCGGUUGAUUUAGUGGAACGUCCUCACGUCCUUCGAUCCGCCCCGCGAACAAUCCCGCGAUCAGUCCCACGAUCUAGUACCGAACGGACAGCACCUCCGCGUUCAGCACACGUACAGCUCGACGAUGAUCUCGGCCUUCUUGAUCCAACAAGAGAGACGGAGAGGUAGAAGAAUUCUCCGGCAGCAUGACGGCGCUCCGGAGGUUGGUGAUGACCUUGUCUCGGCAGGGCUCUGCCCGAGCUCCGCAGAAACGCGAUCUAGAGGAAAAACCGUGGAGGUAUGUGGUCGAGCUGCCGUGGAAAAGUCGUCUCAAAUCAGCCCUAAAACCUCCGUAUAUAUAGAAGGGAGAGGGGGGGCCUUGCCUUGGGGCUCAAGGAGCCCCAAGGGGGUCGGCCGAGCCAAGGGGGGAAGGUCUCCCCCCCUAAACCGAGUUGGACUUGGUUUGGUGGGUGGGAGUCCUUCCUUCCCUUCCCACCUCCUUCUUUUUUUUCUUUCUCUUUGAUUUUUCUUCCAAUGCGCAUAGGGCCCUUUUGGGCUGUCCCACCAGCCCACUAAGGGCUGGUGCGCCACCCUCAAGGCCUAUGGGCUUCCCCGGGGUGGGUUGCCCCCCCCGGUGAACUCCCGGAACCCAUUCGUCAUUCCCGGUACAUUCCCGGUAACUCCGAAAACCUUCCGGUAAUCAAAUGAGGUCAUCCUAUAUAUCAAUCUUCGUUUCCGGACCAUUCCGGAAACCCUCGUGACGUCCGUGAUCUCAUCCGGGACUCCGAACAACAUUCGGUAACCAACCAUAUAACUCAAAUACGCAUAAAACAACGUCGAACCUUAAUUGUGCAGACCCUGCGGGUUCGAGAACUAUGUAUACAUGACCCGAGAGACUUCUCGGUCAAUAUCCAAUAGCGGGACCUGGAUGCCCAUAUUGGAUCCUACAUAUUCUACGAAGAUCUCAUCGUUUGAACCUCAGUGCCAAGGAUUCAUAUAAUCCCGUAUGUCAUUCCCUUUGUCCUUCGGUAUGUUACUUGCCCGAGAUUCGAUCGUCAGUAUCCGUAUACCUAUUUCAAUUUCGUUUACCGACAAGUCUCUUUACUCGUUCCGUAAUACAAGAUCGCGCAACUUACACUAAGUCACAUUGCUUGCAAGGCUUGUGUGUGAUGUUGUAUUACCGAGUAGGCCCCGAGAUACCUCUCCGUCACAUGGAGUGACAAAUCCCAGUCUUGAUCCAUACUAACUCAACGAACACCUUCGGAGAUACCUGUAGAGCAUCUUUAUAGUCACCCAGUUACGUUGCGACGUUUGAUACACACAAAGCAUUCCUCCGGUGUAAGUGAGUUAUAUGAUCUCAUGGUCAUAGGAACAAAUACUUGACACGCAGAAAACAGUAGCAACAAAAUGACACGAUCAACAUGCUACGUCUAUUAGUUUGGGUCUAGUCCAUCACGUGAUUCUCCUAAUGACGUGAUCCAGUUAUCAAGCAACAACACCUUGUUCAUAAUCAGAAGACACUGACUAUCUUUGAUCAACUGGCUAGCCAACUAGAGGCUUGCUAGGGACAGUGUUUUGUCUAUGUAUCCACACAUGUAAAUGAGUCUUCAUUCAAUACAAUUAUAGCAUGGAUAAUAAACGAUUAUCUUGAUACAGGAAUUAUAAUAAUAACUAUAUUUAUUAUUGCCUCUAGGGCAUAAUUCCAACAGUCUCCCACUUGCACUAGAGUCAAUAAUCUAGCCCUCACAUCAUCAUGCGAAUUACAUUGUAAUAAAUCUAACACCCAUACAGUUCUGGUGUUGAUCAUGCUUAGCCCGUGGAAGAGGUUUAGUCAGCGGGUCUGCUACAUUCAGAUCUGUGUGCACUUUGCAUAUAUUUACGUCCUCCCCUUUGACGUAGUCGCGGAUGAGGUCGAAGCGUCGUUUGAUGUGUCUGGACUUCUUGUGAAACCGUGGUUCCUUUGCUAAGGCAAUGGCACCCGUGUUGUCACAGAACAAGGUUAUUGGAUUCAAUGCGCUCGGCACCACUCCAAGAUCCGUCAUGAAUUGCUUCAUCCAGACACCCUCCUUAGCCGCCUCCGAGGCAGCCAUGUACUCCGCUUCACAUGUAGAAUCUGCUACGACGCUUUGCUUGGAACUGCACCAGCUUACCGCACCCCCAUUAAGAAUAAAUACGUAUCCGGUUUGCGACUUAGAGUCGUCCGGAUCUGUGUCAAAGCUUGCAUCGACGUAACCUUUUACGGCGAGCUCUUCGUCACCUCCAUACACGAGAAACAUCUCCUUAGUCCUUUUCAGGUACUUCAGGAUAUUCUUGACCGCUGUCCAGUGAUCCACUCCUGGAUUACUCUGGAACCUACCUGCCAUACUUAUGGCCAGGCUAACGUCCGGUCUAGUGCACAGCAUUGCAUACAUGAUAGAACCUAUGGAUGAAGCAUAGGGGACGGAGCGCAUAUGCUCUCUAUCUUCAUCAGUUGCUGGGCACUAAGUCUUACUCAAUCUCGUACCUUGUAAAACUGGCAAGAACCCUUUCUUGGACUGUUCCAUUUUGAACCUCUUCAAAACUUUAUCAAGGUAUGUGCUUUGUGAAAGUCCUAUCAGGCGUUUUGAUCUAUCCCUAUAGAUCUUAAUGCCUAGAAUGUAAGCAGCUUCUCCUAGGUCCUUCAUAGAGAAACUUUUAUUCAAGUAAUCCUUUAUGCUCUCCAAAAACUCCACGUUAUUUCCAAUCAGCAAUAUGUCAUCCACAUAUAAUAUUAGAAACGCCACAGAGCUCCCACUCACUUUCUUGUAAAUACAAGAUUCUCCAACCACUUGUAUAAACCCAAAUGCUUUGAUCACCUCAUCAAAGCGUUUGUUCCAACUCCGAGAUGCUUGCACCAGUCCAUAAAUGGAUUGCUGGAGCUUGCACACCUUGUUAGCAUUCUUAGGAUUGACAAAACCUUCGGGUUGCAUCAUAUACAAUUCUUCCUUAAGGAAACCGUUAAGGAACGCCGUUUUGACAUCCAUCUGCCAGAUUUCAUAAUCGAAAAAUGCAGCUAUUGCUAACAUGAUUCUGACGGACUUAAGCAUCGCUACGGGUGAGAAUGUCUCAUCGUAGUCAACUCCUUGAACUUGUGAAAAACCCUUUGCCACAAGUCGAGCUUUAUAAACGGUCACAUUGCCGUCAGCGUCUGUUUUCCUCUUAAAGAUCCAUUUGUUCUGAAUAGCCUUGCGGCCCUCAGGCAGUACCUCCAAAGUCCACACUUUGUUCUCAUACAUGGAUCCUAUCUCGAACUUCAUGGCUUCUAGCCAUUUGUUGGAAUCUGGGCCCACCAUUGCUUCUUCAUAAUUUGCAGGUUCAUUGUUGUCCAACAACAUGAUUGACAAGACGGGAUUACCGUACCACUCUAGAGCAGCACGUGGUCUCGUCGACCUGCGUGGUUCGACAGAAACUUGAACCGGAGUUUCAUGAUCAUCAUCAUUAACUUCCUCCUCAACCGGCGUCGCAACGACAGAGGUUUCCCCUUGCCCUGCGCCACCAUCCAGAGGGAUGAGAGGUUCGAUAACCUCAUCAAGCUCUAUCUUCCUCCCACUCAAUUCUCUCGAGAGAAACUCCUUCUCGAGAAAAGCUCUGUUUUUAGCAACAAACACUUUGCCCUCGGAUUUGAGAUAGAAGGUGUACCCAACUGUCUCUUUUGGGUAACCUAUGAAGACGCACUUUUCCGCUUUGGGUUCCAGCUUUUCAGGCUGAAGCUUUUUGACAUAAGCAUCACAUCCCCAAACUUUAAGAAACGACAACUUUGGCCUUUUGCCAUACCACAGUUCGUAUGGUGUCGUCUCAACGGAUUUUGAUGGUGCCCUAUUUAAAGUGAAUGCAGCUGUUUCUAAUGCAUAACCCCAAAACGAUAACGGCAAAUCGGUAAGAGACAUUAUAGAUCGAACCAUCUCUAAUAAAGUACGAUUAUGACGUUCGAACACACCAUUACGCUGUGGUGUUCCAGGCGGUGUCAACUGUGAAACAAUUCCACAUUUUCUUAAGUGAGCACCAAACUCGAAACUCAGAUAUUCACCUGUUGGAGAACGUCGCACGGGAAACAAAAAUUUUCCUACGCGCACGAAGACCUAUCAUGGUGAUGUCCAUCUAUGAGAGGGGAUGAAUGAUCUAUGUACCCUUGUAGACCGUACAGCAGAAGCGUUAGAGAACGCGGUUGAUGUAGUGGAACGUCCUCACGUCCCUCGAUCCGCCCCGCGAACAAUCCUGCGAUCAGUCCCACGAUCUAGUACCGAACGGACGGCACCUCCGCGUUCAGCACACGUACAGCUCGACGAUGAUCUCGGCCUUCUUGAUCCAGCAAGAGAGACGGAGAGGUAGAAGAGUUCUCCGGCAGCGUGACGGCGCUCCGAAGGUUGGUGAUGACCUUGUCUCAGCAGGGCUCCGCCCGAGCUCCGCAGAAACGCGAUCUAGAGGAAAAAUCGUGGAGGUAUGUGGUCGGGCUGCCGUGGAAAAGUCGUCUCAAAUCAGCCCUAAAACCUCCAUAUAUAUAGGUGGGAGGGAGGGGACCUUGCCUUGGGGCUCAAGGAGCCCCAAGGGGGUCGGCCGAGUCCAAGGGGGGAGGACUCCCCCCCAAACCGAGUUGGACUUGGUUUGGUGGGAGGGAGUCCCCCUUCCUUCCCACCUCCUCCUUUUUUUUUCUUUCUCUUCGAUUUUUAUCUCUAUGGCGCAUAGGGCACUUGUGGACUGUCCCACCAGCCCACUAAGGGCUGGUGUGCCUCCCUCAAGGCCUAUGGGCUUCCCCGGGGUGGGUUGCCCCCCCCGGUGAACUCCCGGAACCCAUUCGUCAUUCCCGGCACAUUCCCGGUAACUCCAAAAACCUUCCGGUAAUCAAAUGAGGUCAUCCUAUAUAUCAAUCUUCGUUUUCGGACCAUUUCGGAAACCCUCGUGACGUCCGUGAUCUCAUCUGGGACUCCGAACAACAUUCGGUAACCAACCAUAUAACUCAAAUACGCAUAAAACAACGUCGAACCUUAAGUGUGCAGACCCUGCGGGUUCGAGAACUAUGUAGACAUGACCCGAGAGACUCCUCGGUCAAUAUCCAAUAGCGGGACCUGGAUGCCCAUAUUGGAUCCUACAUAUUCUACGAAGAUCUUAUCGUUUGAACCUCAGUGCCAAGGAUUCAUAUAAUCCCGUAUGUCAUUCCCUUUGUCCUUCGGUAUGUUACUUGCCCGAGAUUCGAUCGUCAGUAUCCGUAUACCUAUUUCAAUCUCGUUUACCGGCAAGUCUCUUUACUCGUUCCGUAAUACAAGAUCCCGCAACUUACACUAAGUUACAUUGCUUGCAAGGCUUGUGUGUGAUGUUGUAUUACCGAGUGGGCCCUGAGAUACCUCUCCGUCACACGGAGUGACAAAUCCCAGUCUUGAUCCAUACUAACUCAACUAACACCUUCGGAGAUACCUGUAGAGCAUAUUUAUAGUCACCCAGUUACGUUGCGACGUUUGAUACACACAAAGUAUUCCUCCGGUGUCAGUGAGUUAUAUGAUCUCAUGGUCAUAGGAAUAAAUACUUGACACGCAGAAAACAGUAGCAACAAAAUGACACGAUCAACAUGCUACGUCUAUUAGUUUGGGUCUAGUCCAUCACGUGAUUCUCCUAAUGACGUGAUCCAGUUAUCAAGCAACAACACCUUGUUCAUAAUCAGAAGACACUGACUAUCAUAGAUCAACUGGCUAGCCAACUAGAGGCAUGCUAGGGACGGUGUUUUGUCUAUGUAUCCACACAUGUAAAUGAGUCUUCAUUCAAUACAAUUAUAGCAUGGAUAAUAAACGAUUAUCUUGAUACAGGAAUUAUAAUAAUAACUAUAUUUAUCAUUGCCUCUAGGGCAUAAUUCCAACAGUCUCCCACUUGCACUAGAGUCAAUAAUCUAGCCCUCACAUCACUAUGUGAAUUACAUUGUAAUAAAUCUAACACCCAUACAGUUCUGGUGUCGAUCAUGUUUUGGCCGUGGAAGAGGUUUAGUCAGCGGGUCUGCUACAUUCAGAUCCGUGUGCACUUUGCAUAUAUUUACGUCCUCUUCCUCGACGUAGUCGCGGAUGAGGUUGAAGCGUCGUUUGAUGUGUCUGGUCUUCUUGUGAAACCGUGGUUCCUUUGCUAAGGCAAUGGCACCCGUGUUGUCAGAGAACAAGGUUAUUGGAUCCAGUGCGCUUGGCACCACUCCAAGAUCCGUCAUGAACUGCUUCAUCCAGACACCCUCCUUAGCCGCCUCCGAGGCAGCCAUGUACUCCGCUUCACAUGUAGAAUCUGCUACGACGCUUUGCUUGGAACUGCACCAGCUUACCGCACCCCCAUUAAGAAUAAAUACGUAUCCGGUUUGCGACUUAGAGUCGUCCGGAUCUGUGUCAAAGCUUGCAUCGACGUAACCUUUUACGGCGAGCUCUUCGUCACCUCCAUACACGAGAAACAUCUCCUUAGUCCUUUUCAGGUACUUCAGGAUAUUCUUGACCGCUGUCCGGUGAUCCACUGCUGGAUUACUCUGGAACCUACCUGUCAUACUUAUGGCCAGGCUAACAUCCGGUCUAGUGCACAGCAUUGCAUACAUGAUAGAACCUAUGGCUGAAGCAUAGGGGACGGAGCGCAUAUGCUCUCUAUCUUCAUCAGUUGCUGGGCACUGAGUCUUACUCAAUCUCGUACCUUGCAGAACUGGCAAGAACCCUUUCUUGGACUGUUCCAUUUUGAACCUCUUCAAAACUUUAUCAAGGUAUGUGCUUUGUGAAAGUCCUAUCAGGCGUUUUGAUCUAUCCCUAUAGAUCUUAAUGCCUAGAAUGUAAGCAGCUUCUCCUAGGUCCUUCAUAGAGAAACUUUUAUUCAAGUAACCUUUUAUGCUCUCCAAUAACUCUACGUUAUUUCCAAUCAGCAAUAUGUCAUCCACAUAUAAUAUUAGAAACGCCACAGAGCUCCCACUCACUUUCUUGUAAAUACAAGAUUCUCCAACCACUUGUAUAAACCCAAAUGCUUUGAUCACCUCAUCAAAGCGUUUGUUCCAAAUCCGAGAUGCUUGCACCAGUCCGUAAAUAGGAUCGCUGGAGCUUGCACACUUUGUUAGCAUUCUUAGGAUCGACAAAACCUUCGGGUUGCAUCAUAUACAACUCUUCCUUAAGGAAACCGUUAAGGAACGCCGUUUUGACAUCCAUUUGCCAGAUUUCAUAAUCGAAAAAUGCAGCUAUUGCUAACAUGAUUCUGACGGACUUAAGCAUCGCUAGGGUGAGAAUGUCUCAUCGUAGUCAACUCCUUGAACAUGUGAAAAACCCUUUGCCACAAGUCGAGCUUUAUAAACGGUCACAUUGCCGUCAGCGUCUGUUUUCCUCUUAAAGAUCUAUUUGUUCUGAAUAGCCUUGCGGCCCUCAGGAAGUACCUCCAAAGUCCACACUUUGUUCUCAUACAUGGAUCCUAUCUCAGACUUCAUGGCUUCUAGCCAUUUGUUGGAAUCUGGGCCCACCAUUGCUUCUUCAUAAUUUGCAGGUUCAUUGUUGUCUAACAACAUGAUUGAUAAGACGGGAUUACCGUACCACUCUGGAGCAGCACGUGAUCUCGUCGACCUGCGUGGUUCAACAAAAACUUGAACUGGAGUUUCAUGAUCAUCGUCAUUAACUUCCUCCUCAACCGGCGUCGCAACGACAGAGGUUUCCCCUUGCCCUGCGCCACCAUCCAGAGGGAUGAGAGGUUCGACAACCUCGUCAAGUUCUAUCUUCCUCCCACUCAAUUCUCUCGAGAGAAACUCCUUCUCGAGAAAAGCUCUGUUUUUAGCAACAAACACUUUGCCCUCGGAUUUGAGAUAGAAGGUGUACCCAACUGUCUCUUUUGGGUAACCUAUGAAGACGCACUUUUCCGCUUUGGGUUCCAGCUUUUCAGGCUGAAGCUUUUUGACAUAAGCAUCACAUCCUCAAACUUUAAGAAACGACAACUUUGGCCUUUUGCCAUACCACAGUUCGUAUGGUGUCGUCUCAACGGAUUUUGAUGGUGCCCUAUUUAAAGUGAAUGCAGCUGUUUCUAAUGCAUAACCCCAAAAUGAUAACGACAAAUCAGUAAGAGACAUCAUAGAUCGCACCAUCUCUAAUAAAGUAUGAUUACGACGUUCGGACACACCAUUACGCUGUGGUGUUCCAGGCGGUGUUAACUAUGAAACAAUUCCACAUUUUCUUAAGUGAUCACCAAACUCGAAACUCAGAUAUUCACCCCCACGAUCAGACCGUAGGAACUUGAUCUUCUUGUUACGAUGAUUUUCAACUUCACUCUGAAAUUGCUUGAACUUUUCAAAUGUUUCAGACUUGUGCUUCAUCAAGUAGACAUAACCAUAUCUACUCAAAUCGUCAGUGAAGGUGAGAAAAUAACGAUAUCCGCCGCGUGCCUCCACGCUCAUCGGACCACACACAUCGGUAUGUAUGAUUUCCAACAAGUCACUUGCAUGCUCCAUUGUUCCGGAGAACGGAGUCUUAGUCAUCUUGCCCAUGAGGCAUGGUUUGCACGUGUCAAGUGAAUCAAAGUCAAGUGACUCCAAAAGUCCAUCGGCAUGGAGUUUCUUCAUGCGCUUUACACCAAUAUGACCUAAGCGGCAGUGCCACAAAAAUGUGGCGCUAUCAUUGUUAACUCUAACUCUUUUGGUCUCAAUGUUAUGUAUGUGUGUAUCGCUAUCAAGAUUCAAUAUGAACAAUCAUCUCACAUUGGGUGCAUGACCAUAAAAGAUGUUACUCAUAGAAAUAGAACAACCAUUAUUCUGUGACUUAAAAGAGUAACCGUCUCGCAAUAAACAAGAUCCAGAUAUAAUGUUCAUGCUCAACACAGGCACUAAAUAACAAUGAUUCAAGUUCAUAACUAAUCCUGAUGGUAACUGAAGUGAAACUGUGCCGACGGCGAUUGCAUCAACCUUGGAACCAUUUCCUACGCGCAUCGUCACUUCAUCUUUCGCCAGCCUUCGUCUAUUCCGCAGUUCCUGUUUCGAGUUGCAAAUAUGAGCAACAGAACCGGUAUCGAAUACCAAUGCACUACUACGAGAGCCGGUUAAGUACACAUCAAUAACAUGUAUAUCAAAUAUACCUGAUUUUUCUUUGCCCGCCUUCUUAUCUGCCAGAUACUUGGGGCAAUUGCGCUUCCAGUGACCCAUACCCUUGCAAUAGUAACACUCCGUUUCAGGCUUAGGUCCAGCUUUGGGUUUCUUCGUCGGAUUGGCAACAGGCUUGCCGCUCUUCUUUGAAUUACCCUUCUUGCCUUUGCCGUUUCUCUUGAAACUAGUGGUCUUAUUCAUCAUCAACACUUGAUGCUCUUUACGGAGUUCAGACUCUGCGACUUUCAGCAUCGCAAACAACUCGCCAGGAGACUUGUUCAUCCCUUGCAUGUUGUAGUUCAACACAAAGCCUUUAUAGCUUGGCGGCAGUGAUUGAAGGAUUCUAUCAGUGAUAGCCUCUUGCGGGAGUUCAAUCCCCAGCUCAGCUAGACGGUUUGAGUACCCAGACAUUUUGAGCACAUGUUCACUGACAGACGAGUUCUCCUCCAUCUUGCAAGCAUAGAAUUUAUCGGAGGUCUCAUACCUCUCGAUCCGGGCGUUCUUCUGAAAGAUAAACUUCAACUCCUGGAACAUCUCAAAUGCUCUAUGACGCUCAAAGCGACGUUGAAGUCCCGGUUCUAAGCCAUACAAGACUGCACAUUGAACUACUGAGUAGUCCUGCUUACGUGAUAACCAAGUGUUCUUAACAUCCUGAUCAGCCGUAGCGGGUGGUUCAUCUCCUAGCGCAGCAUUAAGAACAUAAUCCUUCUUCCCAGCUUGUAAGAUUAGCUUAAGAUUACGAGCCCAGUCUACAAAGUUGCUUCCAUCAUCUUUCAACUUAGCUUUCUCUAGGAACGUAUUAAAAUUCAGGGUGACUAUCACGUGAGCCAUGAUCUACAACACAAAUAUAUUCAAAGUGGACUUAGACUAUGUUCAAGAUAAUUAGAGUUUAACUUAAUCAAAUUAUUCGCUAAACUCCCACUCAAAAAGUACAUCUCUCUAGUCAUUUGAGUGGUUCAUGAUCCACUUACACUAGCUCAAGUCCGAUCAUCACGUGAGUUGAGCAUAGUUUUAGUGGUAAGCAUCCCUAUGCUAAUCAUAUCAUCUAUAUGAUUCAUGAUCGACCUUUCGGUCUCAUGUGUUCCGAGGCCAUGUCUGCACAUGCUAGGCUCGUCAAGCUUAACCCGAGUGUUCCGCGUGCGCAACUGUUUUGCACCCGUUGUAUGUGAACGUUGAGUCUAUCACACCCGAUCAUCACGUGGUGUCUCGAAACGACGAACUGUAGCAACGGUGCACAGUCGGGGAGAACACAAUUUCGUCUUGAAAUUUUAGUGAGAGAUCACCUCAUAAUGCUACCGUCGUUCUAAGCAAAAUAAGGUGCAUAAAAGGAUUAACAUCGCAUGCAAUUCAUAAGUGACAUGAUAUGGCCAUCAUCACGUGCUCCUUGAUCUCCAUCACCAAAGCACCGGCACGAUCUUCUUGUCACCGGCGCCACACCAUGAUCUCCAUCAAUGUGUCGCCAUCGGGGUUGUCGUGCUACUCAUGCUAUUACUACUAAAGCUACAUCCUAGCAAAAUAGUAAACGCAUCUGCAAGCACAAACGUUAGUAUAAAGACAACCCUAUGGCUCCUGCCGGUUGCCGUACCAGACGUGCAAGUCGAUAUUAUCUAUUACAACAUGAUCAUCUCAUACAUCCAAUAUAUCACAUCACAUCGUUGGCCAUAUCACAUCACAAGCAUACCCUGCAAAAACAAGUUAGACGUCCUCUAAUUUUGUUGUUGCAUGUUUUACGUGGUGACCAUGGGUAUCUAGUAGGAUCGCAUCUUACUUACGCAAACACCACAACGGAGAUAUAUGAGUUGCUAUUUAACCUCAUCCAAGGACCUCCUCUGUCAAAUCCGAUUCAACUAAAGUUGGAGAAACCGACACUUGCCAGUCAUCUUUGAGCAACGGGGUUACUCGUAGCGAUGAAACCAGUCUCUCGUAAGCGUACGAGUAAUGCCGGUCCAAGCCGCUUCAAUCCAACAAUACCGCGGAAUCAAGAAAAGACUAAGGAGGGCAGCAAAAUGCACAUCACCGCCCACAAAAACUUUUGUGUUCUACUCGAGAAGACAUCUACGCAUGAACCUAGCUCUGAUACCACUGUUGGGGAACGUCGCAUGGGAAACAAAAAUUUUCCUACGCGCACGAAGACCUAUCAUGGUGAUGUCCAUCUACGAGAGGGGAUGAGUGAUCUACGUACCCUUGUAGACCGUACAGCAGAAGCGUUAGUGAACACGGUUGAUGUAGUGGAACGUCCUCACGUCCCUCGAUCCGCCCCGCGAACAAUCCCGCGAUCAGUCCCACAAUCUAGUACCGAACGGACGGCACCUCCGCGUUCAACACACGUACAGCUCGACGAUGAUCUCGGCCUUCUUGAUCCAGCAAGAGAGACGGAGAGGUGGAAGAGUUAUCCGGCAGCGUGACGGCGCUCCGGAGGUUGGUGAUGACCUUGUCUCAGCAGGGCUCCGCCCGAGCUCCGCAGAAACACGAUCUAGAGGAAAACCCGUGGAGGUAUGUGGUCGGGCUGCCGUGGAAAAGUCGUCUCAAAUCAGCCCUAAAACCUCCGUAUAUAUAGGUGGGAGAGGGGAGGGGGGGCUUGCCUUGGGGCUCAAGGAGCCCCAAGGGGGUCGGCCGAGCCAAGGGGGGAAGGUCUCCCCACCCCAAACCGAGUUGGACUUGGUUUGGUGGGUGGGAGUCCUUCCUUCCCUUCCCACCUCCUUCUUUUUUUUCUUUCUCUUUGAUUUUUCUUCCAAUGCGCAUAGGGCCCUUUUGGGCUGUCCCACCAGCCCACUAAGGGCUGGUGCACCACCCUCAAGGCCUAUGGGCUUCCCCGGGGUGGGUUCGCCCCCCCCGGUGAACUCCCGGAACCCAUUCGUCAUUCCCGGUACAUUCCCGGUAACUCCGAAAACUUUUCAGUAAUCAAAUGAGGUCAUCCUAUAUAUCAAUCUUCGUUUCCGGACCAUUCCGGAAACCCUCAUGAUGUCCGUGAUCUCAUCUGGGACUCCGAACAACAUUCGGUAACCAACCAUAUAACUCAAAUACGCAUAAAACAACGUCGAACCUUAAGUGUGCAGACCCUGCGGGUUCGAGAACUAUGUAGACAUGACCCGAGAGACUCCUCGGUCAAUAUCCAAUAGCGGGACCUGGAUGCCCAUAUUGGAUCCUACAUAUUCUACGAAGAUCUUAUCGUUUGAACCUCAGUGUCAAGGAUUCAUAUAAUCUCGUAUGUCAUUCCCUUUGUCCUUCGGUAUGUUACUUGCCCGAGAUUCGAUCGUCAGUAUCCGCAUACCUAUUUCAAUCUCGUUUACCGGCAAGUCUCUUUACUCGUUCCGUAAUACAAGAUCCCGCAACUUACACUAAGUCACAUUGCUUGCAAGGCUUAUGUGUGAUGUUGUAUUACCGAGUGGGCCCCGAGAUACCUGUUCGUCACACGGAGUGACAAAUCCCAGUCUUGAUCCAUACUAACUCAACGAACACCUUCGGAGAUACCUGUAGAGCAUCUUUAUAGUCACCCAGUUACGUUGCGACGUUUGAUACACACAAAGUAUUCCUCCGGUGUUAGUGAGUUAUAUGAUCUCAUGGUCAUAGGAACAAAUACUUGACACGCAGAAAACAGUAGCAACAAAAUGACACGAUCAACAUGCCACGUCUAUUAGUUUGGGUCUAGUCCAUCACGUGAUUCUCCUAAUGACGUGAUCCAGUUAUCAAGCAACAACACCUUGUUCAUAAUCAGAAGACACUGACUAUCUUUGAUCAACUGGCUAGCCAACUAGAGGCUUGCUAGGGACAGUGUUUUGUCUAUGUAUCCACACAUGUAAAUGAGUCUUCAUUCAAUACAAUUAUAGCAUGGAUAAUAAACGAUUAUCUUGAUACAGNNNNNNNNNNNNNNNNNNNNNNNNNNNNNNNNNNNNNNNNNNNNNNNNNNNNNNNNNNNNNNNNNNNNNNNNNNNNNNNNNNNNNNNNNNNNNNNNNNNNGAACCCCAACCCUACNCCSACCACCACCACACCACACCACACGCACGCGUCGGCGCCGCGCCCCCCCCCACCCCCCCCACCACACACACACAUCAUAAAGCUCCUCCCGGUCUCUCUCCGCCCAUCCACCCCGCCCCCAAAACAAUCGCGCCCGUGAGUCGUGGCUGCUGCUACCAAUCUGCCCAGCAGAGCCGGCUCUCGACACGCUCGCUCGCGCCGCGUUCGUUGCAUGCGCCGGGCCGCCGCCGCCACCAGCAGGGUCAGGAUCCACAUGGCGGCGGAGGAGGUCAGGCAGGCGUCCGCGGCCGCCACGGCGGCCGAGGCGGUGCCGGCCCCCGCGGGCUCCCGCUGGGCGCGGGCCUGGCCGGCCGCGCUGCGCUGGAUCCCCACCUCCACCGACCGCAUCAUCGCCGCCGAGAAGCGCCUCCUCUCCGUCCUCAAGUCAGUGCCCCCAUAUCCCCUACCCCUGUUCCUCUCCUCGGACCACGAUUACUUGUUUUCGUCCACGAUUACCACUUGUACCAUCUGCACGAUUAGUUGUUCCGCCUCUUCACUCCGCCAUCCCACGAUCCGUAACAGCUGAUUGACCUCCUCAUAGGGCCCAAUUUUGGGGUUGCUGGACGACUUGUAGGGCUGUAAUCCGCUCAUCCCCCCACCACGGUUCACUGGUUUCCGAGCGUCGGGCGAGGGCGAGUGCCAAAGCUGUCUGCUUGUGCUCAAAACCAUCCAGCCGGAUACUGAUUCUGCAGCCAAUUCUGAUGUUGAAGUUGCUACCUUCAUUGAUAGGACUAUAUCAGAGCAGUGUGUCACUUUGGGAUCACUAAAGCCUGGAUUUAUUUAUACGCACUACUUAAUUUGAACUGUUCGAUUGUUGUGCAUAUAUAACACUCAGUUUCGUUUAAGCAUGGAACCGGCGGCUGUUCUGUCUGCUUGUCAGUAUUGUCUAUUUGGUCUCAUGAAGCCCAUACAACAAUAUAUAGCAUAUGUUGUAGUCUUUGAUGAUAAUGUUGUUAAUACUUGAAAGCAUUGACGGGACUCCUUGACCAUUAGUUGGAUAUUGUCCAUUUGGUCUUUCUAUUAUACUGUUGAAAAGAUAUACUCAUGAACUGCAUGGUGAAACUUUGUUUGUUGUUGAUCUGGUACUUCAUUCCAAUGCAUGAUAGCUUGGUCAACACAUUGCUCUGUUUCGAUUUGUGCAAUAAGGAUUUAAAAAAAAAAUACAUUCUGUACCUGAACUCGCUAACGCCCUGAAGGGAUAAUGUUACGAGUUCGUUCCAAGACAUAAUAUUGUAUUACAGUACUACUGACAUGGGACUUCACAUCCCCGUUUUUUCGCCUACUUGGCCUUUAGUAGAUAUUCCAUGUCUUCCUUUGUUUUAUUGUAGAUAGAAGAGUUACUAUUUCAUUAUGCUGAUACAUGAUGUAACUUUUUUUAUCUUCACAGAACUGGGUAUGUCCAAGAACAAGUUAACAUUGGCUCGGCUCCACCUGGGUCAAAAGUAAAAUGGUUUAGAUCAUCAAGUGAUGAGCCAAGAUUCAUCAAUACAGUGACAUUUGAUAGCAAGGAGAAUGCCCCCACCCUUGUCAUGGUCCAUGGUUAUGGUGCUUCACAGGGGUUCUUCUUUCGAAACUUUGAUGCCCUUGCAAGCCGCUUCAGGGUGAUUGCCAUUGAUCAACUUGGGUAAGCUCUAAGAAAAUCAAUACACUAUUGUGACUAAUAUUCCUCAAUGUGGUGAUUGAAGUAAUUAUAUUUCCAUUCCUUUGCUCACUUUUUCCCAACUGUUACAAUUAUCCUUGAUACCUGUAGAAAAGAGACAUUGGUCUAAAGAGUUUUGUGCAUUGUAAUAUUUGCACACAAUGUGUCUUCAUACCCACAGCAUACUAGGAUAUGAUUCCUGACUUGUUCACAUGCCACAAAUCUAAUUUUGAUUGUUUACAAUUAUCGGUGUUAAUGAUGCUUGUUCUUGUAAUUGACAUAAAGAAAGAAAAAUAUUAGUGUAGAUUCAUUGAUCUUAGAGUUCAAGAUUUAUGUUAGAAAUUGAAUCUUAUCAGUGUGAGUUAAGAGGAGUCAAUCGUGUCCUUUUACCUCUAGGUAAGGAAAAUUAAUAUGAUGAUACAUAAAUGUUUGCCUACUAUUAGGAUAUGUGUCAUGGAUGAUAAAAAAUGUUUUAUACUGUUCUUGUAAUUACUCCACAUUGUUUGAUGUUGCAUAUUGUUGAAUUUUUCCUACCCUUUUGCAGUUGGGGUGGAUCAAGCAGACCUGACUUCGACUGUAGAAGUACUGAAGGUUAGAUACAGAUACUUUAUUUUAGUAUGCUACUGGUUCCCCUCGACUGCCACUAUCAUUUCUGUUGUUGACCAUGCCUUGGCAUCAAAUUUUAUGGUGAACAUCCUGUUUUAUUUUGAUUUUUGACGAUCCUGCAAGCAAUUGCUACUAUGGGAAACCCAUGUAGAUUUGUUCCAUCAUAUUGCUUUGUGAUGUAGUUUCUGCUAUAUGCUUUUUUUUUAAACAACGAGUAACAUGCUUCCUUUCGUUUUUUAUUUUGGUCAACUUUGUGAACAGAAACCGAGGCUUGGUUCAUAGAUUCUUUUGAGGAAUGGCGCAAAGCAAAGAACCUCAGUAAUUUUAUAUUGCUCGGUCAUUCUUUCGGAGGAUAUGUUGCGGCAAAGUAUGCGUUACAGGUAUAUUUAUAAUUAAUUUAGCAAGUGAAGCUACUCAACUGCUGCCUAUGAUAAUUAUACUAAAAUGUAUGCUUUAUUUCAGCAUCCUGAACAUGUUCAGCACUUGAUUUUGGUUGGUUCUGCUGGCUUUUCAUCAGAAACAGAUCAUAGUUCUGAGAGGUUAACCAAGUUCCGUGCAACGUGGAAAGGCAUGCUAGUAAACCAUCUUUGGGAGUCCAAUUUUACUCCUCAAAGAAUUGUGAGGUAAGGCUAGGGCUUCUUCUAUUUGUAUUUUCAUUUUUUUACCUAAUAAUGCAAAUGAAGACAAGAUGAAAAUGUAAGCCUCUCCACUUCAUAAUUAGCAAUCAUCCAUGUCUAGUUAAAUUUGGUUAGUGCACGUACCUUAACAAAACAGAGCAAUCCAUCACCCAUUUUAACUGGAAGUAUUAUGUAGCCAGCUGUGACCACCAUAUCAGACCAAACCUGCCAGCAUGAUUUUGUUAGGAAAACAGCAACGCAUAUUGAACGGAAGCUCCAAAAAUAAGCUGCAAUAUUAUUUGCUGUCAAAUAGAGAAGUGCCAAUUAUUAUCUGAAGUAACACGAAUUAACAAAAAUCGCAAUCAAAUUCAUUCUGCUGUCUUAGAAGUCCAUGAAGGCAUCAUAUAUACUCUGAACUGGCAGUCACAGCUGGGGCAUAUAACAACCUUGUCAUGCUUCAGUCAGUUAAAAUGGAUGGAAGGGCUGGAUUGCUCCUUCUAUCGAAGUAAAUGAGUACUACUCCCUCCGUUCCUAAAUAUAGGUCUUUUUAGAGAUUUCACUAGGGACUACAUACGGAGCAAAAGGAAUGAAUCUACGCUCUAAAGUAUGUCUAUAUACAUCCGUAUGUAGUCCGCUAGUAAAACCUCUAAAAAGACCUAUAUUUAGGAACAGAGGGAGUAUGUUCAAAUUGAAGUAGAGAUAGCUCAACAACGCAAAAAUAAUUUGAAGUGGAGAUAGCUGCAACAAUUCGAAAACUAUCGGAUUUCUUUAUAAGCUACCUCUUUGGUACCUUUUGUACUGAUGUCCGUUUGUUUUACUUAAACAGAGGAUUGGGUCCUUGGGGUCCUGAUUUAGUUCGGAAAUAUACCACUGCUAGGUUUGGCUCACAUUCAACAGGUGAAUUACUAACAGAACAUGAGUCCUCCUUACUGACAGGUAAACAUUUGUUGUUACAUUAAUUCUGUAAGUGCAUUUUCUUAGAUGAUGCUUGUAAUUGAACCUUAUUGUUGCUUUCUUGUAUAUGAAGAUUACAUUUACCACACUUUAGCUGCUAAAGCUAGUGGAGAGUUGUGCUUAAAACAUAUUUUCUCAUUGGGGGCAUUUGCAAGGAAACCACUUCUGCACAGGUUAGCUCCUCUUCCUAUGCACUUAGUUUCUUGGAACUGCCCCCCUGGUGAUAACAGCAUGUUCAAUUAUUAUGUUUCUCAGUAAUCAUUAAGAAUUUAAGAUAAGAGCCCCUCCUAUAAUACUACCUCUGUAACUUAAUAUAAGACGUUUUUUGACACUACGACGGUGUACAAAAACGUCUUAUAUUUUGAUACGUUGGGAAUAUUAUUUAGAACUGUAUUUAAUAAAAGUGAAAAAGGGUUGUGUGUGCGCCCAAGUAGCUGUGGAAAAUCUGCUUUCGUUGAUUGUGGCUUUUGAAUCUUUAGCGGACAGGAUGGAAUUUGUUUCACAUGUUCUUCCCUAGCAUACUUGUUAAUUUCUUCUCUCUUUAUAGCAUUAGUCAAGUAGAUAAGAUAACUAUGGCUGCCAAUAACCACUUAUUCGUUACCAUGAAUAGAUUUGAAUUCCAGAAUGGCUUAUCUAGCGAAAAGUUUGAAAAUCCGACUCUGUAACAAACUAGCUAUACUACCAAUUUUCGUCAGUAUAUUUGAUAUAUAAAACAUGAUAAGUUAAUGAUCUUGUAGAUGCAGUAAUGUAUUGACCAAAAGUACCAGAGUGAACUAUAUGCAGCGUAAAUAUAUUUGUGAUGUUUUCUCACUGGCCUAUGACUUGCGACAGUGCAUCCGACUGGAAAGUGCCAACUACUUUCAUAUAUGGCCACGAUGAUUGGAUGAAUUACCAAGGGGCGCAGCAAGCACGCAAGGACAUGAAAGUUCCUUGCGAAAUCAUCAGAGUCCCACAGGUCAGUUUUCCAUUCUGGCAGUAUGUGCCCAGCCAGCCAAAAGAUUAGUAUUGACGACAUAUACCUUAACUGCUAUGCAGGGAGGACAUUUUGUGUUUAUAGAUAACCCUGAGGGGUUCCACUCGGCGAUCUUCUACGCGUGCCGGAAAUUUUUAUCUGGAGAUGCAGAGGAAGGUCUCUCUCUUCCUGAUGGCUUGAUAUCUGCAUGAGGCGUCAUCUUGUGUGAUCUCGUACCGAAUAGCGGUGUCAGCAUAAAGCAAAGCUAUACAACAAUAGAAAUGUUUUUGUAUGUAUGAAUUGUGUGAAUAUGUCAUUCAUAUGUGCUUGCGUACCAACAACACUAGUGAGACUAUUAUUGUUUUUUUUUUUGUCAGGUCUAGACAUAAUUAUGUCAUAUAUGUAAGAUCUUCCUAGUCAGUUUUUAGGUCAAGUUGCUGUAAGUGAUGCUCUAUAUUCUUUCAGGGCAACUUUAUGUUUGCCUGCUACGAAACAUCUUCACAGUAUUAACUGCCGCUGUACAUUUGCUGCAGUCAUUGCUGCGUCGUAGCCAUUUUUAGAAAGUAUUUUGGAACAGUGGAAGUGCAUUUUGGUGUCUUACGAUGCUAUUAUCCUACCAGACUAUUUUGGUACUAGUACGUCUACGAGUAUUCUACAAUUAGUCAUGAGGCUGACAAUGGCAACGUCCGCGGGGGCUGUUCCUGUCCCUGAAGGAGUUUUUUUUGGCCCCGAUCGGACUUCCUUCCUCGAGCUCGGGGGAAUCCCUUGGUCCGGUCUCCGGACCAGGAGGCGGUGGCGGCAUGGUGUCACUAUCUUUUUGAAGGGGUCGUCUUGUUGUUCGAAGAGUCUCGAUGGUGCGGCUCGAGUCAAUGUUACCGGACUUCUUGGGCGUAAUGUAUGCCAUCUCCGGCGCCAUCUCAAAGACACCUUUCCUAGGUUUGGCCGUACCGUUCACUUGUUGAUUUUCUCUUGGCACAAUUGGUGAUAGUACGUUGGAAUGUGUUGAUGUUGAGGUGAUAGUACGUUGGAAUGUGUUGACGUUGAGUCUUGGUUUUGUUGUAGAGGUCUCGGUAUUGGUUGUGAUGUGACUUGGUUGCUUUUUGGCUUGAGUCAUUGUCAUUGACAUAAGGUUGGACUAGGGAAACAUAUAUCCUAGUAGACAAGGUGGAUAUGAGUGAUGAGUGUGGCGGCUAAUUCUCGUGAUUAACGUUGUAAUGGUCGAAAGGCUUUGUAUUCGGUUUCUUUUUUUAAUGUGAAAGGUGCUUCUUUAUACUUCUUUUAAUGCGAUGAUACGCAUAUUUACGUGUAUUCUAUAAAAAAAUCAUGGCAAAAAUAUUUGUGUUUACUAAGCUCAACAGCUUGCUGAUUCCUACUCUCUCAAAUAUAAAUCGCUUUAGAUAUUUUAAUAUGAACUAUAGUACGGAUAUGUAUAUAGAUGUAUUUUGAAACAUAAAUUCAUCUAUUUUACUUCCUACAUAUUUCCUCCGUUUUUAAAUAUUUGUCUUUUCAGAGAUUUAACUACAGACUACAUCGGAGCAAAAUGAUGAAUUUACAUUUUAAACUAUGUCUAUAUACAUUCAUAUGUAAUCGAUAGUGAAAUUUCUAGAAAGACAAAUAUUUAAAAACGGAGGGAGUAGUUUACGCACACACUAUCUUUAAAAUGAUUUAUAUUUAAAAACGAGGGGAGUAGUUCUCUUGGACAUUAUGCCUAACUUCCAACUCCAAACAAAGAAAAAGCUCGCCCUUUCAUUUCAGCAAAGAGGGAGCGAGCGUGCCGCUCUUUCGCGGUUUCGCCUACCCCAUUUGAUGAGCCUAAACCCACAGGCGGGGCGCGCCGCAGCUCGCGUGGCAGAGCAUGGAGCGCCCUCCGCCAUCGCCGGCCUGGCCGCCGCCACCUCCAGGAUCGCCUCCCACGGCCGCGCCGGCGACGCCGCCGCGGCGCGCGCCGUGUUCGACGCGAUGCCCCGCCGCGACGCCGUCGCCUGGAACGCCAUGCUCACCGCCUACGCCCGCGCCGGGCAGCCGCGCGCGGCCNNNNNNNNNNNNNNNNNNNNNNNNNNNNNNNNNNNNNNNNNNNNNNNNNNNNNNNNNNNNNNNNNNNNNNNNNNNNNNNNNNNNNNNNNNNNNNNNNNNNCGAACCCUCCAAAGACUUUUGGUUACAACCCGUGUCCGAACCAAGUUUUUGUCUAACCUUUAUUAAUUUAAUUAGGGACUUUAAACGUUACUGCAGAUUAGUGUGGACCCCGACUUUUUGUACAAAUUAAACUAAGAAUUGAGGAAGRCUAUGGUGAAGUCGCGACAUGCAAUUGACCAAUAAAAAGACCCCUUCCACGGUCCUCCUCUAUUUUCUUCUCUAGUCACAUGCAUGACCACCCUCCUCCUCUCAACCGAACACAACAACACAAUAUCCCACUACAUGCAUAGUCCUCUUCUACUCUCUCUCUCUCUCUCUCUCCUUUCAAUUGGAAUAAUUUGUAAAUAAAAUUGGACAUAAAAACAAACAUUUGCGGUGUCCGUUUAGGGGGUCAGUGUUGGAAAUGCCCUUAGUAAACGAAAAUGUAAUUCUAAGAUAUUUACUGUGAGAAAGGGGUGUUGGGAAUUAUUUGAAAUGCGAUACUCAUAUGACCAUAUGGGAUGCGGCGGGAAAAAAGAAAGAAAGGAGGAUAUUAUUUGGUUGGCUCCGUCGAGAGGAGAGAAGCGUGGGGAAAACAAACUGCAUAUAUACGGCCGGCGGGGUGGGUGGUGAAAACUAGGAGCGAGGAGAGAUCAGUUGGAUGGCGACUGGGAUAUGCGCCAUGUAGUAUACGGCCCGUGUCGUGUCAAUCAACACAUGUGUCGUUUGUUUGGCUUGUCCGUUUGUCAUUUCCUCCUUCGUAGGCACCACGACGAGCCCUGCGCCUAAACGGCAACCGCAAGUCUCAUAUGUGUUCGUCAGCUAGCCAGCUAGCUAUCCUCAAAGAAAAGGGAAAAAAGAAAAGUAGCUAGCUAGCUAUCCUCUUAGAAAAGGGAAAAAAGAAAAGUAGCUAGCUAGCUAGCGCCAUUGGUCGAUGGACGGGGAGGUUUGCGUUCCGUGUCCAUCACGGCCAUCUCCUGCCGAGCCACCGAGACCUUUCCAACCUUGGGAAGAACAUGGAGCGGAUCACUUCUAGAAUCUCUCGACAGUGGACGUUUGGUUUCUGGACUGAUGAAGCACCUGGACUCGGACGAUUGAGAUGUCAUCGCGGACACCAUGCUAUGUGGAGCAGCGUGCUGGUCACAGUCGAAAGUAUCGUAUAUUGAUACUACGUCCAUAAUGCAUAGAAUUAUGGUUUGAUAUCAUACUUAAUUUUAUUUAUUUAAUUAUAUGUUACCUUAAUAAAAUAUCUAAUUCACAUGUAUGAUACUAGCUAUUAUAUUACGGACGUGGAUUUUUUUUUGCUCUGGGGAGCAUAUGAUGCUCCCUAAUGAACAGUAAAAACCAAAAAAAAAAAGUAAAUAAGUUUUAAAAAUUCUGAAUUUUUUUUAUAGAUGUUCACAUUAGUGUGGCAAGUGUGCUUGCUAAUUUUCAUGACAUAUGGGAUAGCGGUGCUUCGUUGGUGAAAAAAUUAAAAUUAAACUAAACAUUUGAAGAUAACAUUUGACGUUGGACUUGUUCAUUUUGUGCAGACCAAAAUACUUAAGUUUUUGACCUGUAAAUUGCAUAUACCAUUUGAGUGUGACAAUGAACACAUCUGUUUUUUUCAAAAAAUUUGAUAUUUGUAAAAUACAUUUUUAACACGCAGAAGCAUAUGCUUCCUAGAAUCAAAUUGAAUAUCCAUUAUACUACCAGCCUAAGAGGCGACACAUCCGACAAACAAGUGUCAUUAAUAGGCACAUGCUCAGGUGGACAUGUUAUCAUAAAAUAAAUGAUCAAGUUAGAAACAAAGGAAUAUAAUACUCCUUCUUUCAAAAUAAAUGACUCGAUUUUAUAUUAAUUUUAUAAGGUUAGUAUAAAAUUAAAUCAUUUGUUUUGAAACAAAGGAAGGACAGGUCAAGGAGGAGGUGGCACAGACUAAAGAAAAGCUUAUCCUAUACCGACUAGAUGUGACUUGGACAUAUCCACCACAGGCAUGCAAAAGCGUCAAUGAAAAUACUCUAGGAAGGGUAGGGGCAACUAAAAUUAGAGCAUCUCUAGCACACCCUGUGUAAUGCCUCGUCCCGUAAAAUAACCGCCAAAAUAAGGAUCGAAAAUAUUACCACAUCAGAUCCCGCAAUGUGUCCGAGCCGUAAAAAACUUUGCGGGGCGCGAUAAAAGUUUGCCCUCAACCUUCAGAUUCACGGGGUGGGAGGCCGACCCGAGCUCGCCCCCUAUCCGCAACGAGAUUUAACGCGAGGGAAAUUUCCGCGCGGUUGUUCCCUGCUCCCCCCUCCUCGACUGCCAUUGCCACGCUACCGCGCGCUCCGGACCAUCUUCCCCACCAUUCCAUGCCGCCAUGGAAGCCUCUCAGCCGGCGGAUCUCGUCAACAUGGAGGUUACGCAUGCACAAUCCCAUCGGCGGAUCUCGUCAACAUGGAUUAAUACUUCCAACUCAUGGUCAAGUAUCCCAAUAAGACAGUACGAACCUUUCAGUCACUCCAAGGUCGUUGGGACGUGAUCAAGCCGACUUGUAGCCAUUGGGCAGCUUGCUUGGAACAAGUUCGCAAUGCUCCUCCAAGUGGAACCGUGGAAUCCGACUAUGUUAGUUUGUUUUCACGUCCCAAGUUCUACACACCAUUUGCAUCAUGUGAAAUGGUUCCAUCAUUUGACUUUGUUUUAAUUGUGUAGGAAAAAAUUGCCCAACACCGGUACAAAGACAUGGAAGCUUCAUAAGGCAAAAAAAUUAAACUAGAGCAUUGUUGGGAAAUGAUCAAAGACUGCGACAAGUGAAAGUUGAUUGACAAAGAAUCCCCACCGAAGAGAGGUUCACUUACGAACAUGGAUGAAGAUGAAGAUGAUGAUGACCCAAGAAACUUGAACAAGCCUGAUGGUGACAAGAAGACAAAGAAGAAGAUCAAAAGGGAACACGAAGCAUCGAGCUUGCGGGAUAGGAUAUAUGCCAUGGUAAAAUCAAAUGAGGUGAUGCUAGCGAAGUCUCUGGAGGCAAAGAUAGAGUUGGCCGAGAAGAAGGCAUGAGAGAAACAAGAGAGGUGGAAAUUGCUAAAGGACAUUGAGGAGAGAAGAGCACGUGUUGCUGAGAACAAAACCAUGGCCAACCUUCUUGCCGAAGAGAACAGGAUCAUGACUUUGAACUGUAAUGACAUGGACGACAUCAGCAAAGAAUGGCAUGAUAUGACAAGGAGAGAAAUCUUGAAGAGGAGGAUGCUUGCGUGUUACAAUGGCGGCGAUGUUUUCUCAUUGGGAAUCGGAACCAAUAUUGUCGAUGAUUUCAAUGCCGGAGUUGGAACAAGUGUCAGCGAUGGAUACGGGGGAGUCGAUGGAUUCAGGGGCGACGAUGACCUCGAUGGUGCGGAGUGAAGAGCGACCAGGAUGCAUGAAGUCCUUUUGGGUUUGUAUUUUAAACUAUGCUUUCAUUUUGCACGCGAACUAUGUUAUAUUGUUUAAAAUCGAAUUCAUUUCUCGGAACCGCUCUCAAAUUCGCUUAUUGGGAGGCUUUUCGGUUUACGGGUCAACGUGGCGGCAUCCGAGCAGACCCCGUAUUGCCAACCCGUAAAAAACAUCUUCUGCAAAUAUAUUUUUUACGGAUCCGUUUUGCGGGAUCUGAUUCCAUUCGUGCCCGCACUGGCCCACAAAACCCUUUUUUCUCGAACUGUAAACGACUUUGCGGGUUAACUUUAUACGGGGUCUGCUAGAGAUGCUCUUAACAUGAGAAUAGACAAUGCUCUUAACAUGAGAAUAGACAGUAAAAGGAGACAUCAAGGAGAGUGCAAAGUUUUAAUGGACGGGGGCAUUAGAGGACUUUAUUUCAAAAGAUUCAAAAAUGAUAUUUCUAUAUUUUUUUUAAAUCCCAAAAUAAAUAUUUGAAAACUUAUACGUAUUUGCAGUGGAUCUAUGAAAUUUCGUUUACUAAAAAUUUUAUUUUUUAACUAAGUCUGCAACAAAAAUUAAAAAAUUAAKUAGGACCCAAAAACAAAACCAAAAAAAGAAUACCUAACUUUUACUUAAUUUAAUUAGUUUUACUUUAGKUUUUUAUURUUAUACGUCYAMKUAUAGUAAAGUAUAUUAGUUAUUGUUAAUUUUUUCUACAACUAGUGUUGUGNNNNNNNNNNNNNNNNNNNNNNNNNNNNNNNNNNNNNNNNNNNNNNNNNNNNNNNNNNNNNNNNNNNNNNNNNNNNNNNNNNNNNNNNNNNNNNNNNNNNACGUAACGGUUUACGGUAACCCUACGUCCCGACAACCCCCUACCGUCCGUUACCCUUUCCCUAACCCUAAGACCACCCGGACUACGAGACGACUUAGUCACUUGUCAGCACGAUAGUCGUCGAUGAGCGCUGCAUCGAAGACACCAACCAUACGUCCACUGCAUCAUCAUGAGCGCCCAUCGGAGCUCCGACAACGUUGCGCCGCAGCACAAACAACCACCGACAAAGCUGCAUCGAAGCACCCGUUUCUCCCUGUAGAGUCGCAACUGUUGCAACGCAACAGCCUCGCCGCAGCACCGACUACUCACGCGAGCGCUCUAUUGCAGCAUUGUGACCGUUGCACUGCAGCUUCGGCAACACCGACCAGCAUUGCAUGCCGCCGGUGAGUACUCCAUUGUAGCACGACGAGAGCUGCAACGCCUCAUCCUCAAGCGGACCGUUGCCACUUUGCAACUUCACGGGUGCUGCGACAUCUCCUUUUGCGGCAGCGCCACACCCUCGAGCGGCGAUACGACGAGCCCUUAUCAGCAGCGAUGGCUGCCCUGCAACUCACGACAACAGGGUGGUCAGCGUUGUGCGGCUCUCCUCUCCUACAACAAUGGCAGAUGAUCCCCGAUUUUCAAUUGUUAGGGCAGCAACACGUGUGGGAUAUCGGGACUGCGACUGCACGACGAUCCUGCACUCGAUUCCUCAACUCCGUCGACAGUCCUCCUGAUUUCCCUCCAGUGUCUCAUCUAACAGCUGACGAAUAAGAGAACAAUGAAAAGGGAAAGGGAGAAACGAGUGGAGGGGAAGAGAUAAGGUGGGACGAGAGUGAGCGGUGGAUGAAUCCAUGAGGGCACAUGGCGUACGGAGGCGACGGUUUAAGGGAGAGAGAAUCAGUUGGUUGUUUUUAAUUGUUUUCUUUUUUCUUUCAAAGAAGGCAUUUUUUCUAAAACUGUCAUCGUUUAAUCUCGCGCCGUAACCAAAACGGUCAUGAAAAUGCAUUCGCUUGCCAUCUACCUUCCACAGAGGAAACGUUCGUCAGUUAGUAUUUCCGUAAAACAUUCACUCGAUGAGAUUUCGGUUCUAAGAGCAACUCUAGCAGACCCCGCAUCCGCCCUCGACCCGCAAAAUAACCGCCAAAAUGCGGGUCGGGGUGGAAAAGCCUGCCCGAUCAGACCCCGCAUCCCGCCCCGGCUCGCAAAAAUUUUCAGGGGGCGCGGCAAAUUCCCGACCCCAACCUGGGAAAACGCGGGUUUCCCCCUCACGGCUGCGGUGCCCUGCAUAACAGAGAGGCAGUUGGCGGGAGGGACAUUUCAGCCCGCGCUAUUUUCCCCUCCCUUCCGCCGCCGCCGCCCCGCCCUUGCUUCCUCCCGCCUGCUGGUGGCGAUUCCGGCCAUAUCUGCAGGCGAGCCGCUGCACCGCCCCUCCGGAUCCGGCGAGAAGAGCCCCCUCUAGCCGUCGCCGCCCGGGAUCGACCACCGCCUCAUCGCCGCCGCCGGUUAGUACCUUUUUUGUGGUUCCUACUAUCCUCCCGCCAACUACCCGAGAAGAUGGAGUUGACCCCAUGUGAGAAGUUCCUGCUAUCCGAUUCGUCCGAUUCGGACGGCUCGGAUGUUGAGACCAUGCUUGCGACCUUUCGUCAGCAAACAUUAGUCAUGACGCUUGCCGUGAAGGAGAAUGAAGACGAGAACCAUAAGAAGAGGCGAGGAUCGACUGUCGAGCGUUUGUGCAUUCCUCGGAAUCGCCAUCUUGGGAACGAGAUGUUGAUGCAAGACUAUUUCGCGGAGAAUCCUACAUAUCCUCCACACCUCUUCCGGAGAAGGUACCGAAUGCGCUGAUCCCUCUUUGUGAAAAUUGUUCAAGCUUGCGAGGAAAAUUGCCGGUAUUUUACUCAAAGAAGGAAUGUCGCAGGCUUAAAGGGAUUUAGUGCAUAUCAAAAAAUCUCCGCAGCUAUGCGGGUGAUUGCAUAUGGCGUUCCGGUUAACUAUGCCGAUGUGUACAUUCGCAUUGGUGAAGAUACCACAAUUGAGUAUGUGCGUAGAUUUGCAAAAGUUGAUCAUCCGUCUCUUCGGUCCUGAGUAUCUUCGGGCAUCCAAUGAAGAUGACACAAAGAAAUUGAUGGCAUCUAAUGAGAGGAGAGGUUGGCCUGGAAUGCUAGAUAGCAUUGAUUGUAUGCAUUGGAAUUUGAAAAAUUGCCCCAAGGCUUGGCAAGGAAUAUAUUGUGACAAGUCUCGUGAUGCAAUAAUUGUGCUAGAGGCCGUAGCAUCCGAGGAUUUAUGGAUUUGACAUUGCUUUUUUGGUAUGCCGGGCACUCUCAAUGAUAUCAAUGUGUUGUAACGGUCGCAUUUGUUUGCUAGGCUUGCUAGUGAUGAUGCUCCUGCUUGCAACUACGCUAUUAAUGGACAUGAAUACACAAAGGGGUACUAUCUUGCAGAUGGUAUAUACCCUCCUUGGUGCACAUUUGUCAAGAGCAUCAAAGAACCCAAAACAAAAAAAAUAAUAUGAAUUUGCAAAGGUGCAAGAGGCAGCCCGCAAAGACAUUGAAAGAGCAUUCGGUGUUUUGCAAUCUAGGUUUGCCAUUGUGCAUGGUCCUGCUCGUUUUUGGGAUAAGAGAACCUUGAAGAACAUCAUGACACGCUGUGUUAUCCCGCACAAUAUGAUUCUUGAAGAUGAGAGAGGAUUGAACUUAGAAUUCUUUUACGACAAUGUGGGUAGCCGUGUCAAACCAGCUAGAGACCCAAACCGCAUUAGAGCUUUUCUUCAGACAUACAAGGAGAUUGAAAACCCAGACACCCACUUUCAACUUCAGAAGUAUCUCAUUGAACACUAUUGGCAAAGGGCUAGACAACGACUUAUUUUUGUAUUCAUUUGUAUUUGUAUUCAUGACAAGUUUUGAAUAAUUAUUUGUAAUGCGGAUGAUUAUUGUAUUGUGUUUGAUUGGAAUAAUUCAGUUUGUUUUCGGCCGUUGAAUUAUGUUGUAUUUGAUAUUUACGGUCUAAUGAUACGGGAAGCAGCGGUGCAAAGAACGGACCCUUCAAAGUCGACCCGUAAAAAAGAAUAUUCCACAAAUAUAUUUUUUACGGAUCCGUUUGUGGGAUCUGCAUAUGUGACAGCCCAGGCCAGCCCGCAUAAGCAGUUUAGCACGACCUGCAAACGUGUUUUUCGGGUCGACGGGAUGCGGGGUGUGGUAGGGUUGCUCUAGAGAAACUCUUUCCAGCGGUUGACUGGUUUUGACUGAGCGUUACAUGCCACGUCAUCGGGUUUACCUCACCAGGACAAGUCCCGCCUCCCGAGCCCGAACCAAUCCGUCCCGUGAGAGGAGCGCCGCCACUGCCCCUCCGCCGCCGGCUUCGGCCCUCCCCGUCGCCCACUUUCCCCGCCCCUCCCCCGCGGCCCCGCUCCUCCAACUCCCCUCCUCGCCCGCACCCACCCCGUCGCCCCGGUCUCCGCCCACCCCCGCCCCACCCACCCCACCCAACYCCUAAACCCUACGACCCUACUCCCCCCUACAAAACCCCGUGGAAACGUACCCACGGUUCCUACGCCCGGAGCCCCGCCCGCCGGGGACCGGCGACGCGGUACGCCCCGGAGACCCCUNNNNNNNNNNNNNNNNNNNNNNNNNNNNNNNNNNNNNNNNNNNNNNNNNNNNNNNNNNNNNNNNNNNNNNNNNNNNNNNNNNNNNNNNNNNNNNNNNNNNGCAGAUAACAUCGUUGUGGCACUCUCCAACGGCAGGUGCGUAGCUGCCAACAGGUAUGGAGCACACGUCUACCUCUAGGUAGCUAAGCUAGCUAGGCGAUGUACCCUAGCCUCUGGAGCAGCGCGGAGCGGAGGGCGCCGUCGCCGUCGUCGUCCUGUAGUCCAGCGGGCACGUCGAUGACGACGUCCUGCACCGUCACGCCCUCCAUGCGGUGCACGCACGCGUGCUGCACCUGCAGCUCUAGCCGACCGGAGCGCACUCAUCAGCCGCGCCGGCGCGUGCCGGGCUCGUCCCGAGCUCAUCACGCGCACCGCCGCCGCGUCCUUCCCCACCAUCCGCACCUCCACCACAUCGUCGCCAGCCCCGGCGUGGCUGCCUCGGGACGAAGAAGCGGGCCCGUUCGACGCCUCCCACCUAGCGGCGGCCGCCUGCCGGCCCUCCUCCUCGAGCCGCGCGACGCGGGAGCGCAGCUCGGUGAUGUAGGCGACGGCGUCGGCGAGGAGUGAGGCCUUGUCCAUCCGGGACACGGUGGGCACGGCGGCGCGGAGGUCGCAGAAGCGUCGGUUCAGCUUGUCGCGGCGCUGGCGCUCGGCCUCCACGUGGCUGACGGUGAGACCAUCGGGCCGCGGCACGGGCUUCCGCCCACGCCGCUUUGUAGGCGUGGUCGUCGACGCCGGCGGUAGCUCGGAGUCCGGGGAGAGCGACGAGCUCCGGCAGGCCACAAGAAAUCUACACUCCUCGCUCGUUCGGACCGGCNNNNNNNNNNNNNNNNNNNNNNNNNNNNNNNNNNNNNNNNNNNNNNNNNNNNNNNNNNNNNNNNNNNNNNNNNNNNNNNNNNNNNNNNNNNNNNNNNNNNCUUCUUCGUCCGUUUUCCGUUUCGUUUCCGUUUACCCCUUACGGUGUUUAGCUAAGCCGAGACCCCUUGCCUCCNGAAAAGUCAUUCCUUUUCUAUCUUCGUCCAUGUCAACAGGAUCUGGACGUGCAGGUUUUGUACUCAGGUUUGGGAUCUAUCUCCCCAGGUCGCWACUUUCUUGGGUCAUCGUUAGGCUCAUAAUUCUCAUCCUUUGCACAGGCAGCAUCAAGCAAUUUUUUCAUAACGCUCGAGGCACUGGGAUGGUGUUCGUACCCACAAUAGGUGCAAUAGUCCUCCAUUGAGUAGGCAUUGAGCUUAGCBAAGAUGUAAGCAGUCUUCUCAUCCUCUUCCCUUGUCCACUCAGUCUGGGGUUAAUGGGCACUAGGUUAGUUAAGUAAACGUAAAUAGACAGAACCUCUAUAAUUAUUCGACAGACAACUAGAAAAACUGAAAAAUGGGGGCAGACCUAUGUCAUAAUAGAGCAAGAUAUAACCAAUUAAAAGAAACAUUAAGCAUACAUAUGACAGGUAAAGAUUGUACGGUUAUUUGAACUAAUUUAAUUUGAAUUAGAAUGUAGAAUUCAACACAGAACUAGAAAAUUAUAAGUUUAGUACUAAGUUAGUCGUUUAGGUUUUAAUUUAGACUUAACUUUAAAGGUUUUAGUAAGUUUAGGUAUUACGACAAACGUCCGUUAAAUUAGGAAAGUACCGUAAUUUAAACGGAAAUUAACUAAAAGUUUUAANNNNNNNNNNNNNNNNNNNNNNNNNNNNNNNNNNNNNNNNNNNNNNNNNNNNNNNNNNNNNNNNNNNNNNNNNNNNNNNNNNNNNNNNNNNNNNNNNNNNUAUACCAUUCCCUUUGCCCUUCGGUGUGUUACUUGCCCGAGAUUUGAUCAUCGGUAUCCCUAUACCUAUUUCAAUCUCGUUAUCGGCAAGUCUCUUUACUCGUUCCAUAAUACAAGAUCCCGUGACUAACACUUUAGUCACAUUGCUUGCAAGGCUUAUAUGUGAUGUUGUAUUACCGAGUGGGCCCCGAGAUACCUCUCCGUCACACGGAGUGACAAAUCCCAGUCUUGAUCCACGCUAACUCAAUGGACACCUUCGGAGAUACGUGUAGAGCAUCUUUAUAGUCACCUAGUAACAUUGCGACGUUUGAUACACACAAGGUAUUCCUUCGGUGUCAGUGAGUUACAUGAUCUCAUGGUCAUAGGAAUGAAUACUUGACACGCAAGAAAAAAUAGAAAACAAAAUGACACGAUCACAUGCKURCGUUUAUAGUUUUGGGUCUUGUCCAUCACAUCAUUUCCUACCUAAUGAUGUGAUCCAGUCAUACAAGUGAACAACCUACUUGCAUUAGUCGGGUACUAAACGUAAAAAACCCUUUAACCCGAUUUACCCGUUUAGUAACUUCCCGUAAAACGUUCGGGGUACCUUUAACGGUACCCGUAAACGUUCGGGGUAAACGGGUUCCCUUUAAACGGUUAAGGGGGUUUAACCCGUUUUUUUUGGGUUUUUUACGUACCUUUAAAGNNNNNNNNNNNNNNNNNNNNNNNNNNNNNNNNNNNNNNNNNNNNNNNNNNNNNNNNNNNNNNNNNNNNNNNNNNNNNNNNNNNNNNNNNNNNNNNNNNNNUUUUUCAUGAACUGUAAAAAUAUUUUUUGCGGAUCGGCAUUAUACGAGGUCUUCUGGAGAUGCUCUUAGCGCAUCCUCAAAGCGAACCCUCAAAGCUUUGGUACACCGUGUCCGAACCAGUUUUGCUAACCUUUAUAAUUUAAUGGGACUUUAAACGUCUGCAGAUUAGUGUGGACCCCGAUUUUUGACAAAUUUAAAACAGAAUUGAGGAAGCUAUGGUGAAGUCGCGACAUGCAAUUGACCAAUAAAAAGCCCCUUCACGGUCCUCCUCUAUUUUCUCUCUAGUCACAUGCAUGACCACCCUCCUCCUCUCAACCGAACACAACAACACAAUAUCCCACUACAUGCAUAGUCCUCUUCUACUCUCUCUCUCUCUCUCUCUCCUUCAUUGAAUAUUAGUAAAUAAAUGACAAUAAAACAACUAUUGCGGUGUCCGGUUAGGGUCAGUGUURGAAUCGACCUUAAGUAAACGAAAUGUUAAUUACUAAGUAUUAUUUACUGUAGGAAGGUAAAGGGGUUGUUAGGGUAAUUUAUUUGAAAUGCGUAUACUCAUAUGACCAUAUGGGAUGCGGACGGAAAAAAGAAAGAAAGGNGAUAUUAUUUGGUUGCUCCGUCGAGAGGAGAGAAGCGUAGGGAAAACNNNNNNNNNNNNNNNNNNNNNNNNNNNNNNNNNNNNNNNNNNNNNNNNNNNNNNNNNNNNNNNNNNNNNNNNNNNNNNNNNNNNNNNNNNNNNNNNNNNNGGACACUAACAUAAAUAACAAACGACUCUAAACAAUAGGCGAUCAUGACAAAAAAAAUAANACGAGUUUAUUAGUWAGUUGUCUCUUAAWAGUGAAAUCUGAUUUCACCAGUGGAUUCUUGGGAUGAUUCUACCCCAAAAGCAUAUAUAAUACAUGGGUACUUGCUUGUAACAUGUAGGCACAAAGCUAGCUCGAAAAACAACAUAGAAUCCUAUAAGAUCAUAUGAGACAUCAUCACAUGUGAACAAAGCAUUAUAGUAUCUACUACUCCUACAUAUGCACACACACAAGGUUCAUACACCACCACAUCACCAUAAUGGCAAGCAUGAGGGGUUAGCCCUCAUGCACAAGUGCAUAGGUGCACUCAUGCCCACACACACACAUGCAUAGAACAACACUACACACAAAUAAUAURUCGCCCMCCCCACCACACACUACAACCUAAGAAGGUGGCACUACAACGAAGGGGACGGUACGUACCGUCCYUYGUCGMMCWAUGUYGYGACUAGUUGCGACCAACCGUAAUGUCCACAACCACCAANNNNNNNNNNNNNNNNNNNNNNNNNNNNNNNNNNNNNNNNNNNNNNNNNNNNNNNNNNNNNNNNNNNNNNNNNNNNNNNNNNNNNNNNNNNNNNNNNNNNUAUGAUUUUUUUUUCGAACGGAAGAAGAUCAGGGGGCCUAUGGGCCAAGCCAGGAGGGCUACAGGGAGCCCACAAGCCCCCACUCCGCCACCAGGGGGAGGCGGCGGUGGGCAGGCUUGUGGCCUCCCUGGCGCCCCCCUGACCUAGAUCUAGCGCCUAUAUAUUCCCUAAAAAUCAGAAAAAAAUCAAGGGAUCCACGAAAAUACUUUUCCGCCACCGCAAGCUUCCGUUUCCGUGAGAUCUCAUCUGGANACCCUUCCGGUGCCCUACCGAAGGGGACCUUGGAGUUGGAGGGCUUCUUCAUCAUCAUCAUCGCCCUCAAUGACUCGUGAGUAGUUCACUUCAKACCUACGGGUCCGUAGUUAGUAGCUAGAUGGGUUCUUCUCUCUCUUGGAUCUUCAAUACAAAGUUCUCCAUGAUCUUCAUGGAGAUCUAUCCGAUGUAAUCUUCUUUGGCGGUGUGUUUGUCGAGAUCCGAUGAAUUGUGGAUUUGUGAUCAGAUUAUCUAUGAUAUAUAUUUGAGUCUUUGCUGUAUUUCUUAUAUGCAUGAUUUGAUUAUCCUUGUAAGUCUCUCCGAGUUCUUUGGGUUUUGUUUUCGACCUAACUAGAUUCUAUUGUAUUUCUUGACCGUAAGUGGGGAAGUAAGUUGGUCGUUUUGGGGUUUUUUCGGGUUACCUUUACCAGUUGGUUGGGUACGUACCCCUUUUCCCCGAAGUCCGGAACGUAGGGUUACGGGGGACAAAACCGAACGGGNNNNNNNNNNNNNNNNNNNNNNNNNNNNNNNNNNNNNNNNNNNNNNNNNNNNNNNNNNNNNNNNNNNNNNNNNNNNNNNNNNNNNNNNNNNNNNNNNNNNAUGUUCAACCAUACCGCAGGGCAACACUCGAUACGGCUAUAAUGUGUGAGUAAGGAUUGUUGGCUUACCCCUACUUUUUAGCUCUCUACCAAUUUUUACAAGGAACAAAACUCACUUAACAACUAUGUGAAUAUUUUUAAUGUUAAGCAAUCCAAACUGACUAAAGAAUUGAUCUCGAAAGACUGACGCCUGAGAGUACUGUCAAGGCAUUCGUAGAGUCGUGUUGGACGAUUACCGGCUURUUUGAAUGCUCAAUGGUCAAUGCCAUACCUUGCAUGAUUGCGUGAAUUUCUGCAUCAAGUGCGUCAUUGCAAUGAAAGAUAUACUUGUAUGCAUCAAAGUUCGCGGAAUCAUCCUCAUUUCACAGAACCAUUCCAGCACAUGCACGCCCAUCAUGACUACGAAAAUAGAGCCUCAAACCAAGAAAAGGACAACACCAUCCAGCUGUUAGGAAAUAUGCCCUAGAGGACAAUAGAAUAAAAUAAGUUAAUUUAAUUAAUUAUUUCCUUCUUUACGUAAGAAUUAAUUACGUUUAUUUAUACCUAUGUCUAAUUAAGUUAGUUAUUAGUAAUAGAAAGUAACAAUAAAUACNNNNNNNNNNNNNNNNNNNNNNNNNNNNNNNNNNNNNNNNNNNNNNNNNNNNNNNNNNNNNNNNNNNNNNNNNNNNNNNNNNNNNNNNNNNNNNNNNNNNAGAGGGCGAGUAGCCCACGUGGUGGUGCUGUGGUAGCAGGGGACCGUAGGGUUCCGGUAAUACCAGGGACCCCGUUUUUUUUACCCCCUUUCGUUUCAUUUUUUUCCCUUACUUUCUUUUCUUUCGUUGCAGCAAGCAUGANAGUUUUCUUUUUAGAUAGWGUUUUGGUGUGUAUUAUCUGCUGCCUAGGAUACCAUAUAUAGGUGUGUGCAAGUGCUUGUGUAUGCACUAGUGUGUGUAGGUGGAGUGUGUAUGAGUGUGUGUAUGGUGUGUGGUUGUGUGUGUGUGUGUGCACAUGAAUGAGUUGUGCACACAUGUGCAUGUGGGUGUGUGUGUGCAUAUGGUUGCACAUGCACAUGUGCAAGAGGGCCUAGCCCCUCUUGAUGCACCUCUUGUAGUGUGUGUGGGUGGGGCACAUAUAUUUGUGUGUAUGUGUUCAUGCAUGUGUGUGUGUGGGCAUGAGUGCACCUAUGCUACUUGUGCAUGGACGGGUCCCUAACCCCGUCAGUUGUCCUUUCGACCCUAUUUAGUGGGUAGUGUUGGGUUGGGUUGGGUUUUAACGUUACGGUAAACCCGUUUUGGUUAGGGUUGGUGGUUCGGCCUUAAGUUAGUUAGGGUUUAAAGGGUAGGUUUAAGGGUAAACGGUUAAUUNNNNNNNNNNNNNNNNNNNNNNNNNNNNNNNNNNNNNNNNNNNNNNNNNNNNNNNNNNNNNNNNNNNNNNNNNNNNNNNNNNNNNNNNNNNNNNNNNNNNCAUCACUCUCUUCAUCGAGACAGCUGAUCUGAAGACACACGGUGCGUGAACCGCGUCACUCCUUCCACUUAGDDACGACAGCUUCGUAUCUGAAGAUGCAGGUGCGUGAACCGCGUCACUCCCUUCAUUAGAGACAGCUUGAUCUGAAGACACAGGUGCGUGAACCGCGUCACUCCCUUCAUUAGAGACAGCUUGAUCUGAAGAUGCAGGUGCGUGAACCGCGUCACUCCCUUCAUUAGAGACAGCUUGAUCCCAAGAUACAGGUGUGUUCCCUACAUCUACACUUGUAGCAGCAGCCUUAGGAACAUUUCCCCCCUCUUCUUGGCUACCAGCAUCAACAUCCAUGCUACAAUUGGUAUUGUCCUGGUCAUCUAAUUUGGAUGAAUCAACCUUGUCAAUGGCGCCCUCGUUCAUGGUAACGCUGUCCCCACUAUGAGCAUUAGAAGUAGUCUGUCCAACUGAAGCCCCAUCGUUAUCCACUAGAGUGUCAGGCAAUGKAGGAAUAGGACCUACAAGGUCUCCAUCUACAUCUGCAUUGUCCAUGUCCAUCUGAUCCCCCUUGAUUUCUUUGCUUCCUGCAGCUUCUUCAUCAGUAACCAUAUUCGUCUGUCCUGAUUCCUCUUCAAUGUCAUGAUUCUUCCUCUCAUUUUUCUUCCUCAGCAGCACGUAUUUUGAGCUGCAGUCUUCCUCCUC